UGUGAAAUAUUUCAACAAAUAUCUCGUCCAAAGAUGAUGUCUUGGAAAGAGGACGCUGAUUGCUGCUCCUGGGAUGGAGUAACAUGUGAUUCGGCGACGGGUCACGUGAUUGGCCUCGACCUCAGUUGCAGUUGGCUUCACGGCAACAUCCCUUCCAACAGUAGCCUUUCCUUGCUUCCUCGCCUGCGAAAGCUCAACCUGGCCUUCAAUGAUUUCAAUUACUCUAAGAUUUCUUCUGGUUUUACUGAUCAAUUUCCGAGUUUGACACUCCUUAACCUCUCUACCAGCAAUUUCACGGGGUCAAUUCCUGCCUCACUAGGUAACAAUAUUACACAACUUGCUUAUUUGGAUCUUUCGUAUAACAGUUUUAGUGGUCACAUUCCAUCAUCUUUUUCAAAUCUUCAGCAGCUUCGUCAUUUAGAUCUUAUGGCCAAUAAUUUUGUUGGUGAAAUUCCUACAUCAUUAGGUAACAAUGUUACACAACUUGCUUAUUUGGAUCUUUCGUAUAACAGUCUUACUGGUCACAUUCCAUCAUCUUUUUCAAAUCUUCAGCAGCUUGGUUAUUUAAAUCUUCAGGACAAUAAGUUUGUUGGUAAAAUUCCGGAUAUGUUUACCAACCUAACCCAACUUUCUCUUUUAGGCUUGGCAAAUAAUCAACUGAUUGGCUCGAUUCCAAGUUCAAUCUUUGAACUUUUGAAUUUGACAUAUGUCUCUCUUUCUUUUAACAAUUUCAGUGGCAGCGUUGAGCUUUACGAUUUUGCAAAGCUCAAAAAUCUUAAAUUUCUUUCUCUUUCUAAUAUUAGUUUAUCAGUGAGCACCAAAUUAACAGUCAACUCGUCUUUCCCUAAUCUUCUGGGGUUGCGUUUAUCGGCUUGCAAUAUAAGUGAGUUUCCAGACAUCUUGAGAACUCAACAUCAGUUAGAGUGGUUGGGCCUUUCUAAAAACCAAAUCCAUGGUAGGAUUCCCAGUUGGAUGUGGGAUAUUGGAGUACAUACUUUGUGUUUUCUAAUUCUUUCACAAAACUUCCUGACAAGCAUAGACCAUCUUCCGUGGAAAGUCUUAAACUUAAUGGCAAUCGGUUGGAAGGACCAUUGCCUCCAUCUUUGGUUAAUUGUCGACAUUUGGAAGUUAUAGAUGUUGGGAACAAUCAGAUUAAUGACACCUUUCCCUACUGGUUAGACGUUCUUCUUGAAUUGCAAGUUCUUAUAUUGCGUUCUAAUAGAUUUUGGGGUCCUAUUGGUGAUACCAAAACAAGAGUUCCCUUUCCCAAGUUGCGAAUAAUUGAUUGCUCUCACAAUCAACUCACCGGUGUUUUGCCACUACGGUAUUUGGAUAGUUUUAAAGCCAUGAUGCAUGGGGAUAACAAUAGUGUUGAAGUCGGUUAUAUGAGGUGGCGGUAUUCCUCUAAUUACUAUGAGUCAAUAUUUCUGACUAUGAAAGGCAUUGACUUACAAAUUGAGAGGAUUCUAAAGACUUUUGCAACUAUUGAUUUGUCCAGCAAUAGAUUGUUAGAAAAUUGGUGGGUGAAGCAGGACCGCAGCUAAAAUGAAUUUGGAAGGAAAUAAAGAACAAGCACAAUAGAGGACACCAGGAAUUAUGUGGUUUGGCUUUUAACCUACGUCCACGGGCGAAAACAGAAGAAAAAUAUUUCACUAGUGAAAUAAAGAUUACAAGUAUUGUAAUAUUUUAGCUCACUACCCAAAACCCCAAUACACCCAAUCUAGGGGUGGGCAAAAAAAGUUGAUUAAUCAAAAAUCGAACCGAACCGAUCGGUUCGGUUUAGUUUUUAUGCGGUUUUUUUACCUCUAAAAAACCGAAAUAGUAGUAUAAUAUAAAUAGUAAAACCAAUCGGUUCGGUUUUCGGUUUUUUAAAAAAAUCAAAAAACCGAACCGGAAUCUCAAAUAAACCGAUUGUAAAAAAACCCUAAAGCUUAAAUCUAAACACUUCUGACUUCUGUCUCCCGCUGGCUGCUGCUCUGUUCGCUGGCCGCUUCUUCUGUUCCCGCUGUCCGCUGCUCGUCGUGACCUUCAACCAAAAGCAAAAACCGAACUCGUGAGUCGUGACCUUCAGCCACAGGCUCGAGUCGUGACCUUCAGCCACACUUCUGUCUUCUUCUGUCCCCUCUGCUCGUCGCCGCCGUUGCUCGUCAGUCGUCACUACUGCUGCUGCCACUGUCACCUGCCGUGUGAACUGUGAAGAUUGGUAUUUGUUUUCUGGAAGUUUAUCUCUCAGCAACCUUACGAAGUUCUCCUUUCCUUCACUCUCGAUCGCCUUCACAAUGUAAAAAAAAAAAAAGUUUUGAUUUCAAUCGAAGUUCUUCAGUGAUGGAAGCGGAUUGAUAUUGUUAUUUCUUGUAAUUGAAAGGAACCGGAACUUCUUCGAGUAAAUGCAAGAUUUGGUGAUAUUUAAUUUUUGUGAUUUUGUAAUUGAAAGGAACCGCUGCUGAAAUGUUUCAUGUUUGUACCUGUGUUACGGAAAUGGAGAAUUUAGAUAACCAUCAAAUCAUGAGUGGUAAUAAUGGAGAAUUUAGACAGUUCUCCAAUUAACUGUCUUUGGCAUUUCCAAUUAACUCUGUCUCUCUCUGCACCUUUUGCCUUGACUUACUGUCUUCUUCGCUUUUGUUUAUGCUUUCACUUAAACUUUCAGCUUCCAUGAUCAUUAUGGUGCCCAUAAAAUGCUUUACUUUCUAUGAAAAUUUGCCUGUUGGGUUGGCCAUUUAUAUUUGUACGUGGCUAGUCGAAGAAUUGCAGGUCCUCGAGUUCUUUACAUUUAAUUAGUUACAAUUCUUAAUUUAAUUGCAGGACUUGAAGUACUUAUAUAAGACAAUCAAGUCAUAUUAUUGUUGCAUGUUGCCAUGUUGAUGGGAUUCUCACUUUCUCAGUCUGGAAGGCUGCUUAAAUGGAAAUCCAAUUGAUGAAUUUGUGUACUGUGGAUUAAUAUUUUCUUCCUCAAAACAUUUUAUCCUCUUAGAAAUUAAGAUUGUAGCAAGCUUUUUUUAUUUUAUUUUACAAUUUUUGUUUGUUAACUUUUUAUAUUUGUGGUAGAUUUAUUAAUUUAAGGUUUUAAAUUUAAAAAAAUCCAAAAUAGGUCCAAUAGGUCCAUAAUCGAAAUAAUCGAACCGAACCGAAUCGAAUUAUUUUGAUUAAUCGAGUAUUUGAUUAUUUCAAUAAUUUGAUUAAUCGCGAUUAUGAUUUUAAAAUAAUCGUAAUCGAACGAUUAUGAAAAAAUUAGUAAAAAACCGAACCGAACCGAACUGCGUCCACCCCUAACCCAAUCUCUUACUCACUAGACACUCAAGAGUUUAUUAAACUCUUAAUACUCCCAACACUAAAAGAAAGCAAUGCUUGUCUCUCGAUGGAAUUGGAUACAAGCUCUAGAUUGAGAGCUUGUAUUUAUAGGCAAAACUUUGCCUCAAAUGUCAAACAAGUGGCCAUAAACUUCAAGCCAUACAACUCAAAAAUUUCAAACUUUGAAUUUUUAGCUUUGAAUUUUUCUUUUCUUUUACCAAACAUCACGGCAUCUAGAAUUUCAAAGCCAAGUGCCAACCAUUCUUGUUUAUUCAAAGCUUCUAGAUGCAGCCAAUUUUGACAUUCUCCCACUUGGAGAUUAAAUUGAAAAACAAUCAAUCUCCACACCAUCCUUUCUGCUUCGCCAUAAUUAUAUUGCCUACGUUUCUGCUAGGCGACAAGAGGAUCUACUCCAGAUAAACUUGUCAGCAUUUAUCGGCUUGGUCAAAACAUCUGCUAGGUUCUCUUUGGUAUGGAUUUUCUGCAAAUCCACACUUCCAUCUUCCACUACUUCUCGAACGAAGUGAUAUUGAACUCCUAUGUGCUUUGUCCUGGAAUGAAAGGCUGGAUUCCUUGCAAUGUGCAAGGCACUCUGACUGUCACAAUACACAAGAAUUUUAUGUUGUUUGUGCCCGAGCUCCUCCAAUAAUCUUUGUAUCCAAAUAGCUUCCUUGCAAGCUUGUGUAGCUGCCAUGUAUUCUGCUUCUGUUGUAGAUAAAGCCACAACGGUCUGCAGUUUAGAAACCCAGCUUACAGCUGCUCCUGCAAGUGUAAACACAUAACCAGUAAUGGAUUUUCUUUUAUCAAGGUCUCCUGCAAAAUCUGAAUCCACAUAGCCCCUGACAGUAAACUCUGAUCCUCCAUAACAUAAUGCAACAUUUGAGGUUCCUCUGAUGUAUCUCGGAAUCCUCUUCACAGCUAUCUAAUGCUCUCCACCAGGAUUCGUCAUGUAUCGACUGACUGCUCCCACUGCUUGUGCAAUGUCCGGUCUUGUACAUAUCAUAGCGAACAUUAAACUUCCCACUGCUAAUGCAUACGGUACUCGAGACAUCUCCUUCCUCUCCGCUUCAUUGCUAGGACACAUACUUGAGGAUAAUUUGAAAUUAACAGGAAGUGGGGUAGAAAUUGACUUACAAUCUUGCAUGUUAAAGCGUCGCAAGAGUUUCUUCAAGUAAUUCUUCUGCGAAAGUCAAAUCUUCCUGUUAUUUCUGUCUCGGUGAAUUUGCAUCCCUAGAAUCUUGUUUCCUGGUCCCAAGUCCUUCAUUUCAAACUCCCUAGCCAACUGUGCCUUCAAUUCUUGGAUUCGAUCUUUGUUGGGACCUGCUACCAACAUGUCAUCCACAUACAACAACAAAAUAAUGAAAUCAUUAUCUUCAAACCUCUUGUAAUAUGCACAAUGGUCUGAAUUGAGUCUGUUGUAUCCAAGGCUCAUGAUGAAGGAAUCAAAUCUCUUAUACCAACACCUCGGCAUCUGUUUGAGACCGUAUAGAGAUUUGUUCAACAUGCAAACCAAGUUCUCAUUUUCUAUUUCUGCAAAACCUUCUGGUUGGAGCAUAUAUAUUUCUUCUUCAAGUUCUCCAUGAAGAAAUGCAGUUUUCACAUCUAACUGCUCUAGAUGUAAGUCAAAUGUAGCACACAUCGCCAAGACUACUCUGACUGUUGUGAGUCGAACCACCGGAGAAAAUAUCUCAUUGAAGUCAAUACCUUCUUUCUGAGCAUAUCCUUUCACCACCAAUCUCGCACGAUACCGCUCCACUUGGUCAUUACCAUCACGUUUGAUUUUGUAGACCCAUUUGUUUCCAAUGACUUUUCUUCCACGUGGUAAUGGUACAAGUUCCCAUGUCUUGUUCUUAUGUAGAGCUUCAAUUUCUUCCUGCAUUGCUGUCAUCCACAAAGCAACAUCUGAGCUUUCUAAAGCUUCAUGGAAAGUUGAUGGCUCUCCAUCCUCUGUUAGAAGACAAUACGCAAUAUUGAUCUCUGUGACAUACUCUGAGUGCCACACUGGCGGUCGUCUAUCACGAGUUGACCGAUGAACUUCUAGAGCCUCAGACUCGACUGGUUCUUGUUCCUCGUGCUCUGGUGCUGCUUCAGAAGAAUCUAAAUCUUCUGGAUUAUUUUCGACAUAUACCGGUACAGUCUCUGAUUUUUCUUUUGCAGUGCUAUCAUUCUCAUCUCUCAUUUGCAGUUGAUCUUCUACAAAGAUAACAUCUCUGCUGAUGACGAUCUUGUGGGCAGUGGGGUCCCACAGACGAUACCCCUUUACUCCAUUAGCAUAUCCCAAGAAGAUACAUCUUCUAGAUUUUGCAUCCAGCUUUGUUCUUUCUUGGGCAUUGUACAUCACGUACACAGGACAUCCAAAUGCAUGUAGGUAGGAAUAAUCAGCUGGCUUUCCAGUCCACAUCUCCAUCACUAUCUUCAGCCCAAUUGCUGUAGAUGGUGAUCAAUUUACUAUAUAACAGGCAGUUUUGGCUGCUUCUGCCCAGAAUGAAUUGGGUAGACCAGCAGUCCUCAACAUAGCUCGUAUUCUUUCUGUAAGAGUUCUGUUCAUCCGCUCUGCCACUCCGUUUUGUUGAGGAGUGUAUGCCACCGUGAACUGCCUCUGAAUACAUUCUUGCUUACAGAAAGCAAGAAACUCGCCGUCUGUAUACUCUCCACCAUUAUCCGUCCUCAAGCACUUGAUCUUUUUACCAGAUUCAAGUUCCACCCGCGAUUUGUAUUCUUUAAGCACAGGAAAUACAUAUGACUUUUUCUUAAUUGGAUACACCCAACAUCUUCUGGAAUAAUCAUCAAUGAAAGUCACCAUGUACUUUGCACCUCCCAUGAAUAUAUUCGGUGAUUCCCAAACAUCAGAAUGAAUCAAGUCUAGAAUGCAUUUACUUCUAGCAAUAGAUCUACUGAAUUUUAAUUUAUGCUGCUUACUUAUAACACAAUGCUCACAAAAUGGUAAACUUACCGAUUUGAGCCCCGAAAGUAAUUUUCGCUCAGAGAGAAUCUUCAAACAGUGUUCUGACAUGUGACCAAGUUUGAGAUGCCACAUCAUCGUUGACUCUUCUCCAUUUGAUGCGACACACGCAUCAGCCUCCUGUAGUGUUUCUCCUUUAAGCAUGAAUAAAUUAGCACCGCUCUUUUCUGCCUUUAUCAAUACAAGCGCUCAUUUAACGAUCUUCAUAAUUCCAUUCUCCUCAUGAGUUUUGUACCCAUGACUAUCCAUUUGUCCCAAAGACAAUAGAUUUUUCUUCAGGCCGUUGACAUGUCGUACCUCUCCUAUUGUGCGAAUUGUACCAUCAAAUAUUUUUAUUUUGAUAGUACCAAUAUCAGCGAUCUCCAAGGCAUGAUCAUCUCCCAUAUAUACAGAUCCUCCUUAAAUAGGUUCAUAUGUGUGGAACCAUUCUCUCCGGGAGGUCAUGUGCCAGAUAGCUCCUGAGUCUAUAAGCCAGACAUCAUAUAGUCGUUUUAUGCCUUCUGAAAUAGUUGUUGCCUCGCUGUAAAGAAUUUCGCCAUCAUCUGAGGUACUUGCUACACACCCCUGAGCAUUUGAUGACUCAGGUUCUUUACCCUCUCUUCUCUUCUGAUUACUCCAACACUCCUUUUUAACGUGCCCUUUCUUGCCAUAGUUGUAGCAUUUAACAUUCUUCUUACUUCUAGAUUUUGAUCUACCAUGAUUUUGACUCCCACUAGGGCCACGUUCCGUUGAUCUCCCUCUCAUCACCGAUAGCGCCUCCGCUUGCUGCGAACUUGCUUGUCUAUUUUCCUUAUUUUUCCGCCUGCUCUCGUCAUUUAAUACGGAGGCUGCAACAUCGUCGAAAACUAGACUGUCCACUUGAUUGUUGUUCGUCAGGUUGAUGAUAAGUUGAUCAUACGAAUCUGGUAGACUUUGAAGUAGAAGCUCUGCACGUUCAUUUUCCUCUAUAUUAUGACCCAACGUUGUGAGUUGUGAAAAUAGAGUCUUCAAGGUGUUGAUGUGGUCGGUCAUAGAUUCCGUCAUUCGAAGAGUAUAGAGUUUUCUCUUCAAGAAGAUUUUGUUGUGUAGUGACUUGGCCUCGUAUAAUUUUGUAAGAGUAUCCCAUAUUUCCUUCGCUAUAUUUUUCUCUACCACACUGGAUAAUACUCCAUCUGCAAGUGCCAAGUGUAGAUCAGAAAUGGCGUUGCCAUCUAUCUCGUUCCACUUGUCAUCGGUUAUCUCUAUGGGCAUUUCUCCAAUUGCUGCCAAGCAAUUAUUUUUCCUUAAUACAACUUUCAUCUUCAUUUUCCACAACGAAAAAUUAUUUCCGUUAAACUUCUCAAUUUUAUACUUUGCCGCCAUUUUGUUGAUAAAUAUCGCACACAAGUUAGUGUACCACCUUGAAUAGUUGUGAGUAUGUGUGAGAAUGCACACCAAGAAAGUUCCUAGGAAAGACUGGAGGGGUCACAAUGGUCCCACUUAAAACCCAGACUCCUUAAGCUCUUAUCGCCCUUGUGACAGAACUUUCCUAGACAUGUACAAAAACCACACAGUUGUUUUACUCACACCACUAUUCCCUACUUUGCACCGCAAAAUUCUUGGAUCGCUCCCACCGUUUCACGUGAAUAGUACCGUAUACGUGAACAAUACCGUAUACGUGAAUAGUGCCGUAUACGUGAACAGUACCUGACUCCAAAAAAUACAACCAAUAGCUCUGAUACCACUGUUAGAAAAUUGGUGGGUGAAGCAGGACCGCAGCUAAAAUGAAAUUGGAAGGAAAUAAAGAACAAGCACAAUAGAGGACACCAGGAAUUACGUGGUUCGACUUUUAACCUACGUCCACGGGCGAAAAUAGAAGGAAAAUAUUUCACUAGUGAAAUAAGGAUUACAAGUAUUGUAAUAUUUUAGCUCACUACCCAAAACCCCAAUACACCCAAUCUCUUACUCACUAGACACUCAAUAGUUUAUUAAACUCUUAAUACUCUCAACACUAAAAGAAAGCAAUGCUUCUCUCUCGAUGGAAUUGGAUACAAGCUCUAGAUUGAGAGCUUGUAUUUAUAGGCAAAACUUUGCCUCAAAUGUCAAACAAGUGGCCAUAAACUUCAAGCCAUACAACUCAAAAAUUUCAAACUUUGAAUUUUUAGCUUUGAAUUUUUCUUUUCUUUUACCAAACAUUACGGCAUCUAGAAUUUCAAAGCCAAGUGCCAACCAUUCUUGUUUAUUCAAAGCUUCUAGAUGCAGCCAAUUUUGACAUAGAUUUCAAGGGAAAAUUCCAGAAGUAGUGGGAAAGUUGAAUUCACUCAAAAGUCUCAACAUUUCUCACAACAACCUGACAGGUGGUAUUCCUUCAUCGCUGAGAAAUCUGACAGAGCUUGAAUCUCUAGACCUCUCUUCAAACAAGCUUGCUGACGUAUCCCAACACAACUAGCGAGUCUCAAUUAUCUUGCGGUGUUGAAUCUUUCGAACAACCAGCUCAAAGGACCCAUACCAGGAGGACCCCAAUUUAAUACAUUUGGAAUUGAUUCCUAUUCUGGUAACUCGGGGCUGUGUGGAUUCCCAUUCUUAAAAAGCUGCAACAUUGAUGAGGCACCAAAACCAACAACACCAACAUGAUUUAUCGAAGGAGACGAUGCUUCAAGCUGGUUUGAUUGGAAGCUCGCUAUGUUGGGUUACGCAUCUGGAGUGGUGAUCGGCUUGUCCAUCAGAUACAUGGCAUUUUUGACUGGAAGGCCACAAUGGUUUGUAAGAAUGAUCGAAAGGAAGCAAUCCAGGAAGCUGAGAAGGGUGAUCAGACGAGGCAGAGCUGGUAGAAGAAGUUUGUUGGUGCAUCUCUAAAGGCCCAAGUGAGUAAUUAUUAGUUUGUCUUUUGGAAUUAUAAGCUGGUUUCUACUGUUCUUUAAGUAGAUAGCAUGUUGAUAUUAUCGUAAUCUAACAGUUGACUUGCAAAAAUCACAAUCCUAAUUAAUUUCAAAUUAUGCUUAUUAUCAACAUCUAUAGUGAGAAACAAAAUGAGGAUAAUGUAUAAGAAAGAAAAUUUUAACUGAAUUAUUGAUGCGAUUGUUUUUACUUUUAUUGCCAUUUCAUUAGAACAUGUCGUCACGGAUGUACAUUUUGAUGGUAAAAUGAUUUGAAGUAAUAUUGUUGCAGGAAAUUGUGCGGGGGUAACUUUGGUUUGUAAUCAUGUACUUCAAAUUUGGGCGUAGAACGUGCUAUUUCAAAGUUUGUGAGCAGACAACGUUAACUGUUGGCAUUUGGAAGUUUUUGAUAAUAAAAAUGAUCAUGUUAAUAAUAUCUUUCUUUAUUGGUUAGAAAUUAUUCAUAAAUUGUAAGUGCUUAUAUUACGAUCUAACCAAUUUCGUGAUGCCAUUGGCCAUAUUAAAACAAGAGUUCCCUUCCCCAAGUUGCGAAUAAUUGAUCUCUCUCAGAAUUAACUCACUGGUGUUUUGCCAACUCAGUGUCUUGAAAAUUCUAAAGUCAUAAUGCGUGGGGAUAACAAUAAUGUUGAUUUCAACUCUUACUAUGAAUUAAUAAUUGUGACCAUAGAAGGAACCGACCAACAAAUGGAGAGGAUUCUAAUCAUUUUCAUGCCAAUUGAUUUGUCGAACAAUCAAUUUCGAGGAAAAUUUUAGAAGUGGUGAGAUAACUUAAUUCACUUAAAUGUCUUAACAUUUUUCACAACAAGCUGACAAGUGGCAUUCCAUCAUUGUUGGGAAAUCUGUCAGAGCUUGAACCUUUUGACUUCUCCUCAAACAAGCUUAUUGGGAUGAUUCCAAUGCAAUUGGCGAGUCUGAAAUUUCUUUUCUUGCUAAAUUUUUUGUACAACCAGCUUGAGGGACAUCAACCUCAAGGACCUCAAUUAACUACAUUUUCAAACGAUUUUUAUACUGUAAACUUGAGGUUGUGUGGUUUUCAUUAUCACAAAGCUGUAACAUUGAGACAUUAGAACUGUUACUAACAAGAUUGGACAAAAGAGAUAAUAAUUCGAGCUGGUUUGAUUGGAAGUUCGCUAAGAUGACCAAUGAACCUAGUGGCCUAUGGCUAGACACAGGUACAGCACAUGGCACAAUACAGGCAGAGUUUCAUUAGGGUACCAGAACAACAUGUGUCCAUACAACACGGUAUGAGCACAUUUUGAUAGGGCACGUGGCAUGACAUGACAUGGCAAGUACGCGGGUUGAGCUGGGCUGGAUUAAUAAUUUUAGGUACAUGUGCCUAACAAGCACAGUACGAUUAGAGAUAGUAUAAAACACAACUCAUGAAAAGGUCUGCAAUAAGAACGUUUAUCUGUUGGGCUAGCACACGACUUGCAGACCAUCAAUAACAUGUGGGCCAAUACAUAUUUUAGUGAUUUUUUUUAUGAAAGUAAAAUUGAAAUUUUAUGAUUUUACAAAUAAUUUAAAUUUGAAUCUUUUUAUAUAUUUCAUUAGCAUAGUUUUUUAAAAAUUCAUUUAAUUCUUAGUUUAAAAAAUUACUCUAAUUUUUUUACAUUUAUAAUUUACUAAAUGAAUAGAUGAUCAUGAUUUUAAAAAAUAAAAUUAUAAAUAUCAUGAUUUCAUAAAUGUAUGCAUUAAUGUGAUUGUUGGUACGAAAAUAUAGAUAAGCAAUAAGAGUUGAAAAAAAAUUAUUUACUUAGGGAACAAGUUGAGAGAGUUUGAUUUACUCAUAAUUGCCAUUAUUGAGAGUGAAAAGCUUGAUAAUUGGAAUUUUUUAAAACAAUAAGCCAUCAGGAUUCGCUUGGGGGUAUUAUCGUUGUAGACCCUCCGAUACUGAAGUUAGAGAUUAAAAAUAAUAUGAUAAUAAAUAAAUAAUAAGAGAGAAAAGAGAAUAAGAGAAUAAAUAUUGUCAUACAAUAUACAUAUUUCGCAUGUAUCUUUAUAUAUAUACACACACAGACACACACCUUUGAGUGAUGAUCUCUUUAUAUAAGAGUGCUAAUAAUAAAAAGUGUUUAAAUUUUAAAUUAUAAAUGCCAUGUAAAUAUUGAAUUAACAAAUAAAAUUAUAAAUAUCAUGUAAAAGCAUUGCAGUUUCGUUGGCCAUCGCCUUGAAUUUAAAUUUUAAAAGAACCAAAAAAACAUAGUAAAUGUAAAAAUAACAUAAAAUAACAAAGCUUGAAGAAGUUUACUUCUUUAUUUCUUGCAUUUUCAAACUCUACUAUUUUAGGGCUCAAAAUCAUUUUCUAUUCUGCAUUUUAUAAAACUAGAAAUUAAAAAUACAAAAUUCUAUGGGAAUGUCAUGUGAUGCGUCGACAUUGGGUAGAUAUUCACUGUUUAUAUCUCAGUGCUGUUUUCCUCACCCCUCAUGAGUAAGCUUUGAAUUUGGUACCCAAUUUGUCCAAGAGUUAGUGAGCCAAUGAUCACUCAUUCACUCUAAUUAGAUAUUUAGUGGAUGAAAAUUGAUUGGACGUAAAAGAAAAUGCACAUGAAUAAUCGAAAUAACUUUCAAGUCCAAAAAGGCUUUGACUUAUUUGAUGCUUGUUCAAAUGGCUCAGUAUGUGCCGCGUCAACAUGUGAAAACUCAUCCACGUCACCAGCCUCAGCGCUCUCGCCACGUCAUCAUUCAAGCGGUUGUAACUGAUGAUAAUUUGGAUAAGAAAAAAGUGGCGCGAGCUUUGCUUCGUUUGAAUAGCACGGCCACGGCCAUAAUGGCCAGUGCUACAAGUGCUACUAAAGAGACAGUUCUUGACGGAGCUCACUUUCAAAUGAAGAACCGAAAUGCCCGCGUUUUGGUACUUGGAGGUACGGGUCGGGUCGGUGGAGUUGUAAAUUCAAAUAUUUUAGAAUGCUGUCAAACACGCUAGUUCUUGGAUGGAACUAUGGGGACAUGGAGUUGUAAAUUCAAAUAGUUAUGGCUGGAAUAUUUCCUAAUUUACAGUGUGUCGCUGAGAAAAUUUUGCAUACCGGCAGGGAAAAAGGUGCUGCAAUGGUCUCUACAUUGGGGAAGAAUUCUGAAUUUGCUGAAGUUAACAUUUACAAUGAAGGCUCAUUAUUAAUGGCUUUAAGAGGUGAGAUCAUUCCUCACUGACUAGAUGUAUCUUCUAUUGUUCCACAUCAAUAAUUCUUUUUCUUCUAGAGUCGAAGUAACACAGGAGUGUUUGAAAUAUUUGGUAAUCAAGUUAUACCAAGUGCAGCUCAAGUUCUUACAUUAAUCAAGUGAGCAGAAUUUCUGAGCAGAAGGGGCAUCUUUGGGAAUUAAACUGUACUGGAUGAGAUCGAAUUAAUUUUCGAGCCAUACAUCAUUGGAAAGAUAUUUCUGUUAGCUUUCCAAUGAAUUUUACUAAUCUAAAUUUGGAGUUUUCUACAGUAAGUUGUUAAGUGCAGACUGUUCAGUUUUGAGUCAAGAAGAAUAUUUCGGGACUUGGAUUUUUUUUAAUGUUCUUUGUUGUGUUUUAAGCAUACCAAUGUUUUAUUAAUGUCUAGCUUUAAUGUUGGUCUUUAAAGUCAAGUUAUUUGAAGGGUUUCUUUGUAGUAAAUCUAUGCUUGGAGGAUUGUUCUAAGAAAGCUAUUUAAGCUUAUGUAGUUGUAACCAAAGGACAGAGAUUAAUUUUGGAAUUGGAUGAACUUUGAGUUAUUAUCAAACUCUGUAUCUCUUUGGUGGAUUCCAAUGAGUGGUGAGUAUUUUUAAGCCCUGUAUCCUUAGCUUAACAACUUUAGGUGGUGAAUUUUUCUGUAUCCUUUUGUUGUUUGCUGUGGUGGUGAGCUUGUGAUUUCUUGGGUGUGUGACGUUGAUGGGUGUCGAAGCCAACAAAAAUAAAUUCCUACUCUAAAUAAAUUGUGUAUAGUAAUUGAGCAGGGUCGUGUCCACAGAGAUCGGUAAUUAUUUAAAUCCUUUUAAAAUGUAAAACAUAAAAUGGGGGUUUUGUUGACAAUAAUAAAAAUCAAAUUAAGAUAACAAGAAUGCAAAUUAAAGUUGUAAUUCAAAUUGGAGAAAGCUCUGGUUGAAGGAAUUAACUCAGCUUGAUUCGACUACUGAUCAUUGAUUCAAAUAUAGAUUAUUAUUACUUAUGAAUAGACCGGUUAUAGCUAUUGAGACCCUCUAAUAGCCAAUCUCUCCUUAACUAGUCGAUAACCAAGGUACGACCGUUGGAUAUUUCCCUAAUCAAUAGACAACCCUAGAUACGAUCAUAUGAUUUAAUCAAUUGACAGCCUGAAAAACUAGAGAGACCCAAAUCCUAAUCAACACAUAUGAUGAUUCAUUUAAAUUAGAUUGUUUAUUCUCACAACACAACUCUCUGCUAUGUUAUUUGUCACAAACAUUAAAUUCUUCAUACGAUGAAUCCUUUAAUUGACAAUAGAUUAAGUUGAUAAUUAAAUAGUGGCCAAUUACCUAAUUAACAAACAUAAUCACGAAACUAAUUCAGAGAAUAAACAAAUACCCAAAAAGUAAUAAAACAAUUAAAGCAUAAGAAAGAUCUCACAGUAGUGAUGAAUCAAAGCUUCAUUAACCUUCAACCAGAAAAAUAGGUUUAGUUCUUCAUAGAGAGAAGAGAAAAAUUAAGAUCUAGGGUUUCUUUCUUUUUCUCCAAUCCAAAUCCCCCUUUUUCACAAUAGAUUCCUCCCUUAAAUACUCUCUCUCUUCUCUUUUAGAAUUCUAUUUAAAAUAAAAUACUAAUAUCUGAAAUAUUAAAUUCGUAAUUACAAAAAUAACCAAAAAUACAAAACACGUUAAACUAAAAACUGCAGGUCCGCAGUUGACAGCACGCGCCCACGCCUUAUCAACAAAGUUCUUCUGACGCUCAUAAUUUCUCCAAGAGACAAUCCUCCUUAAACAUCAUCUUUUAGCUCAAUUUUAUCACCAAUCAAUAGAAUUGCACCUACAAAAGUAAAACACAAGUAAAACAUUAUUAUUAAGUGCAAAACAUCGAUAUUAAGGGAAGUAAAUAAUGCAAAACUAGUGCAUAAAUUGCACUCUAACAAAUUCCCCCACACCAAGAUGAUGCUUGUCCUCAAGCAUAUAACUCAAGAUUAAUCUCAAAUCUCCACUCAAUUCUCAUCUCAACUCAUCCAAAAAUAAUUUUAAGCAAGCAUACCUCAAGAAAUUAAGUCGAUCAACAUUCGAGAGACAAGGACUUUUAAAGCAUAGAAUCUCAUAAGAUAGAAUAAGAACAUUCAACCACCAAGAACAUCCAUUCAAAAUUCAAGUGCAACAAGAUUUAAUAGCCCUCUCAAUGACUUCACUCCAUGCACUCAAAGUGUUUAGGGUAUCAUUUAUGCACUCAAAUCAAAUCAAAGAAUGCUAUUACCAUAAGCUUGCUCAUAUAUCACAUCUCAAUCCACAAAACAUGAAUAAAAUGCAAAAAUCUAAGGGUCUUAAAUGGGUUGUAAUGGGGUUAAAUAGGUUAAAUGAAAAAGAAAGGUCUAUGAAAGAAAAAGAGAUCAAAAUGAGAAGAAUGAACUCAUUGAAUGAACUUAUGAUAUCAAAAUGCUUAUUUCUACUCAAGUCACCAAGAAUGUAAACUUUUUUUUUUCGAAUUUUUUUUUUCAAUUUUUCUUUUUCUUUUCUUUUUCUUUUCUUUUUUUUGUUUUUUUUUUUCGAAUCAAACAAAAGAAACGAACCUUGCACAAUUUAAUUCAAGAAUAAUGCUUGUUGAUCUUAUUGAGAAACUUUAAUACAAGGUAGAAAAGGCAACAAAAUAUAUUCACACAAUGAGUCCAAAAAUCUCCUUAAAUUGAGGCUCAAAAAGAAGAAAAAUGGUUAAGUAGACGGAGAGAAUUAGAUGGGUAAUGGUUAAGGCUCAAACAAAGGUAGCAAAUAAAGGUCUUCGGGUAGAGAAAAAAAAUGCGAGAAUAGAAAAAUGGUAAAUGGUUUGCCCUUAUCAUUUUAAUGCAUAAAAUCCCGUAAUGUGGCUUCAACAUGCAUAAUAAAGAAAGUUCUAGAAUAAACAAACUAAGAUUGAUAUUCACAUAACAAAAAUAAUUAGAGCAAAGUGGUUGCUCAUAGGCUCAAAUCCUCACAAAGUUGGUAAAUUUGCCAUCAAAUCAUGUACACUCUUCAAAUGAAUCAACCAUCAAUAGUGGUGUAGAAUGAGAAGAAGGUAUGAGUGAUAUAUAAAAGGAAAGGUAAAAAUGAUAAGAAGUGAGAAAGAUGAAAAGUGAAAGAUAAAAUGUGAGUGAUGAAAGAGUAUGAUAGAAUAAAAAUAGAUGUAAAUAAUUUGAGAUAGAUGGGAAAAGAGUAGUGAGAAAGGAAAUAAUAAUAAUAAUAAUAAUAUAUGAAGCAUACUAACUCCAAAAUCAUUUAAGGAUGAGUAGAGUGAAAAAAAAAAAGAUAAGUAGAGUGAAAACAAUAAUUCCAGACAUCAAUAAUGCAAAAAUCCCUCCCCCACACCAAGAACUUACAUUGUCCCCAAUGUAAGAUAAUCAAAGCUCACAUAAAAAUUAAAGCGUAAGGAUAAAAGAUUAAGGGCAAAAAGAAACUUCCCUGAAUUGUGAGCUUUGAUCCACAUAACGUCUAUGAGCUUGGCGGAAAUGGUGGGGUAAAUCCCACACUCUCGAAGUAUGCAGCCAAAUUCUGCUCCAUCUUAUUCAGCUUGUGCUCCAUUUUCUCUAGCUGAAUACUCAAAGGUGGUGCGGAUGUAGAAGGAAUAGUUGGCGGGGCAGCAGUGUCGUCGUCAAACUCGUCAUCAGAGGUAGCACCACUCCUAGCAUAAAGCUUCUUCGGAGGUUGAGUGGGUCAUGGUUCAGUAAACUGAAAUCUCCCCUCCUUGAAUUCAACCACACCUCUCUUUCUCUUGUUGAGUCGCGAACGCAAGGCACCCUCCGAGAUUGGAUUCCGCAAGUGGCAAAAUACUCAUGCCUUUUCCAUGCUUCGAUCUUUGUCUCACGGCUUGGCGUGAAUAUGAAAUUGUGUUCCAUGGAACCGUAGUGGGAGCGGCAAUCUUAGAUUUCUUUGCGAUGGGUGUCUUUUUCGAUGACUUGGAAGUUGAUGCUUUCCUCUUCGACAUUGUUACAAUAAUUGCACUCACGGAUUUCGAUUUACCUGGCUGGAAUACAGGGCGUACGUUGUGCGCUGGUGAGGCUUGCUUUGCGGGUGCUGUGCUGCGCUGCGUUGCGCGCUAGUGGUACUUCGUUGCGCGCUGCUGGGCUGCGAGACACGGGAUACUGGUGCUGCGCGCGCGGGGGCUUGCGUUGCGCGCUGGUGAGGCUGCGUUGCACGCUGGUGGUUCGCGUUGCUGGUUCGCGCUAUGUUGCUGGCCUGGAUCUACGCACUGCUGCGUUCGCGUUGUGUUGCGCGCGAGAGCUGGUUCGCGCUGUUGGUCUGCUGCUGCUCAGCUACGUUGCGCGCGGCUGGAGCUAAGAAUCUGGGUUGCUGGGGCUUGCGUUGCGCGAGACUGGUUCGCGCUGGCUGUUGCUUGCGUUGCGGGGUGAAGGCUGGAGCUGAGGCGCGCUGCUGUAAAACGAUAAUCAACAGUAAUUUUUGAAUUAGGGAUUUGUGAACAGUGAUUUUCGAUUUUUGGUUUUUUGUUUUUUGUUUUUUUAAUAAAUAAAUAAAUAUAUAUAUAAAAGAAAGAACAAAAGAAAAUUUUUUUUUCAUUUUUUAAAAAAUAAAUAAAUUAAAUUAAAUAAAAAAAAAGAUUUUUUUUUUUUUUUGUGAUGAAACACUUUGAGACACCAAAAAUUUCAGAAGUACUUUUUUAAUAAGCACGUGGGCACGCCUUAAAACUAUUUUACUUUAAAAAUUACAGAAGUAUUGUUUUAGUUAAGACGUGGGCACGCCUUAUCAAAAAUUUUCUUCUGGCCAAAAUAAGCAAACACAUUAUUUUAAAAAAAAAUCUGAAUCAAAAUUAAAAGAAGAUAUAACAAAAACCAAAAUAAAUAAAUCAUUUGGGUUGCCUCCCAAAAAGCGCCUUUGUUUUAUGUCUUUGGCUAGACACAUUUAUGCUUCAAUCUCCAUAAUUGGGACUCUCGAGAGCCACAUCCUCCACAAUAUUCACCGAAAAACCUUCAUAAAAAGGUUUUAAGCGAUGACCAUUAAUCUUAAAAACUUUGUCAGAGGUCGGACUCCGAAUCUCAACUGCACCAUGAGGAAAAACAUUAGUACCAAUAAAAGGUCCAACCCAGCAAGAACGUAAUUUACCCGGAAAAAGUUUAACCUUAGAAUGAAAAAGAAGAACUUUUUGACCAACAGAGAACUCCUUUCUCAAAAUCAUUCUAUCAUGAAAUGUCUUCGUCUUUUCCUUGUAAAAACUUUCCUGCGCUAUAGGGUUAAUAACAUCCACAGAAAAUACCGAAUGUUCCUCACUAGGAUAUUUCAUGGUAUCAUUCAUAUUGAAUUCUAUAACCUCUCCAUCAAACUCCAUAGUGAGAGUCCCUUUAUGUACAUCCAUUUUAGUCCUAGCAGUCUUAAGAAAAUGUCUUCCUAGUAAAAUUGGGACAGAAUUAGAGAAGUUAUCAUCUUCCAUAUCAAGUACAUAAAAAUCAGCAGGAAAAACCAACUCAUUAACUUGUACUAAGACAUCUUCUAAUACCCCAUCAGGAUAUGCAUUAGACCUAUCAGCUAGUUGAAUUAUCAGGCCAGUUUCUUUUAAUGGACCAAUAUUCAAAGAUGAAUAAAUGGAACGAGGCAUGACAUUAAUAGAAGCUCCUAGAUCUAACAUAGCCUUUUCAACUCUAACACUACCAAUUUUACAAGGGAUAGUAAACAUACCUGGAUCCUUGCACUUAGGAGGUAGUUUCUUUUGGAGAACUGUUGAAACAUUCUCCCCCAUGUGAACUUUUUCAUCUCCUCUUAAUUUUCUUUUGGAGGUGCACAGUUCCUUAAGGACUUUAGCAUAUCGAGGUAUUUGUUUUAUAGCAUCUAAUAAAGGAAUAUUUACCUCAACCUUGCGAAAUGUCUCAAGGAUGUCUUUCUCUUGUUCCUCCUUCUUAGAUUUUGCAAACCGGCUUGGAAAAGGAGGAGGUAUCACAAUAGGUAGGGGUUUCGCUCCGGUGGGUUGUGCAUCUUGAGAUUGAGGCAUCAAUUCAUUCUUCUCAAGCUCAUCUUCUACAUGCUCUGUCACUUUCUUACUAGGCUCUUGCAACUCCUUCGCACUUCUAAGGAUGACAGCACUAACAUUUUGCUUUGGAUUCACCUCAGAUUGUGAAGGCAAUCUCCCUAAUACUUGAGACUCCAGACGGCUCACUGUAGUCGCCAAUUGACUCAUUUGGUUCUCCAAGUUCUGAAUGCUUGCUGUAGUUGCCUGCUGAAAUUGUUGAGUGUUAGUCGCAAGUGAUUUAACAAUUUCUUCAAGAGAUAUACCUGACUUGGAGUUUGACUGUGGAGGUGCUGGUUGUCUUGGUGGAUACUGUUGUGGGAAUCCUGACGGUCUAACUCCAUAGCUGAAGUUGGGAUGAUCCUUCCAUCCCGGAUUGUAUGUUUGUGCAUAAGGAUCAUACCUCCUCUGAGGCAUGCCUGGAAAUCCUCCAACUGCAUUGGCUUGUUCAACGGGUUCUUCUUAGAGUGUAUGACACAUAUAAGUUGAAUGACCCAUAUUGUAACAAAUGCCACAAGUCUUCACCUGUUGCACAUUACCUACAACAAACUUUUCCACAAGAGAAGUUAGUUUAUCUAAACGUUGUUCAACAGAAGAAAUAUUUACCUCAUUCACCUUCCUUGAAGUGAGAUCUUGCCUGCUGCCAAAUUGUUGUGCGUUGGCAGCCAUAUUUGAUAUCAACUCCCUUGCUUGAGUAGGGGUCUUGUUCACCAACACACCUCCACUAGCAGCAUCUAUCAUACUCCUAUCCAUUAAUGACAGUCCUUCGUAAAAAUAUUGAAUAAGAAGUUGAUCAGAAAUCUGAUGCUGAGGACAACUGGCACACAAUUGUUUGAAUCGCUCCCAAUACUCAUACAAAGUCUCCCUAGGAAGUUGUCUGAUCCCACAAAUAUCUUUUCUGAUGUUGGCAGCUCUUGAAGCAGGAAAGUACUUCUCAUGGAACUGCUUCUUUAAACCAUUCCACGUUGUAAUUGAUCCAGGAGGCAAGUAGUACAACCAGUCUUUAGCUAGUCCAUCUAAAGAGAAAGGAAAAGCACGCAGCUUAAUCUGCUCUUCAGUCACACCUUGUGGUCUCAUACUUGAACACACAACAUGAAACUCCUUAAGAUGUUUAUGAGGAUCUUCACCUGCAAAACCAUGAAACUUGGGUAAUAAAUGAAUAAGACCAGACUUUAAUUCAAAAUUUACCUCUAAGUCUACAUAUUGAAUGCAGAGUGGUUGUUGAUUCAAGUCUAGUUCAGCUAACUCUCUAAGAGUUCUUUCUUCAGGUGCAGGUCUAUCUAGGGGUGGGCAAAAUCGGGUUCGGGUCGGGUUCGGGUCAACCCGAUCGGGUUUCGGGUUGUUCGGGUUAGACAAGAACCAAUCCGAACAUAACCCGAAUUAUUGACCCGACCCGAACCGGGUUGGAUUUAAAACGAGUUGGAUUGAGUUCGGGUCUGUUCGGGUCAGGUCGGGUCAAUUCGAGUCAGUUCGGGUCGGUUGAAAUCGGGUCAAUUCGGGUCAAUUCGGGUCAAAUUCGGUUAAUACAAUUUUGAGCUCUUUUUUUUUCCUAUUAUUGUAGUUUUUAUGAAAGUUUUAAGACAUUUUUCUUAAUUGUAGUCAUUUUUACUAAUUUUCAACUAAAAAAAGAAAAGAAAAUGUUAUUAUUAAUUCAAAAAUCAAAACACAUAAAUAUUAUUAACAUAAUCCAUAAACAAAAAUUAGUAAUUUCAAUUCAAGUUGUUCAUGCUCCAUAAACAAAAAGUAAGAAAUUCAUGAUACUUAAUUUUAAUAUAAUAUAUAAUAUCCAAUUACCCAUUCCCCAUAAUAAAUAAUAUGAUAUUAUUUGUCUAUCUAUAUCUUAUUUUUUAUUAUAAAUUAAAUCCUUUAAUUUCAAGUCCAAGUUACUUGUACUUAACAACUUAACGGAUGAUUAACAUAUAAUAUAAUAUUAAUUGAAUUUAUUAAUUUGUUUAGGGUUGAAAGCUUGAAGCUACUGCACAAGUACACAUAAUUACAUAACAUAAACACAUUAUAAUUAUAAAACAUAUACAACAUAAUACUUAAUUUUAAUAUUUAAUCUACCUAAUGUGCUAAUUUAUUCAUAAAAAAAUCAAUUAUUAAUUAUUGUUAACAAUUAUUAACAAUUAUCAAUUAAUAUUAUUUCAAUUAUUAACUAUUAUUAACAAUUAUUAACAAUUAACAAUUAUCAAUUAUCAAUUAACAAAACCCACCAAUCGACAAUUCCUUUUUAUAUAUGAAAAAAAAUAAUUUCUGAUGAGCUCAAUAAUUAACAAAAUUUCCUUGAUUUUAUUACUAAUAUUUAUAAAUACAUAAUUCGUUCAUUACAACAAUCAAAUUAUAAACAAUUACUAAAUUACAUAAUAAACUAUUUAGCAUAUAUAAUUAAUUAAUUAUAUAGUGUAUAUAUACCAUGAAGCGAAACAGGAAACACUUAGGAAACGGGUCAAAAAGUUGAAGGCUUGAAGCUUGAAAGUGGAAGGUGGAAACCGGAAAGCUUCAAAAUCGGGUUCGGGUGGAGAGGAUUCGGUCUUCAAGCAGCAGAUCGGUGGCCACGGCUCACGGCUGGACGGACGGGAUUUCACUUGGCAGCAGAUCGCGGCUUCACUUGGGAGUUGGUAGCAGCAGAUCUCGGAGAUGCGGACGGCUCACGACUCACGGCUGGAUGGGUUUGACUUGGCAACAGCUGGUCGCGACUUCACUUGGCAGCAACAGAUCGUGAUUUCAGCAGUUGGCAGCAACAGAUCGCGUCUUAUGGUGGCUGGUUGCAGACUUGCGGGUUGCGGGUUGCGGCUGCCUUGUUCAGUUGUUUCAUUGUUUGUGUUUGUGUUUGUGAUCUGUGAAGUUGUGGCUGACAGGCAGCGUGUGUGUGUGUUAGGUUUGCGUCUUUGCGAGUGAAUUGUUGAGUGCAGCGUGUGUGUGUGUGUGUGCUGUGCACUUGCAGCGUGUGUGUCACAGUGUCAGUGUGUGUGCUGUGCAGCUUGUGACUUGUGUGUGUUGUGCAGUGUGCAGCUUGUGGCUUCUAUAGUUCUAUGUGUGCAGCAGCGUAUGUGACUAUGUGUGUGUGGCUCAGUGGCUGGCAGCUUGUGACUUCUGUUCUAGUGUUCUUUGUGUGUGCUGUGCAGCAGCAUGACAAAUUCAAAUUUGUUUCCCGUGACAAAUUUCUUUCUUUGUUUCUUUCACAUCCUCUCUCGGUCUCUCCCCUUUUUGUUUUUUUUUUCUUUUCCUCCAAAAAGAAAUUGUUCUGUUCUUAAACAAUUUGUCAAAUGCUCGAAAUUUAUCAAUUGCUUGGCGUUGGGUAGAAGAUAAGAUCUCUUUUGAAUGAUUAAAUUGGACAAAAACAGAAAAGGGUGAGGAUUGCUUCAGUCAUCAUUGCACUUGCAAAAUGCCAUCUAAGGCAACUUUAUUUUCUUUAUUAAAAUUUAAAAUGUCUCUGAGAAGAAUUUUGACAGAAUGGCUGCCAACUUUUUGGAUUGGUUAUUGGUGUGAUUCGAUUGCUGUUGGAGAAUGGAGAGGGAAAUAUGCUCAAUAAGGAGUACAGACACAUGCCAGAAAUCAAUUUUUUUUUUUUUUGGGAACCCGAUCGGGUAUUCGGAUCGGGUCGGGUUUGACCCGAACCGAUCACAACCCGAUCGGGUUUGUAAGUUUCAAUCCGAUCGGGUUUCAAUCCCGACCCGAUCCGACCCGAACCCGAAAUUUAUCGGGUCGGGUCGGGUCGGGUUGGGUCGGAUCGGGUAAAAUGCCCACCCCUAGGUCUAUCCAUCACUUGUUCUUCUGAAUCGCUAGAUGGUUCAACUAAAUCAGGUACUGUAUCUGUUUCAGAAAGCAAAGGCGACGAGGAUCGUUGCUUAGCUCGCUUCGUUUGCUGUCUCAGCUGGCGAGCUGUCUUCUCAAUUUCAGGAUCAAACGAAAGUGUACCUGUACGAGAAGAACGAACCAUACACCAAGUAAAACGUAAAAGGAUUAAAUAAAUGACACCAAUCCCCGGCAACGGCGCCAAAAUUUGAUGGGUGUCGAAGCCAACAAAAAUAAAUUCCUACUCUAAAUAAAUUAUGUAUAGUAAUUGAGCAGGGUCGUGUCCACAGAGAUCGGUAAUUAUUUAAAUCCUUUUAAAAUGUAAAACAUAAAAUGGGGGUUUUGUUGACAAUAAUAAAAAUCAAAUUAAGAUAACAAGAAUGCAAAUUAAAGUUGUAAUUCAAAUUGGAGAAAGCUCUGGUUGAAGGAAUUAACUCAGCUUGAUUCGACUACUGAUCAUUGAUUCAAAUAUAGAUUAUUAUUACUUAUGAAUAGACCGGUUAUAGCUAUUGAGACCCUCUAAUAGCCAAUCUCUCCUUAACUAGUCGAUAACCAAGGUACGACCGUUGGAUAUUUCCCUAAUCAAUAGACAACCCUAGAUACGAUCAUAUGAUUUAAUCAAUUGACAGCCUGAAAAACUAGAGAGACCCAAAUCCUAAUCAACACAUAUGAUGAUUCAUUUAAAUUAGAUUGUUUAUUCUCACAACACAACUCUCUGCUAUGUUAUUUGUCACAAACAUUAAAUUCUUCAUACGAUGAAUCCUUUAAUUGACAAUAGAUUAAGUUGAUAAUUAAAUAGUGGCCAAUUACCUAAUUAACAAACAUAAUCACGAAACUAAUUCAGAGAAUAAACAAAUACCCAAAAAGUAAUAAAACAAUUAAAGCAUAAGAAAGAUCUCACAGUAGUGAUGAAUCAAAGCUUCAUUAACCUUCAACCAGAAAAAUAGGUUUAGUUCUUCAUAGAGAGAAGAGAAAAAUUAAGAUCUAGGGUUUCUUUCUUUUUCUCCAAUCCAAAUCCCCCUUUUUCACAAUAGAUUCCUCCCUUAAAUACUCUCUCUCUUCUCUUUUAGAAUUCUAUUUAAAAUAAAAUACUAAUAUCUGAAAUAUUAAAUUCGUAAUUACAAAAAUAACCAAAAAUACAAAACACGUUAAACUAAAAACUGCAGGUCCGCAGUUGACAGCACGCGCCCACGCCUUAUCAACAAAGUUCUUCUGACGCUCAUAAUUUCUCCAAGAGAACAAUCCUCCUUAAACAUCAUCUUUUAGCUCAAUUUUAUCACCAAUCAAUAGAAUUGCACCUACAAAAGUAAAACACAAGUAAAACAUUAUUAUUAAGUGCAAAACAUCGAUAUUAAGGGAAGUAAAUAAUGCAAAACUAGUGCAUAAAUUGCACUCUAACAGACGUUGUGUUUUCUCAUCUAUUGUGUCCGGUGUCACGAAGUAAAGGGAUUUUUUUUUUUCUUUUGAAGUAGAUAUUUCGUUAUUGACAAUAUUUUGAUGAUAUUUUAGUCUGUAUGUGAAAUGCUGUAACUUUGCUUCGUCAGAUGUGGAUCUUGUGGUUCAUGCAGCAGGACCUUUUCAACAGGCACCGAAAUGCACUGUAUUGGAAGCUGCCAUAGAGACCAAGGUGAGGAAAGGUAAAUGUUGUGUUUGAAUAUCUCUUUUCCAAGUCCAGUUUUCUAUGUUUUGUAUAUGUGAUAAUUGAAGCAUGUAUACAACUUUACUAUGUACCCCAGAUGUAAUCUUAUGUGUUCUUUUUUGUGUCUCCUAACAGACAGUAUACAUUGAUGUUUUUGACGAUACCAUCUACUCCCAGCGUGCAAAAUCCUUCAAGGACAGAGCAAUAGCUGCAAACAUUCCAGCCAUAAUCUCUGGAGGAAUCUAUCCAGGAGUGAGCAAUGGUGCUUUUAUGAACAUGGACAUUCUUGUCCUGCUAUCCGCACUUCUAGCACUGUAAAUGAUACGAUUAAGUGAAGAAUACGGAUAGAGUACUAAUUCUUUAAUUGAAACAUGUGCAGACUACCAAUUCUUGCUUUAGAGCUAAAACUUAAUUGUUGGUAAACUCAUAGGCCUGGCUCCAAAGUUCUUAUAUAUGGGUGCACAUAUUGGUUUGACAGAUAGUUUUAGUGACUUUAUAUCAUUAACUUGAGUAUUGCAACUAAGAUAAAAGCUCAAAGUUUUCUUUGACAAAGUCUUUAAAAUCUUGAGCUACUUGCACGACAUAAUGAUUCUUUCAGAUCUCCAAGGGCAUAUCUUGCCUGAAUAGCCAUUUUGCUUCUGCUGAAAUAAGUAUCAAUAUUAAACACUUUAGAUGACACUUAAUUAGGUAGGGCUCCUAAACUUUGAGAUGGUUUCUAUUUUCAUGCUUACAUUCCAACUAAGCUGAAUUAUCUGAUGCCCGGUCCCUGCUCUUUGGAACUGUUUAUUUAAUUUUGGAUGUUGGGAUUUUCCGAAAUUGUACAAUUUCAGGACUCAAAAUCGCAUUUGAAGUUAUUUCAAAUUCCAGCACUUUGGGAAACUUCUAAGAUUUGUACUUUACUGCUUUUAUUUUCAUAACCAAUUCUUAUUUUCUUAACACAUUUUGGAGAACAUACAACUGAAAUCAUUUUUACCUAAUAACCUAGCAAAAAGCUACUACAUCUCUCAAUGUUGACCUCUGGGCUAAUCAAGCAUUUAACUUUCCUAAUACAAUUUAUCACAAAACGAUUAUCCCUUUUCAUAUUAUCCCUUCCCAUGAGUUUCACGGGUGUUGAAAAAGUAAAAAGUACUAGUUUGAAAUUUUACAAACUGCUGGAAAAUGGAAGGUCUAACAUCUUUCUUAACAAUCUGAAAUAGACUUCGUGCAUGCUGUAAAUUUAAAUGAAUCAUAAUUAAUUUAAGAUUAUUCCUCCUCAUCUUUCUUAACAAGUAGAUUACACAUAUUAUCAAGAAUUAAAUGGAAGGCCGAACAACUUUCUCACUCAAAAGUCUUAAUUCACUCAAAAGUCUCAACAUUUCUCACAACAACCUGACAGGUGGUAUUCCAUCGUCGCUAAGAAAUCUGACAGAGCUUGAAUCUCUAGACCUCUCUUCAAACAAGCUUGCUGGACGUAUCCCAACACAACUGGCUAGUCUCAAUUAUCUUUCGGUGUUGAAUCUUUCGAACAACCAGCUCGAGGGACCCAUACCAGGAGGACCCCAGUUUAAUACAUUUCGAAAUGAUUCCUAUUCUGGUAACUCGGGACUGUGUGGAUUCCCAUUAUCAAAAAGCUGCAGCAUUGAUGAGGCACCAGAACCACCAACACCAACAGGAUUUAUCGAAGGAGACGAUGCUUCAAGCUGGUUUGAUUGGAAGCUCGCUAAGUGGGUUAUGCAUCUGGAGUGCUGAUCGGCUUGUCCAUCGGAUACAUGGCAUUUGUGACUGGAAGGCCACAAUGGUUUGUAAGAAUGAUCGAAAGGAAGCAAUCCAGGAAGCUGAGAAGGGUGAUCAGACGAGGCGGAGCAGGUAGAAGAAGUUUGUAGGUGCAUCUCCAAAGGCCCAGUUGAGUAAUUAUUAGUUUGUCUUUUGGAAUUAUAAGCUGGUUUCUACUGUUCUUUGAGUAGAUAGCAUGCUGAUAUUAUCGUAAUCUAACAGUUGACUCACAAAAACCACCAUCCUAAUUUAUUUCAGAUUAUGUUUAUUAUCAACAUCUAUAGCGAGAAACAACAUGAGCAUAAUGUGUAAGAAAGAAAAUUUUAACUGAAUUAUUGAUGUGGUUGUUUUCUUCAGGAAUUAUAAACUCCUGGAAGCAAGCAAUGGAAGUCAAAUAAUCCUCCAUUAAGUGUGUGCAUUGCUCUUCCUGGGGAAAAUGUAUUAAAUGAUAUCCCACACAUCUGCCAAUGGGCUUGUACAGGGUUUACAUCCGAUGGUUGAAAUUGAGAUCUUUUAUUAAAAGUCAAACAAUUUCUUUUUUCCUCACAUUCUCUUCUUUCGUCUGGUUCGAAAAUUUUGUUUCCAGACACAGAAAACCAAAACAUUAAUUUAUUAAAAGUCAUAAAAUAAUUAAUUGAAUAAAGAGAGAGUUUUUGAAAGGCUUCUUGUCUUCCCUAAGAACUCCUCCACUAUUCUCUCCCAACCAGCCUAAAAUUCUACAAUACAUUCGUCCAAUGGUGAUUAACACCCACAAAUAGAGCUCAAGAUGGCUAGAGAAAGAAUAAUGUAGUAGUUAUUGCCUGCAAUGAUUUCAAAGACUCUUAAGAUUUCCUCUGCUUUUACUCAAUUUCCGAGCUUGACACUCCUUAACCUCUCUUUCAAUUCCCAAGUUGGAUCAACUAAUUAGUCAGUUGGCCCAACUAUUUCCGAGUUUUCAGAAAGGAAGACUUCAAUUGUCCCCAAGGGUCGAAAAGUAAAUAUCUAAAUGGUUAUUAAUUGGAUACAGCUUCAGCUUUUGGACUGGUUUGUGGAAAUUGAAAAAAUUUGAAAAGUGUUCCUCUUGAAGAAUCAAAGUCUACUUUAUACGUAAAGAAAGGGGAUCCCAGUAAAGAUAAUCCAUCAAUGUUCAGUUACAUUCGAGCGUGUUGACUACCUUCACGAUGAAAGACUUCUAUUGUCCCAAGGAGUUUAAUCGAGUGAUUUUUUAAGUAUUCCACUGACCAACAUGAGAUUCCAAAGCAAGACUUGGAAUAAGUAUCGAGGGGUCCACACGCAUUUCCGCGAGACCUCGCUGAGUUUUGCGAGGUCCAUACAUACUGAAUAGCUUACCUCAGAAUCUUCACCUGCUGACGCGAGAAUGUUUAGAACCUUUGAGGAUGCAAGGCCAGUUACACUCCCCUUAUGAACAAAUUCAGUGGCAGCCUUCCUCAAACAUUUGCAAAAAGUUGUGUCUUGACAAGUCUUAACCUCAAUGGCAAUUGGUUGGAAGGGCCGAUGCCUCCAUCUUUGGUUAACUAUUGGCAUUAUAAGCUGGUUUAUGUAUUGUUCAUGGAGUAGAUAACCAGCUGAUAUGUUUCAUAUUCUAACAGUUGAUAUACAAAAAUCCCAAUCCUGAUUAAAUUCAAAUUAUGUUUAUAAUCAGCAUCUAUAGUCUAUAGAGAGAGAGAAAAUGAGGGCCACAUUUUAAAAAUAAUUUUGACGUAGGAAAUUAUUUGGGGUGAAAUUCAUUUGGUGCCAUUUAGGCCACUUUUUUUCAAUUGGGCGUAUGUUAUAUACUUUUUCAAAGCUGGUAACAAGAUGAACAAUGUUGCCCAUUUGCCUUUGACUCUGAUGUCCGGGGGCUUUUACGAAAUUGUACAAUUUCAGGACUCAAAAUCGCAUUUGAAGUUAUUUCAAAUUCCAGCACUUCGGGAAAUUUCUAAGAUUUGUACUUUACUACUUUUAUUUUCAUAACCAAUUCUUAUUUUCUUAACACAUUUUGGAGAACAUACAACUGAAAUCAUUUUUACCUAAUAACCUAGCAAAAAGCUACUACAUCUCACAAUGUUGACCUCUGGGCUAAUCAAGCAUUUGACUUUCCUAAUACAAUUUAUCACAAAACGAUUAUCCCUUUUCAUAUUUUAAGUUCAGUAAUAAGAAUGAGGGGGCACCUUCCAAAUGUAUGCACCUUUUUUAGUUUUAUCCCACAAAACUUUAUCACAAAACAAUGGCCUUUUCAUAUUUUCAGUUAUUGCUCAAUCCCUUCACAAAAAAUUAUGCACAUUUACAAGGGAUAGAAGAUUUUGGUUUGGCUUUGAUUUUGAUAUGACUAUAAAUACUAUUGAAAUUACAAACUUUAGAGGCUCACGAAAUAAAUAUUGUAAAUUUAAGGGGGCUAAAUCAUAAGCUUUACAAAUAAGUGGAUUCAAUUUUAGUUUGUACCUUUAUCAGCGAAUCCAAUUUUCCAAUUUUCAAACCAAAAUGUAGUUUUAAUUUUUUGAUUAAAUUUCUUUUGAAAAUGCUCAACUAAAUACUUUUUAUGGUUAGAUGUUAGUUUGAAUGAACACGUUCAUAGAUGAUUGUGUAAGCAAUUUAUUUGGUUAAUUAACGGUUGUACUCUUUAAAAAUGCGAAUUACUAAUUUUAAAAAAUUUCAGUGGUUAGUGUAUUAAAAGUGUGUUUGGAGCAUAGCAAUGCAUGUUAUUGUAAUACUAUUCACAUUAAUUUAUUACUAAACCAUGAUUGGUAAUUUAGAAGCUACAUUGUGGUGCAUAUGCACCAUAAUGCGCCAACUUUUGCCUCAAUUGAGGCAUUAAAUAUAUUUUAAUUAUAAUAAAUUAAAUAUAAAAUAAGUUAUAUUAUAAUAUUUUUAUUCAAUAGCACAAUAUCACAUUAUAUUUAUACAUUAGUAAUUAAUAUAAAAUAAUAAUUUAAUAAUUAAUUUUAUAUAAUUAACAAUAAAAUAAUAAUAAAUUUAAAUAAUAUUAAUACAAAAUUAAUAAAGUACAAUCCAACACAAAAUAUUAUACGAUAUUAUUAUAAUGCAAUGCUUAUUCAAUACUGCAUAAAGUGAUGACAUAAUACGGUGUAAGUAAAGAGUAAUGGAUUUUAGUUGGCAAUAACGUAUGCCCAUUACUAUAAAGCAAUGGCCCAACACUUGGCAUGUCAAAAACAAAAACUGUCCACGUCCUCGGACACACACUGGCGCCACGUCAUCACUCACUGUAAACUGAAAAGAAAAUUUUUUAUAAGAAAACAGUUGAAUAAUCGAAUUUCGAGUCUUUGGCGGACGUUAUUCUUUUAUGCUAAAUAUAUCUUUGAGUUAAACAGUUAUUAAAACAUUGGGGCUAGUUUUUCAUUUAACUACAAAAUUACUUUUUUUGAAACCCAUAAAACCAUUUUUAAGUGGUAAAUUAGUUCUAUCACGUCUUCAACUAUUACCAAAUUCUUAUUCGAGUUCACCAUUUUAGUAGUAAAUGCAUUAUCUAAAUAAUUUCAAAUGAUGUAUUAAAUAAAUAUUUUGAGGAACAAGGCUCAUCAUGUCUCCUCUCAUUAGUUGUAUUUUUAAUUUCUUUUUAAAAAAUUCUCACAUAAUCAAUUAAAAAAAAUUAAGCCACAAAAAAAAACAAAGUAUUUAGCUUCGCAGCUGAAUGGGGCUAAAUUGUGUAUUAUUUGGCUGGUGAAACUCUUACCACAUCGGCUAAUAUGCUACUUUUGGAUCCCUUAUUUUAACUUUUAUCAUGACAUGGCAGUGGUGGUAACAGAGCUUGCUCAUAUUGGUAGAAGUGAAAUGAUUGCAAGUAAUCUCCCACUAUGACUGGCAUUUUUAUCUUAUUUAAGUUUCGGUGAAGCCCAUCCACAUAAAAUAAUUGGCAGGAAGUGUUAAGGAGAAAAGAUAGUCCUAAUUCAAUGCAUGGGGAUGCUGCUAUCACUUUUUAUUACUAAAUAUUUUUAAAUUGGAAUAAUGUAUUAACGGAAUAAAAAUUUUCAUAAUCUAACAAUUGAUUUACAACAACCCGAGUCCUCAUUAAAUUCAAAUAAUAAUUAUAAUCAACAUCUAUAGGAAAAUGGAAAACGAGAAUCAUAUGUAAAAAGAAAUCAUUUCGUAUGCCCAUUACCGUAUUAUAUUUGUACAUUAGAAAUUAAUAUAAAAUAAUAAUUUAAUAAUUAAUUUAAUAUAAUUAAUAAUAAAGCAGUAAUAAAUUUAAAAAAUAUUAAUACAAAAUUAAUAAAGUAUAAUCUAACAUUAAAUACUAUACAAUAUUAUUACAAUAAAAUACUAAUUCAAUACCACAUAAAGUAAUAUACGUGCAUUAUUUGGAACUGGCAUAAAGUAAAAUUAAUAAAGUAUAAUCUAACAUUAAAUACUAUACAAUAUUAUUACAAUAAAAUACUAAUUCAAUACCACAUAAAGUAAUAUACUUGCAUUAUUUGGAACUGGCAUAAAGUAAAAUUAAUAAAGUAUAAUCUAACACUGUUACAGAUAUUAAUACUAUAUCAACACACAUGGAAAAACUGGAAUAGAUUUUUAUUUGGAACUGGCAAUCUAACUUCCCACUUUUUUGACAAACUUAUGUAGACAAACUAAUAAAAGAGGUAUCAGGAGGAUGGGUGUUUAAUCUUCGAAGUCCUGCCCCAACAACCUUCAACAGUUUAUGCCUGUCCUAGUUGAAGCUAAAUACAAUAGUAAAGAAUCAAUAAGAGAGAUGAAAAUAUUUAUAAUAGUGAAGGAAAGCCUAAACCAAGAAUUGAAGUAAAAUAAUAAUAAUUUAAGUGAUAAAGUCGGUGCUCGUACUCCUGUUAAUUCUAGAUAAAUCUGAUUAGUUUGACGACUUUUACCAGUUCAAAUGCUCUUCUGAUUGCUAAAUAGAAAGUUGGACGCAUUCUUGAAUUGAAUUUAUAUCAUCGUCUGACCUCUUCAAAACCUACUAUGAAAGUGAUACAAAUCAUUAAAAAAUAAAGGCAUGACCUGGACGCUGAUCAUUCUUCAUUCAUAUUCAAAGAUUCAAUCGGCCCUGAUAUUACAUGAAUAUUAAAAUCGACUGACAUGGUAUGGUAAUGGAAUGAGCGUAUGCAUAUGCAUGCUUAUUGCUGAAUAGAAAGGUGUGAGAUUAAAACCACAUGUCGAUGCAAUCAACAUGGAAUACAUGGAAUUUGAAGACAACAGUUUAUGCAUAUGCAUGCUUAUUGCUGAUAUUACAUGUUUAGCUGCCGAACAACUUUUUUAACAAACUGAAACAGAAUUAAAGCCGAGGAUGGAAAAUCAAUUGUGUUUUGUGCAUAAUGUAUAUGACUGACUGACUAACUACGAGUUUAGCUGCCUGCCACAUUAGCAUAAUAUAACACAUAACUAAUAUCAUUCCGCGUCGAGCAUGUCGUCAAGAUCCCCCUCUUGAAAGGAUUCCACUUACCACCUAAAUUCCAAAGCUAGAAGACUUGGUGCUGUAAGUCAAUAAAUAUUCUAUUAUUAAUUAAUUACACACCAUAUUCAACUUCUAUAAAUAGUCAUUAUAUCUCUCUCUCUUCUUGUGAUUUCAUCAUCCAGAAAAGAAAAAGAAAAAGAAAAUGGGUUAUAUCACUCAGCCUUAUCAACUUUUUAUUUGCCUCCAGUUAUUGCUCUUCUAUUCUCAGUAUUCAGCAAUACUUUGCUCUCACGACCAAAGUUCUGCUUUACUCCAAUUUAAGCAGCUCUUUUCCUUUCAAAAACAUUCUUCGCACCGUUGUGAAAUAUCUCGUCCAAAGAUGAUGUCUUGGAAAGAGGGCGCUAAUUGCUGCUCCUGGGAUGGAGUAACAUGUGAUUCGGUGACGGGUCACGUGAUUGGCCUCGACCUCAGUUGCAGUUGGCUUCACGGCAACAUCCCUUCCAACACUAGCCUUUUCUUUCUUUCUCGCCUGCAAAAGCUCAACCUGGCUUACAAUGAUUUCAAUUACUCUAAGAUUUCCUCUGGUUUUAGUCAAUUUCCGAGCUUGACACUCCUUAACCUCUCUUCCAGCAAUUUCAUGGGGUCAAUUCCUGCCUCACUAGGUAACAAUAUUACACAACUUGCUUAUUUGGAUCUUUCGUAUAAUAAUUUUAGUGGUCACAUUCCAGCAUCUUUUUCAAAUCUCCAGCAACUUCAUCACUUAGAUCUUUGAAAUUCCUGCAUCACUAGGUAACAAUAUUACACAACUUGCUUAUUUGGAUCUCUCAUUUAACAGUUUUACUGGUCAGAUUCCAUCAUCUUUUUCAAAAAUUCAGCAGCUUCAUCAUUUAGGUCUUUCGUACAAUCACUUUGUUGGUGAAAUUCCUGCUUCACUUGGUAACAAUAUUACACAACUUGCUUAUUUGGAUCUCUCAUCUAACAGUUUUAGUGGUCAGAUUCCAUCAUCUUUUUCAAAUCUUCAGCAGCUUCGUCAUUUAGAUCUUUGGGGCAAUAACUUUGUUGGUAAAAUUCCGGAUAUGUUUACCAACCUAACCCAACUUUCUAUUUUAGGCUUGGCAGAUAAUCAACUGAUUGGCUCGAUUCCAAGUUCAAUCUUUGAACUUGUUAAUUUGACAUUAUUCUCUCUUUCUUCUAACAAUUUCAGUGGCAGCGUUGAGCUUUACGAUUUUGCAAAGCUCAAAAAUCUUAAAUAUCUUAGUCUUUCUAAUAUUAGUUUAUCAGUUAGCACCAAAUUAACAGUCGACUCGUCUUUCCCUAAUCUUUCGUAUUUAGCUUUAUCGGCUUGCAAUAUAACUGAGUUUCCAGUCAUCUUGAAAACUGAACAUCAGUUAGUGUGGUUGGACCUUUCUAAAAACCAAAUCCAUGGUAGGAUUCCCAGUUGGAUGUGGGAUAUAGGAGUACAUACUUUGCGAUUUCUAAUUCUUUCACAAAACUUCCUGACAAGCAUAGACCAUCUUCCGUGGAAAAAUCUCGUAUAUCUUACCCUUGAUUCGAACCUACUUCAAGGAUCACUUCCAGAUCUACCACCUCACAUGGUACAGCUUUCAAUUUCCAACAAUAAUUUGACCGGAGAGAUUCCUUCAUCAUUUUGUAAUUUGAAUUCCAUUAAAUCUUUUGACGUAUCCAACAAUAGCUUGAGUGGACAAAUCCCAGAGUGUCUUGGAAACUCUACACUUCAAACUUUGGAUCUCAGAAUGAACAACUUCCAAGGUACCAUCCCACAGACAUAUGCAAAGGGCUGCAACUUGACUUCGCUUCAGCUGAGUGGCAAUCACUUGGAGGGACACAUACCACCAUCUUUGAUUAACUGUGUCAAUUUGAAAUUUCUUGAUGUUGGGAAUAACAACUUGAGCGCCCCAAUUCCAGAAUGUCUUGGAAACUCAACACAUUUGUCAUUUUUUGAUGUUGGGAAUAACAGCUUAAGCGGGCCAAUUCCGGAAUGUCUUGGAAACUCAACACUUGAAAUCUUAGAUAUGAGAAUGAACAAGUUUAGUGGCAGCCUCCCUCAAACAUUUGCAAAAAGUUGUGUUUUGGUAAGUCUUAACCUUAAUGGCAAUCGGUUGGAAGGACCAUUGCCUCCAUCUUUGGUUAAUUGUCGACAUUUGGAAGUUAUAGAUGUUGGGAACAAUCAGAUUAAUGAGACCUUUCCCCACUGGUUAGACGUUCUUCCCGAAUUGCAAGUACUUACAUUGCGUUCUAAUAGAUUUCGUGGUCCCAUUGGUGAUAUCAAAACAAGAGUUCCUUUCCCCAAGUUGCGAAUAAUUGAUCUCUCUUACAAUCGAUUCACCGGUCUUUUGCCAAUAUGGUAUCUGAAUGGUUUUAAAGCCAUGAUGCACGGGAAUGACAAUAAUAUUGAAUUCAAUUAUAUGAGGUCGUUGAAUUUUUCUUACUAUGAAUCAAUAUCUCUGACUAUGAAAGGCAAUGACAUACAAAUGGAGAGGAUUUUAACCACUUUUGCAACUAUUGAUUUGUCGAGCAACAGAUUUCAAGGGGAAAUAUCAGAAGUGUUGGGAAAGCUUAAUUCACUCAAAAGUCUCAACAUUUCUCACAACAACCUGACAGGUGGUAUUCCAUCGUCGCUAAAAAAUCUGACAGAGCUUGAAUCUCUAGACCUCUCUUCAAACAAGCUUGCUGGACGUAUCCCAACACAACUGGCGAGUCUCAAUUAUCUUUCGGUGUUGAAUCUUUCAAACAACCAGCUCGAGGGACCCAUACCAGGAGGACCCCAGUUUAAUACAUUUGGAAAUGAUUCCUAUUCUGGUAACUCGGGGUUGUGUGGAUUCCCAUUAUCAAAAAGCUGCAGCAUUGAUGAGGCACCAGAGCCAACAACACCAACAGGAUUUAUCGAAGGAGAUGAUGCUUCAAGCUGGUUUGAUUGGAAGCUCGCUAAGUUGGGCUAUGCAUCUGGAGUGGUGAUCGGCUUGUCCAUCGGAUACAUGGCAUUUGUGACUGAAAGGCCACAAUGGUUAAUAAGAAUGAUCGAAAGGAAGCAAUCCAGGAAGUUGAGAAGGGUGAUCAGACGAGGCAGAGCAAGUAGAAGAAGUUUGUAGAUGCAUCUCUAAAGGCCCAGGUGAGUAAUUAUUAGUUUUGCCUUUUGGAAUUAUAAGCUGGUUUCUACUGUUCUUUAAGUAGAUAGCAUGCCGAUAAUGUCGUAAUCUAACAGUUGACUUGCAAAAAGCACAAUUCUAAUUAAUUUCAAAUUAUGCUUAUUAUCAACAUCUAUAGUGAGAAACAAAAUGAGGAUAAUGUAUAAGAAAGAAAUUUUAACUGAAUUAUUGAUGCGAUUGUUUUCUUCAGGAAACAAUUUAAUCGUGACAUAGCUGCACUUGAGAACGAAACAGUUGAUGAUGAGUAAUAAUGUUUGGAAUGACGCCGCAGGAAAUAAAGUAGGAAGAGCUUUCAAGUUAUGUACUUUCUUUUCUAUUAUUUUUUAUGUUAUUUAGUUGCUUUAUUAAAUAUUUCUUUUAAAUUCAAGGUCACACAAAUUAAGAAUGAAAUAAAAAACAGUGGGAAAAAAAUUAAUGUCCAAUUCCGUUGCGAAAUUAAAUUUUUGUUGAUUGAUAAAUUCUCUUCUGUUCCAGUCAACUCAUGGCAGAUUCAAUUGAUCAAGCUUACAAAUUCAGCAUAUAUAAUCCAUAAUUAUGUAGAUUACACAUUUUAAUUUGUAGUAAAGUAAUUAAUCAAAUUUAUUCUUAAUCAGGUAUUUAUUUUUCCUAAUCAAAUUUAUCAGAAAACAAUGACCUCGGGAUUUGGUUAUACAAUAAAUGUAACUUAUGUAAUAUGAUCAUGGCGUUAGGGUUUGGUUAUUGUAACUUAUCCGAUGUGGUCUAAUUGAAUUUUGUAGAAGGUUUUGAGAGAAAAUUAAGAGAAAAUAUGAUACUAACUUUUAAGUAUCUACUUGGAAUAUAUUAAAAAAUUUCAAAUUUUGAUAUCGAUUAUAAAUCAACAUUCAAUUUUCUACAAAUGCCGUAUGUGUCAUUUCUUUUUUAUGAUCAUAUAUUUUCGAUAUUACAUAAAUAAAAUUGGUACACUAAAUUACAAAUAUAUAUGAUCAUGAUCUGACCCAAUAUGGGAAUUUGCUUCUUCUUCUUCUUCUUCAUAUUUAUCACCAAUGUUCUACAAACAUGUGAUUUUAUUUGAAGAUGAUUUGAACGCUAUACAGUAUAAUAGCUGUUUAAAUGUGUGUGUACAUAUAUGAUUCAGCAGAGUACUCCUAGUCUUAUCCAUAAUUAAUUGAAAAACAUUCUAAUUAGAUGAGAUUACAAAUAUGAUCAAUGUUUAAUAAUAUCCAUCAUAAAAAAAUGAAGUCCUAAUUAAUGACUUUCAUUUUUUGAUCCUUCCUAUGAGUUCACAUAUAGCCGUGGAAAAGAAGCUUAAGUAUAUAGUCUGCAAUUUUACAAAACUGGCGACAAAUUAAUGCACCAACUAGACUCCAAAACAAGAUGACGAGUUAUAUUUAGUAACAAGGCUUGAUACUGUAAGUCUAAAAGUAUAAUAUUUAUUAUUACUAUUUUUUGUUAAAAGUGUUGUAUUUAAUUAGAUUCCCCUGUUUUGGUGUGAGUUAAAGAGAUGGCUACGAUAAGUUUUUUACUCUUGUAAGGGGGACUUGAAUAAAGUGCUCAUCAUUAUUGGCUUUGAGAAAGAAAGACUUGUCCUAUAUAUCCCUCUUAAUUUGAACAAACUUUCUUCAGCAACUUCCAACCUUUUUUUAUCCUUGCCAUGGGUUUCAUAGACGUGAAAAAGGAGUUAAAGCAGUUUGGAAUUUUAUUAAAUUGGCCACAAAUUCAUGCAACUUUCAACCUUUUUUAUGUUUUCCAUUGGUUUCAUAGCGUGGAAAAGAAGUUGAAACAGUUUGAAAUUUUUUUAAGUUGGCCUCAAACUCAUGACCUACUAGAUUCCAAACAAUAUCAUGAGGCUCUCAAUAACAAGACCUGGAGCGAGCUCUAAGUCUAAAUGAACUAUAAUUAAUUAAGACUAUUCCGUCUUAAUUUCAAAAGGUAGUAUUGAUCAAGCUUUUGAAAUUAAUAUUAAACAUAUUAAUUUGUAGUCUGACUAAUUAAGAAGUAAAUGGAAGGAUGUUAGAGUGCAAUUUAUGCACUAGUUUUGCAUUGUUUACUUCCCUUAAUAUCGAUGUUUUGCACUUAAUAAUAAUAUCUAGGGUUUCUCAACCAGAAAAAUAAGUUUAGUUCUUCAUAGAGAGAAGAGAAAAAUUAGAUCUAGGGUUUCUUUAUUUUUCUCCCAAAAGUCCUUUUUUCACAAUAGAUUCCUCCCUUAAAUACUCUCUCUCUCUUCUCUUUUAGAAUUCUAUUUAAAAUAAAAUACUAAUAUCUGAAAUAUUAAAUUCGUAAUUACAAAAAUAACCAAAAAUAUAAAACACGUUAAACUAAAAACUGCAGGUCCGCAGUUGACAGCACGCGCCCACGCCUUAUCAACAAAGUUCUUCUGACUCUCUAAAUUUCUCCAAGAGAACAAUCAUCUUUAAACAUCAUCUUAUAGCUCAAUUUUAUCACAAAUAAAUAGAAUUGCACCUACAAAAGUAAAACACAAGUAAAUCAUUAUUAUUAAGUGCAAAACAUUGAUAUUAAGGGAAGUAAACAAUGCAAAACUAGUGCAUAAAUUGCACUCCAACAAAUUCCCCCACACCAAGAUGAUGCUUGUCUUCAAGCAUAUAACUCAAGACUAAUCCCAAAUCUCCACUCAAUUUUCAUCUCAACUCAUCCAAAAACAAUUUUAAGCAAGCAUACCUCAAGAAAUUAAGUUGAUCAACAUUCGAGAGACAAGGAUUUUAAAGCAUAGAAUCUCAUAAGAUAGAAUAAGAACAUUCAACCACCAAGAAGAUCCAUUCAAAAUUCAAGUGCAACAAGAUUUAAUAGCCCUCUCAUUGACCUCACUCCAUGCACUCAAAGUGUUUAGGGUAUCAUUUAUGCACUCAAAUCAAAUCAAAGAAUGCUAUUACCAUAAGCUUGCUGAUAUAUCACAUCUCAAUCCACAAAACAUGAAUAAAAUGCAAAAAUCUAAGGGUCUUAAAAGGGUUGUAAUGGGGUUAAAUAGGUUAAAUGAAAAAGAAAGGUCUAUGAAAGAAAAAGAGAUCAAAAUGAGAAGAAUGAACUCAUUGAAUGAACUUAUGAUAUCAAAAUGCUUAUUUCUACUCAAGUCACCAAGAAUGCAAACUUUUUUUUUUCGAUUUUUUUUUCUUUUUGUUUUUUUUUGUUUUUUUUUCUUUUUUAAUCAAACAAAAGAAACGAACCUUGCACAAUUUAAUUCAAGCAUAAUGCUUGUUGAUCUAAUUGAGAAACUUUAAUACAAGGUAGAAAAAGAAAAAAAAUAUAUCCACACAAUGAGUCCAAAAAUCUCCUUAAAUUGAGGCUCAAAAAGAAGAAAAAUGGUUAAGUAGACGGAGAGAAUUAGAUGGGUAAUGGUUAAGGCUCAAACAAAGGUAGCAAAUAAAGGUCUUCGGGUAGAGAAAAAAAAUGCGAGAAUAGAAAAAUGGUAAAUGGUUUGCCCUUAUCAUUUUAAUGCAUAAAAUCCCGUAAUGUGGCUUCAACAUGCAUAAUAAAGAAAGUUCUAGAAUAAACAAACUAGGAUUGAUAUUCACAUAACAAAAAUAAUUAGAGCAAAGUGGUUGCUCAUAGGCUCAAAUCCUCACAAUUUUGGUAAAUUUGCCAUCAAAUCAUGUACACUCUUCAAAUGAAUCAACCAUCAAUAGUGGUGUAGAAUGAGAAGAAGGUAUGAGUGAGAUAUAAAAGGAAAGGUAAAAAAAGAUAAUAAGCGAGAAAGAUGUAUGUAGUAAAAAAAUUGAAAGAUAAAAUGUGAAAGAUAAAAUGUGAGUGAUGAAAGAAUAUGAUAGAAAAACAAUAGAUGUAAAUAAUUUGAGAUAGAUGGGAAAUGAGUAGUGAGAGAGAAAGGAAAAGAAAAUUAAUAAUAUAUUAAGCAUACUAACUCAAAAAUCAUUUAAGGAUGAGUAGAGUGAAAAUAGAUGAGUAGAGUGAAAAUAAUAAUUCCAGGCAUCAAUAAUGCAAAAAUCCCUCCCCCACACCAAGAACUUACAUUGUCCCCAAUGUAAGAUAAUCAAAGCUCACAUAAAAAUUAAAGCGUAAGGAUAAAAGAUUAAAGGCAAAAAGAAACUUCCCUGAAUUGUGAGCUUUGAUCCACAUAACGUCUAUGGGUUUGGCGGAAAUUGUGGGGAAAAUCCCACACUCUCGAAGUAUGCGGCAAAAUUCUGCUCCAUCUUGUUCAGCUUGUGCUCCAUUUUCUCUAACUGAAUGCUCAAAGGUGGUGCGAAUGUAGAAGGAAUAGUUGGCGGGCCAGCAGUGUCGUCGUCAAACUCGUCAUCAGAGGUAGCACCACUCCUAGCAUAAAGCUUCUUCGAAGGUUGAGUGGGUCCUGGUUCAGUAAACUGAAAUCUCCCCUCCUUGAAUUCGACCACACCUCUCUUUCUCUUGUUGAGUCGCGAAUGCGAGGCACCCUCCAAGAUUGGAUUCCGCAAGUGGCAAAACACUCAUGCCUUUUCCAUGUUUUGAUCUUUAUCUCAUGGCUUGGCGUGAAUAUGAAAUUGUGUUCCAUGGAACCGUAGUGGGAGCGGCAAUCUUAGAUUUCUUUGCGACGGGUGUCUUUUUAGAUGACUUGGAAGUAGAUGCUUUCCUCUUCGGCAUUGUUACAAUGAUUACACUCACGGAUUUUGAUUUACCCGGCUGGAAUACAAGGAGUAGGCUGGUUGCGUUGCGUUGCUGCUCGGUUGGAGCUUGCUGCGCAGGUUGGGGCUGGUUGCGCGCUGCUGCUGGUUGCGUUGCGCGAUGCUGCGUGUUGAGUGUUAGAAAAUGUAUAUUUAUAAAGGAGAAAAUCGUCAUUUUACACUACAAGUUUUACUAACACCUUUACUUUUAUGAAUUUAACCUUCUUUUGAUUUAAUUCCGUGUGUUUUAUUUUAAUUAAGUAUUUUAUGUAUUUUAGGGGCAUCAUAGUCAUUUCACAAUAAACGAGAGAUCAGAUGGCAAAACGGACAUCACUUUUGAACUCAGGACGGUCGAAAACCUUAGGAGGAGCAUAAAAGGAAAAAUGGCACUGUUCACAUGUACGGUACUAUUCACGUGUACGGUACUGUAUACGUUACUGUUCACGACAAUGUUCACAUAGACGGACGAUGACGUGGCAUUGACCGAUGAUGUGGCAUUGACUGAUGAGGUGUCACGAUCCUGUUGGACUAAAAUUCUUAUGUACUGUUGAUGGUGACGUGGCAGCAUAUCAGUGGACGAAAAAUCUCGCGUACGGUACAUGCAUCACACAGGAUUAUUUUCAACCAAACCGCGUCACUGUUCACACGGGUCAAACCGUGUUACUGUUCAUCCACGUGGUCAAACCGCGUACUGUUGACUGAUGACGUGGCGCAAUCCUGAGCGUCCAAACUGUUUUUAAUCCGAUGGCCAUGAUUUACUCCAUGUAUCUAUAAUUUGAUAUCUCUGAAUCCAUUUUUGGACUCUAUUUUCUGUAAUUCCUUCUCCAUCUUGUAUUUUCUACGUAUUUUAACAAAUUCCCAUUUUACCCCUAGUUCAAUUAUGAGUGGCUAAUUUUCUUUCAAGCUUGGGUUGAAGGUGAAGUCUCAACAUGUGUCAUGGGCUUUAUUUGGUAAAUUUAUUUUCUCUUCCCAUCUAAUUUUUGUGGAUGUUUUGACUUCUCGUCGACAAAUAAUACUAAUCUUGUCUAGUACCGCCUUGGUUUCACCGGCCCCCUAGUACAAGGUUAUUAUUAUUUGGCACGAUAAGCCCUUAGCACCAUAUUGAUUAGAGCGUGGUUCAUGAGGUGUGGAUUCCCCCCUCAUAAUUUAAUUGGCAUUAAUAAGGAUUAUUUAGCCCAUGAUGCAUGUUGAUACGGAUCCAAAUACCCAAGUACGUCAUUUCAAUAGAAUUCUCUUCAAUUUAUUCUCGCCAUUUUAAUUCCAAUUUUAGAAUUUAUUCUCACCAUUUUAAUUUAAGUUUUAGCAUAUUCCAAAUCAUUUCCACCACAAAUCCAACCACCCAUUUACAAAAUUAAUUCUAUACACAAUUAAAAUCCACCUCCUCGUGGGAUCGACACUCGUCACCAUUAGUCUAUACUACAAUAGAUUCGUGCGCUUGCGAGUUCAAUAAAAUUUGCACAACACUGCGCUGCAGGGCUACGUUGCGCGCUGAUGGGUUGCGUUGCAGGUCUGUUGCGCAGGUUGGGUUGCGUUGCGGGUCUGUUGCGGCUGCUCGUCUGUUGCUGCUCUGCUACGUUGCGCGCGCGGGACUAAUGCGCUGCGCGAUGGUGAUGGCUGGAUUGAUUUGCUCUGCGCGCGCGGUCUGGAGCUGAGGAUCUGCGUUGCGGGGGCUGGAUCUGCCCACUGCUGUGUUGCGCGCGAGAGCUGCUGCUGCGUGGCUGUGGCUGCGGCUGCUGCGUGGGCUGCGGGAAAGAAUUAGGGAUUUUGUGAAUUAGGGAUUUUUUUUUUUUUCAACAGUGAUUUUUGAAAUUUUUUUUAAAUAAAUAAAUAAAUAUAUAAAAGAAAGAACAAAAGCAAAUCUUUUUUUUCGUUUUUUUUUAAUAAAUAAAUAGAUAAAAAUAAUAAUUUUUUUUUUUUUUUUAGUGAUGAAUCACUUUGAGACACUAAAAAUUUGAGAAGUACUUUUUUAAUAAGCACGUGGGCAUGCCUUAAAAUCAUUUUAAUUUAAAAAUCACAUAAGUACUUAUUAGUUAAGAUGUGGGCACGCCUUAUCGAGAAUUUUCUUCUGAUCAAAAUAAGCAAACACAUUAUUUUUAAAAAAAAUCUGAAUCAAAAUUAAAAGAAGAUAUAACAAAAACCAAAAUAAAUAAAUCAUUUGGGUUGCCUCCCAAAAAGCGCCUUUGUUUUAUGUCUUUGACUAGACACAUUUAUGCAUCAAUCUCCAUAAUUAGGACUCUCGAGAGCCACAUCCUCCACAAUAUUCACCGAAAAACCUUCAUAAAAAUGUUUUAAGCGAUGACCAUUAACCUUAAAAACUUUGUCAGAGGUCAGACUCCAAAUCUCAACUGCACCAUGAGGAAAAACAUUAGUAACAAUAAAAGGUCCAACACAGCAAGAACGUAAUUUACCCGGAAAAAGUUUAAGCUUAGAAUGAAAAAGAAGAACUUUUUAACCAAUAGAGAACUCUUUUCUCAAAAUCAUUCUAUCAUGAAAUGUCUUCGUCUUUUCCUUGUAAAAAACUUCCUGCGCUAUAGGGUUAAUAACAUCCACAGAAAAUACCGAAUGUUCCUCACUAGGAUAUUUCAUGGCAUCAUUCAUAUUGAAUUCUAUAACCUCUCCAUCAAACUCCAUAGUGAGAGUCCCUUUAUGUACAUCCAUUUUAGUCCUAGCAGUCUUAAGAAAAGGUCUUCCUAGCAAAAUUAGGAUAGAAUUAGAGGAGUUAUCAUCUUCCAUAUCAAGUACAUAAAAAUCAGCAGGAAAAACCAACUCAUUAACUUGUACUAAGACAUCUUCUAAUACCCCAUCAGGAUAUGCAUUAGACCUAUCAGCUAGUUGAAUUAUCACGCCAGUUUCUUUUAAUGGACCAACAUUCAAAGAUGAAUAAAUGGAACGAGGCAUGACAUUAAUAGAAGCUCCUAGAUCUAACAUAGCCUUUUCAACUCUAACACUACCAAUUUUACAAGGGAUAGUAAACAUACCUGGAUCCUUGCACUUAGGAGGUAGUUUCUUUUGGAGAACUGCUGAAACAUUCUCCCCCAUGUGAACUUUUUCAUCUCCUCUUAAUUUUUUCUUAGAGGUGCACAGUUCCUUAAGGACUUUAGCAUAUCGAGGUAUUUGUUUUAUAGCAUCUAAUAAAGGAAUAUUUACCUCAACCUUGCAAAAUGUCUCAAGGAUGUCUUUCUCUUGUUCCUCCUUCUUGGAUUUUGCAAACCGGCUUGGAAAAGGAGGAGGUAUCACAAUAAGUAGAGGUUUCGCUCUGGUGGGUUGUACAUCUUGAGAUUUAGGCAUCAAUUCAUUCUUCUCAAGCUCAUCUUCUACAUGCUUUGUCACUUUCUUACUAGGCUCUUGCAACUCCUUCCCACUUCUAAGGAUGACAGCACUAACGUUUUGCUUUGGAUUCACCUCAGAUUGUGAAGGCAAUCUCCCUAAUACUUGAGACUCCAGACGGCUCACUGUAGUCGCCAAUUGACUCAUUUGGUUCUCCAAAUUCUGAAUGCUUGCUGUAGUUGCCUGCUGAAAUUGUUGAGUGUUAGUCGCAAGUGAUUUAACAAUUUCUUCAAGAGAUAUACCUGACUUGGAGUUUGACUGUGGAGGUGCUGGUUGUCUUGAUGGAUACUGUUGUGGGAAUCCUGACGGUCUAACUCCAUAGCUGAAGUUGGGAUGAUCCUUCCAUCCCGGAUUGUAUGUUUGUGCAUAAGGAUCAUACCUCCUCUGAGGCAUGCCUGGAAAUCCUCCAACUGCAUUGGCUUGUUCAACGGGUUCUUCUUGAAGUGUAGGACACAUAUCAGUUGAAUGACCCAUAUUGUAACAAAUGCCACAAGUCUUCACCUGUUGCACAUUACCUACAACAAACUUUUUCACAAGAGAAGUAAGUUUAUCUAAACGUUGUUCAACAGAAGAAAUAUUUACCUCAUUCACCUUCCUUGAAGUGAGAUCUUGCCUGCUGCCAAAUUGGUGUGCGUUGGCAGCCAUAUUUGAUAUCAGCUCCCUUGUUUGAGUAAGGGUCUUGUUCACCAACACGCCUCCACUAGCAGCAUCUAUCAUACUCCUAUCCAUCAAUGACAGUCCUUCGUAAAAAUAUUGAAUAAGAAGUUGAUCAGAAAUCUGAUGCUGAGGACAGCUGGCACAUAAUUGUUUAAAUCGCUCCCAAUACUCAUACAAAGUCUCCCCAGGAAGUUGUCUGAUCCCACAAAUGUCUUUUCUGAUUUUAGCAGCUCUUGAAGCAGGAAAGUACUUCUCGAGGAAUUGCUUCUUCAAACCAUUCCACGUUGUAAUUGAUCCAGGAGGCAAGUAGUACAACCAGUCUUUAGCUAGUCCAUCUAAAGAGAAAGGAAAAACACGCAGCUUAAUCUGCUCUUCAGUCACGUCUUGUGGUCUCAUACUUGAACACACAACAUGAAACUCCUUAAGAUGUUUAUGAGGAUCUUCACCUGCAAAACCAUGAAACUUGGGUAAUAAAUGAAUAAGACCAGACUUUAAUUCAAAAUUUACCUCCAAGUCUACAUAUUGAAUGUAGAGUGGUUGUUGAUUCACGUCUGGUUCAGCUAACUCUCUAAGAGUUCUUUCUACAGGUGCAGGUCUAUCCAUCACUUGUUCUUCUGAAUCGCUAGAUGAUUCAACUAAAUCAGGCAUUGUAUCUGUUUCAGAAAGCAAAGGCGACGAGGAUCGUUGCUUAGCUCGCUUCGUCUGCUAUCUCAGCUGGCGAGCUGUCUUCUCAAUUUCAAGAUCAAACGAAAGUGUACUUGUACGAGAAGAACGAACCAUACACCAAGUAAAACGUAAAAAGGAUUAAAUAAAUGACACAAAUCCUCGGCAACGGCACCAAAAUUUGAUGGUUGGCUUCGACAACCAUCAAAGUCUAACAACUUGCUUAACAAACUGAAACAGAGUCAAAACAGGGGAGGAAAAAUGAAUUGUUUGUUUUUUUUUCCUUAAUGACUAACAAUGAUCUAGCUCGCUGUUACAUCAGCAUAUAUGACAAAUAACUUACAUCUCACUAAACUAUCUUUUUACAUGAAUAAAUUACUGCCAAAAUGGUUACUAAUUGGAUGCAGUUUCAGCUUUCGUCUGGUUUGUACAAAUUGAAAAAAAAUUUAAAAAAAAAAUGCUAAUCUUGAGGAAUCAAAGUUUGCUCUAUAAGUAAACAAAGGGGAUGAUCAAUAAAGAUAACCCAUGAAUGUUUAAUUACUUUCGAGUAUGCCGAUUGCUUCAUAAAGAGAAAGUGCUAUUGCCUUCAUAAAAACAAAUUCUUAAGUGUCUUGGAAACUUUACACUUGGGCAUUUGAAUCUAAGAAUGAAUAAUCUUCAUGGUAGAAUCCCACAAACGUAUGCAAAAAACUGUAAUUUGUCUGCUUAGGCUAAAAGACAAUCACUGGAGGGACCAUUGCAACCAUCUUUGGUUAAUUGGACCUGUUUAGUGUUUAUGGAUGUUGGGAAUAACAACUUGAGCAGCCCAAUUCGACAACUUCUUAGAAACUCAACACUUAUUAGGGGUCUUGGAUAUGAGAAUGAACGAAUUUGAGGCAGCAUCCCUCAAAUGUUUGCAAAGAGUUGUGACUUGAGAAGUCUUAACCUUAAUGGCAAUCAAUUAGAAGGACCAUUGUCUCCAUCUUUGAUUAACAGUCAAAUUUGAAAGUUUUUUAUAUUGGGAAUAAUCAUGUUAGUGAUACAUUUCCUCAUUGGUUAGAAAUUCUUCAUGAAUUGAAAGUGUUUAUAUUACGAUCUAACCGAUUUCGAAUCCAAUUGGUGAUAGCAAAAGAAGAGAAAAUGGAACUCUUGUUUUGGUACCCCGAAAUCGUUAGAUCGUAAUAUAAGCACUUGCAAUUUAUAAAGAAUUUUUAAUCAAAAAUAGAAGUAUCAUUAACAUAAUUAUUCCCAAAAUCAAAAACUUCCAAUUGCUGACAGUUAACCAAAGAUGAAGGCAAUGAUCCUUCUAACCAAUUACCAUUAAGGUUAAGACUCAUCAAAUCACAGCUCUUUGUAAACAUUUGAGGGAUGCUGACAUUGAAUUUGUUCAUUAUCGUAUUCAAGAUGUUAAUAAAUAUCGAGUUUCCAAGACAUUGUGGAAUUGAGCUGCUCAAGUUGUUAUUUCCAAAAUUAAUAAACAUCAAACCGAUACAAUUGACCAAAUAUGGUGGCAAUGGUCCCUCCAGGUGAUUGUUAUUUAGGUAAGCAUACAAAUUCUAGCCUUUUCCAUAUGUUUGUGGGAUUCUACCAUAAAGAUUGUUCAUUCUAACAUCUAAAUACCCCAGUGUAAAAUUUCGAAGACAAUGUGGAAUUUUUUCCAUUGAAGAUAUUAUUGGACAUAGAUAUGGCAAAUGGGUAGGGUUGUAUGUGUGAGUAUGUUUUAGUAGGGUAUGUGGCAUGGUGUGCACACAAACAAAUUGAAUUGGGCUGAGAAUUUUAAGCACAUGGUCCUUAAAAUCACGCCCUUCUCUACAUGCAACAAUGCCUGGGGAUGCUGCAAUCACUUUUUAUUACUAAAAUUUUUUAAAUUGGAAUAAUGUAUUAACGGAAUAAAAAUUUUCAUAAUCUAACAAUUGAUUUACAACAACCCGAGUCCUCAUUAAAUUCAAAUAAUAAUUAUAAUCAACAUCUAUAGGAAAAUGGAAAACGAGAAUCAUAUGUAAAAAGAAAUCAUUUCGUAUGCCCAUUACCGUAUUAUAUUUGUACAUUAGAAAUUAAUAUAAAAUAAUAAUUUAAUAAUUAAUUUAAUAUAAUGAAUAAUAAAGCAGUAAUAAAUUUAAACAAUAUUAAUACAAAAUUAAUAAAGUAUAAUCUAACAUUAAAUACUAUACAAUAUUAUUAUAAUAAAAUACUAAUUCAAUACCACAUAAAGUAAUAUUCUUGCAUUAUUUGGAACUGGCAUAAAGUUCAUAAUCAUAAUUAAUUAUGAUUCAUUUAAAUUUACAGCAUGCACGAAGUCUAUUUCAUAUUGUUAAGAAAAUGUUAGACCUUCCAUUUACUGCAUUCUUCAAAAGGUGCAUUUUCCAGCAGUUUGUAAAAUUUCAAAUACCCAAAUAAAAGAGGUAUCAGGAGGAUGGGUGUUUAUUCUUCGAAGUCCUGCCCCAACAACCUUCAACAGUUUAUGCCUGUCCUAGUUGAAGCUAAAUACAAUAGUAAAGAAUCAAUAAGAGACAUGGAAAUAUUAAUAAUAGUGAAGGAAAGCCUAAACCAAGAAUUGAAGCAAAAUAAUAAUAAUUUAAGUGAUCAAGUCGGUGAUCGUACUCCUGUUAAUUCUAGAUAAAUCUGAUUAGUUUGACGACUUUUACCAGUUCAAAUGCUCUUCUGAUUGCUAAAUAGAAAGUUGGACGCAUUCUUGAAUUGAAUUUAUAACAUCGUCUGACCUCUUCGAAACCUACUAUGAAAAUGAUACAAAUCAUUAAAAAAUAAAAGCAUGACCUGGAUGAUCAUCAUGCAGGUCAGUUAUACAAUUACGAUUACAAAUCAUUGAAUGAAGUAUGAACGAAGAAUGAUCAUCAUCCAGGUCAUGCUUUUAUUUUUUAAGAGGAACUUGACUAAAGCGCUCAUUAAUUAUUAAUGUGAUUUGAGAAAGAAAGACUUGUUCUGUGUAUACCUAUUAAUUUGGGCAAUUUUACAUCAGUAACUUUCAACUUUUUGAUCAUUCCACAUGUUUCAUAACUGUGGAAAAGAAAUUCAAGUAGUUUGGAAUUUUACAAAACAAUACCGUGAGGCUCAGUAUAACAAAAUUAACCCGAUUUGGUGCAUGCUCUAAGUCUAAAUGAAUUAUAAUUAAUUAAGACUAUUCCUUCUGAUGCCUAACAAUUAUAAAUGGAGUAACAUUAGUUCAAAAUUAUCUCAAACUAGAGAAAAAGAUAACAUUUUAAUAGAGCCUAACUGUGGAAUGCUCAAUGUUGAUUUGGGGUGAGGGUUUGAGAUCUACAUUGAGUAUUGAUCAAGUAAUGAAAUUACGUACACAUAUAUACUAAACAAUUAAGAGUAAAUGGAAGGUCUAGCAAGUAAUUGGAAUUUGACAAAACUGACGACAAAUGCACCAAUAAACUAGACUUCAGAACUAGAUUAUGAGGAAAAAAGUAGAAAAGUUAGAAAAAUUAGAGAUAAUAGGUAAUAAUCCAAUUAGAAAAGUUACUUUAACUUAUAAGGUGGACUUGACUAAAGUGUUCAUUAAUGACAUGACGUCGAGAAAGAAAGACCGAUGAACAAAUUCAGUGGCAGCCUUCCUCAAACAUUUGCAAAAAGUUGUAUCUUGACAAGUCUUAACCUCAAUGGUAAUUGGUUGGAAGGACCGAUGCCUCCAUCUUUGGUUAACUAUCGGCAUUAUAAGCUGGUUUAUGUAUUGUUCAUGGAGUAGAUAAUCAGCUGAUAUGUUUCAUACUCUAACAGUUGAUAUACAAAAAUCCCAAUCCUGAUUAAAUUCAAAUUAUGACUGACUAACUAACUACGAGUUUAGCUGCCUGCCACAUCAGCAUAUAUAACACAUAACUAAUAUCAUUCCGCAUCGAGCAUGUCGUCAAGAUCCCCCUCUUGAAAGGAUUCCAUUUACCUCCUAAAUUCCAAAGCAAGACUUGGUGCUGUAAGUCAAUAAAUAUUAUAUUAUUAAUUAAUUACACACCAUAUUCAACUUCUAUAAAUAGUCAUUAUAUCUCUCUCUCUUCUUGUGAUUUCAUCAUCCAGAAAAGAAAAAGAAAAAGAAAAUGGGUUAUAUCACUCAGCCUUAUCAACUUUUUAUUUGCCUCCAGUUAUUCCUCUUCUAUUCUCAGUGUUCAGCAAUACUUUGCUCUCACGACCAAAGUUCUGCUUUACUCCAAUUUAAGCAGCUUUACUGGUCAGAUUCCAUCAUCUUUUUCAAAUCUUCAGCAGCUUCAUCAUUUAGGUCUUUCGUACAAUCACUUUGUUGGUGAAAUUCCUGCUUCACUUGGUAACAAUAUUACACAACUUGCUUAUUUGGAUCUCUCAUCUAACAGUUUUAGUGGUCAGAUUCCAUCAUCUUUUUCAAAUCUUCAGCAGCUUCGUCAUUUAGAUCUUUGGGGCAAUAACUUUGUUGGUAAAAUUCCGGAUAUGUUUACCAACCUAACCCAACUUUCUAUUUUAGGCUUGGCAGAUAAUCAACUGAUUGGCUCGAUUCCAAGUUCAAUCUUUGAACUUGUUAAUUUGACAUUAUUCUCUCUUUCUUCUAACAAUUUCAGUGGCAGCGUUGAGCUUUACGAUUUUGCAAAGCUCAAAAAUCUUAAAUAUCUUAGUCUUUCUAAUAUUAGUUUAUCAGUUAGCACCAAAUUAACAGUCGACUCGUCUUUCCCUAAUCUUUCGUAUUUAGCUUUAUCGGCUUGCAAUAUAACUGAGUUUCCAGUCAUCUUGAAAACUGAACAUCAGUUAGUGUGGUUGGACCUUUCUAAAAACCAAAUCCAUGGUAGGAUUCCCAGUUGGAUGUGGGAUAUAGGAGUACAUACUUUGCGAUUUCUAAUUCUUUCACAAAACUUCCUGACAAGCAUAGACCAUCUUCCGUGGAAAAAUCUCGUAUAUCUUACCCUUGAUUCGAACCUACUUCAAGGAUCACUUCCAGAUCUACCACCUCACAUGGUACAGCUUUCAAUUUCCAACAAUAAUUUGACCGGAGAGAUUCCUUCAUCAUUUUGUAAUUUGAAUUCCAUUAAAUCUUUUGACGUAUCCAACAAUAGCUUGAGUGGACAAAUCCCAGAGUGUCUUGGAAACUCUACACUUCAAACUUUGGAUCUCAGAAUGAACAACUUCCAAGGUACCAUCCCACAGACAUAUGCAAAAGGCUGCAACUUGGCUUAUCUUGGGCUGAAUGGCAAUCACUUGGAGGGACCAUUACCACCAUCUUUGAUUAACUGUGUCGAUUUGCAAUUUCUUGAUGUUGGGAAUAACAGCUUGAGCGGCCCAAUUCCAGAACAUCUUAGAAGCUCAACACUUAAAGUCUUGGAUAUGAGAAUGAACAAGUUCAACGGCAUCCUCCCUCAAACAUUUGGAAAAAGUUGUGUUUUGGAAAGUCUUAAACUUAAUGGCAAUCGGUUGGAAGGACCAUUGCCUCCAUCUUUGGUUAAUUGUCAGUAUUUAGAAGUUUUAGAUGUUGGGAAUAAUCAGAUUGAUGACACCUUUCCCUAUUGGUUAGACGUUCUUCUUGAAUUGCAAGUUCUUAUAUUGCGUUCUAAUAGAUUUUGGGGUCCUAUUGGUGAUACCAAAACAAGAGUUCCCUUUCCCAAGUUGCGAAUAAUUGAUUGCUCUCACAAUCAACUCACCGGUGUUUUGCCACUACGGUAUUUGGAUAGUUUUAAAGCCAUGAGGCAUCGGAAUAACAAUAGUGUUGAAGUCGAUUAUAUGAGGUUGCAGGAUUCUUCUAAUUACUAUGAGUCAAUAUUUCUGACUAUGAAAGGCAUUGACUUACAAAUGGAGAGGAUUCUAACAACUUUUGCAACUAUUGAUUUGUCCAGCAAUAGAUUUCAAGGGAAAAUUCCAGAAGUAGUGGGAAAGCUGAAUUCACUCAAAAGUCUCAACAUUUCUCACAACAACCUGACAGGUGGUAUUCCUUCAUCGCUGAGAAAUCUGACAGAGCUUGAAUCUCUAGACCUCUCUUCAAACACGCUUACUGGACGUAUCCCAACGCAACUGGCGAGUCUGAAUUAUCUUUCGGUGUUGAAUCUUUCGAACAACCAGCUCAACGGACCCAUACCACUAGGACCCCAAUUUAAUACUUUUGGAAAUAAUUCCUAUUCUGGUAACUCAGGGUUGUGUGGAUUCCCAUUAUCAGAGAGCUGCAGCAUUGAUGAGGCGCCAGAACCAACAACACCAUCAAGAUUUCUCGAAGGAGAUUAUGCUUCUAGGUGGUUUGAUUGGAAGUUUGCUAAGUUGGGUUACGCAUCUGGAGUGGUGAUCGGCUUGUCCAUCGGAUACAUGGCAUUUGUGACUGGAAGGCCACAAUGGUUUGUAAGAAUGAUCGAAAGGAAGCAAUCCAAGAAGCCGAGAAGGGUGAUCAGACGAGGCAGAGCAAGUAGAAGAAGUUUGUAGGUGCAUCUCUAGAGGCCCAGGUGAGCAAUUAUUAGUUUGUCUUUUGGAAUUAUAAGCUGGUUUCCACUGUUCUUUGAAUAGAUGGCAUGCUGAUAUUAUCGUAAUCUAACAGUUGGCUUACAAAAAUCACAAUCUUACAAGUUCAGCAUAUAUAAUCCAUAAUUAUAUAGAUUACAAAUUCUAAUUUGUAGUAAAGUAAUUACGAAGUAAAUGGAAGGUCGUAAAAGUAUUAAGGUUGUAAAAAUCUUAGUUUCAAAUAAUAAUAAAAUCUAAUUGUUUUAUGUUUAUUAAAUGAUUAAAUGAUAUCAUGAUUUUAACAAAUAAAAUUAUAAAUAUCAUGACUUUAUAAAAUGACAAAUCUAAAGUUUUACAACUUCAAUAUUUUAUUUAUGAAAUCAUAAAUUAGUCAGAAGAAAUAAGCUUCAUUUGCAAACGAAAUAUUUUUCACCAUUUAUACACAAAAAAUUAAAAUAAAAUAAAAGUUGUAUUUUCAUUCAAUGGAGUUAAAGUGCAAGUAAAAUAUUAAUAGUUCAAAUAAAAAUACAUAUCAUAUGCAUCAUUACAAUUGACAGUACAUCUCAACUAGGUUGGCACCCACUAAACCAUCUAUCAUUUGCGAAAUUAGAUAAUAUAGUUGUGUUAAUAAAAUGUUAAUAAUUAUAUUUUAAUCUAAAACUUGUAAACAUUAAUGUUAUUACAAAUUAUCAUUUACAACUUUAUAUAAGUACAAAUUAGCAAUUAAAUGUUAACCCUUCAGAAAAAUUAUUUAUUAUUAUUGUUAAGAAGGGAAAUUAUCAUUGCACCACCGUUCUUUUGCCUUAUGUUCAUCCAACCACCAUAAAAUUCUAACAUGUUCUCAGCAACACCUUUCUUUUGAAAUUUGUAUUAAUUAGCUACUUUUGCACUAACAACGUUAAAUAAUUUAAACGAAAUAACAAUUUUACUCCUAAAUAAAUUAAAAGACCAUUUUAUCUUAAAAACUUGGAAAAUAAAAAAUUAUAAUUAUAAAAAUACCCCUAAAUUAAAAAAUAAAGCCAAAAUGGAGGUGCUCAGUUGAUUUUUAUUAAAUUUAGAUUUUACAAAAUUUUAAUCAUUAUUUUUAUUAAAAAUUUAUAAUUUUGCAAAAUUCAAUAAAAAAUAAAUGAAUUUAUUUAUUAAAAAGUUAUAAUUUUGCAAAAUUUUAUUAAAAUAACUGAAUUUUUUAUUAAAAAAUAAAUCCCAAAAUUUUAAUAAUUUAGGGGAUUUUUAUUAAAUCCCAAAAUUUUGUAAUUUUUUUAUAAUUAUAAUUUUUUAAAAUAAAUUUUAUUAAAAAUAAAUAUUCUUAAUUUUUGGAUUUAUUUCUUUAUUAAAUGUAUGGGUAUUUUUAUAAUUAUAAUUUUUUUAUUUUCAAAGCUUUUACAAGAUAAAAAGAUCUCUUAGUUUAUUUUGGGGUCAAAUUAUCAUUUUUUUUAAAUUAUUCAACGGUAUUAGUGCAAAAGUGAUUAAUUGAUACAAAUUUCAAAAGAAAUAUGGUGCAGAGAACAUGUUAGAAUUUUGUGAUGAUUGGAUUAACAUAAGGCAGAAGAAAGGUGGUGCAAUGAUAAUUUCCCUUAUUAAGAAUUAUCCUAUAUGUAUUAAAAAAAAAGAAAUGGGGAUUUUUUUUUUUAGCCCAAAAAAGGAAAAAAGAAAAAAGAAAAAGAGGUACAGGCGGUGCGGCCAAUUGGCCUUCUCUAUAUGUGAAAUGGGGAAUAACAAAUGGGGAGAUUGCCAAUUUCCCCCCUACAGUAAUCAACAUAUACCAUUUUCUCCUCUGCUGUUUUUAUAAUGGCCAAAAACCUCCCUGAUAGCAUAAGUUUACAAUAUUAUCUUUAUUUUCAACUACUCUUUUAUUUAUAUUUAUUAUAAAUUAAAUAAAUCACAUGAAUAGAAACUAAAUAAAAAAUUAAGCAUUAAAAAUAAGAAAUAUAUGUUUUGAUAUGAGAAGAAAAUUAAUAAUAAAAUUUUUUUCUUGUACUUAUUUAUUUUGUGAAAUUUUUCUUAUAAUAAAUAUAUAAGAAAGUUAUUAUAAAAUGAUAAAAAAUUAUUAUAAGAAAAUUUGAAUGACAAAUAAAAAUUUAUUAUAAGAUAAAUAAUAAAAUAUUUUGCCUAUACUUUUUACAUUUAAUUUUAAAAUAUUACAAAAUGUUUAUUAUAAGAAAAUGUUCACAAAAUAAAUAAUUACAAAAAAAAUUUCAUUAUUAAUUUUUUUGCUCAUAUCAAAACAUAUAUUUCUUGUUUUUAAUACUUAAUUUUUUUAUUUAGUUUCUAUUCAUGUAAUUUAUUUAAUUUAUAACAAAUGUAAAUAAAAGAGUAAUUAAAAAUAAGGAUAAUAUUGUAAACUUAUGUUGUCAGUGGGGUUUUUGGCCAUUAUAAAAACAGAAGGAGGGUAAAUGGUAUAUGUUAAUUAUUGUAAGGGGGAAAGUGGCAAUCCCCCUAACAAAUAAUCUUGACUCAAUUAAUUGUAACAAUAACGAUUUGGAACACGAUGUGGGCUUAAUUUGGGUGUGCAUCUUCAGUUCUGUAACCUGAAUUUGGGUGUGCAAAUUGUAAUAUUACCCUUUUAAACUCACAAUGAGAUAAUUGAAUGGGGUGUAAAAGAAAAUGGAUUUAAAUAAAUGAAAUAUGGUAUGUCCAAAAUCUCUGACCCUGUAUCAUCCUUGUUCAAAUGGCUCAGUAUGUAUGUGCCAUGUCAAAAUGUGAGAACUCAUCCACGUCACCAGCCUCAACACCCUCGCCACGUCAUCACUCAACCGGUGUUAUAACUGAUGAUAAUUUGGAUAAGAUAAACAGUUAAAUUGUGAGUCUUCACUCUUCAAAGAGAAACCAAAAUGGCGCGAGCUUUGCUUCAUUUGAAUAGCACAGCCACGGCCAUAAUGGCCAGUGCUACAAGUGCUACUAAAGAAACAGUUCUUGUCAGGCUCUCUUCAGGCUCUGCCCGGCCUUCAGAUUGUAGUUGGCUCUCGAAACAGGUGAAAUCAUUAAUACUCUUUUCUUUCUUCUAGUUGUUUCCCGAGAAAAUGCAAGAAAUAAAGGGAAAAUUUUUUCAAGCUUUGUUACUUAAUGUUAUUUUUAUGAUUACUAUGUUUCUUUGGUUCUUUUAAAAUUUAAAUUCAAGUAUUAGUCUGUCUUUAAGUAGACCGCAUGAUGGUAUUUUUCACUAUCUGAACUAGUAUUUGAACAGUAUAUUAAUUUGAUGUGUUUUUUGUUCAGGAAUUUUAUUACACUCAUGGAAUCGAAGCAGUGGAAGUCAUAUAAUCCUGCAGGUACAACAAUUUUCUUUGCUUUAUUUUCCAAUCCAUAUUAAUAUGCUAGGACUUAUUUUUUGUUGGCAAACUUGAUCAAAACUCUUGAGGAAAAAAAAUGAUUUGAAGAAAUAAUAAUGUUGAUGUAGGAAAUGGUGUGGGCAACUUUUAUUUGUUUGUCUUGGGCCAGUAUGUUGGAUUUGGAAAUAUUGGAAGGUUGCAACGAUACAAGAAUCAUUCACCGCCUGCAGACAGCUAUGAUCCAUAUAUGCGAUUUUUGCAAUGUUUAUUUUUCAUAAGAAAUUCAAAUGCUACUUCAGAUUUUUUUAAUAAAUCCCGAAUCCUUGUACAUCCAAAUUUCAUUGUUUCAUGAUUCAUCAUAAUCCAAUGAAGUCUUGAAUGCUUGUACCAAUUCAAAGGUUAGUUGUGGAUCAACAAAAAGAAAUAAAAUGUAUGUGGGCUGGACACAGGUCCUAUAUAUAUAUACCAGUUAAUUUUUUUGCCAAGAUAUCUCCACUGUUGGUUAUCUGCUUGAGUCUGAAGCAAUAACAGAAAAAAAAAAAUAAUAAUAAUAUGACUAGUUAUUAUUAAAUUAGUCGUUAAAAUAUUUAUUUAUUCUUAUUACGAUAAUUGAGGCAAUAAAUUGCAUAUUCUUGUUUAAUUUUGAGUUCUUCAUUGAUAACGUUCAAAUUUUUAUUUUUUAUUUGAUUUUUUUCUAAUUUUAGGGGGGAGAAAAGGUAAAGAAUGAGAGAUUAUUUAACAAAUUAAAUUUAGAGCACAAGCACAGAAGCAUUAAGCUCCUGCUAAACUGUUGUUCGACUUGCAAGUUUUUGGAUCAAAUAAUAAAGUUUGUGCCUUGAGAAGUUAGCUCAUGGCUGGAAUGUUAUUUCUAAUCUAGAGCUAGCGUCCUGAGAAAAUUUUGCAUCCUUGCAGGGAAAAAGGUGCUGCAAUUGUGUCUACAUUGUUGAAGUUUUCUGAAUUUUCUGAAGUUAAUUGGUAGACAUUAUUCUUUUACACUAAAUAUGCAAUUGAGUUCACAGCUAUCCAAAAAAUGGGGCAGUUUUUAUAUUUAAUUACAAAAUUAUCCUUAUUGAAACCCAUAUAAGAGUAUUUACAUUAAUUAGUUAUAUUGCUUCUUCAACUAUCAUCAAAUUCUUAUUCGAGUUCAUCAUUUAAGGAAUAAAUGUGUUAUCUAAAUAAUUACAAAUGAUGUACUAAGCAAAUAUUUUGAGAAAUAAGACUCAUUAUGGCUCCUUUCAUUAGUUGUAUCUUUAAUUUCUUAUUAAUGAAAUUCUCUCGCAUUGCCCAAAAAAAAUGUUGUUAGCGUCACCAUUGAAAGGGGCCAAAUUAUGUAUUGUCUGACUAGUGAAACUGUUAUCAUAUAUGCUAAUAUGCUGCUUCUGGAUCCAUUAUUCUGGCUUUUUAUCAUUUCCAUGGCAGUGAUGGGAGCAGCGCUUGUUCAUAUUGGUAGAAGUGAAAGCAAAUUAAGGAGAGACACAUAGACUAAGGUAAUAAUGUCCACUAAGUUUAAUAUGGUGAAGUCCUGGAUCAGUCGCUUUGCUGAAAUGAUUUCAAGUAAUCGCCCACAGUGAUUGGCAAUUUUCUCUUAUUUAAGUUUUGGUGAAAGUGAAGCUCAUCCACAGAAAAUAAUUGACAGGAAGUGUUAAGGAGAAAAGAUCAGCCUAAUUCAAUGGCUAGGGAUGUUACAAUCAUUUUUUUGUUACUAAAUAUUUUUAAAUUAGGAUAACGUAUUAAUGGAAAAAAAAAAAUUCAUAGUCUAACAAUUGAUUUACAAAAACCAGAAUCCUGAUUAAAUUCAGAUAAUAAUUAUAAUCAACGUCUAUAGGAAAAGGGAAAACGAGAAUCAUAUGUAAGAAAAAUUAUUUCAUGAUGGAGGAAACUUUACCUUAAUUAUCGAUGUGUUUCUCUUCAGGAAUUUUAAUCUCUUCGUACCGAAAUUUAUUUUUGCUUUAAUUUAUUUCUAUAGCUCAUAAGAACUUGCUAUCACAGAACAUAUGUUUUGAUGGUAAACUUGAUCAAAUUUUUAUGGGAAAAAAAAAUUGAAUUGAAAUAAUAUUAUAUUGUUGCAGGAAAAAAUAUGUGAGGGCAACUUUGAUUAGGUGUAUCUUGGGCCACGUACGUAUCAGGAAAAUUAUUUUGUUGCAGGAAAAUUAUUUUGUUGCAGGAAAAUAGAUUUUCCAAAAAUCUGUCCUUUGGCCGACCGAUCCUAUAUGAUCCUUGUUCAAAUUGGCCCCGUAUGUGGCACGUCAACACUUCAAAACUCGGCCACGUCAUCAACUUCGCAAAAUUCUCGCCACAUCAUCACUGAACUGGUUACGACGGAUGAUAACCUGUUGAAAAGUCAAAGAGUUUUGAGCCACAUGCAUUGCUUCUGUUUUUCAAAGUUGGCACCAAAUUGCAAGCUGUAAAAUAUUUGGCUUUUGACAAUCCUUCACCAAAUGAAGAAAAAUGAGAAAGGUUAGCAAAAUUUGUCAAAUUGACAGAUAGGAGAAUUGAAAAAUUGCAAAGCGGAUGGUGCAAUAGUGCAACGUUUUUUGCUACAAAUAAAGAUGCAUUCUUCAUUUGUAAAGCAUCCCAAAAAAUUUGUUAAGCUUAUAAGUUUCUAAACUUUUGAGAGUUCUGCGAGUGUGAGCAAUUGGAGAGUGUGUGUGAGAGUAUUGAGUGUAUUUGGGUUCUGGGAAAGUGAGAUUUCUUUACUCGAAUUUGUACUCAAAUAAUUGUUAAUAAUACAAGUAUUUUUCUCUUGCUCCCGUGGACGUAGGCAUAUUGCCGAACCACGUAAAUUCUUGUAUCCUUUAUUUUUUUGUGAUUAUUCAGUGCGCUUGUUUCCGCAUUCCAUGCACAACAAGUGGUAUCAGAGCUAAUGGUUCGUACUUGGGGGGAUACGGUACUGUUCACGUAUAUGAUACUAUUCACGAAUAUGGUACUGUUCACGAAUACGGUGGAGACGGCCAUUUGUACUUGGGAGACAGUCUAUUAUAAGUAGUGUGUAUUUUUGCAUGUCUAGGAAAGUUCUGUCAACAAAGGCGAUAAGAGUCUAAGGAUUCUGGUUUUUAAUUGGGACCGAGUUCCCGUCUAGUUUCCUGAAAACUUUCCUGGUGCAUUUAUUCACGCAAAAUUAACAUCAUAGAGACUGUUUUUUCAAGUGGAAAUAAUUCAUCGAGAAAAUGGUAGAAGGUGAAACUUCCAGAAUUGGGGAGAGAUCUACCUAGGCUAUUUCAGGAGACACUUCAGGUGGGAGGCGAGAUUUGUCAAAUCGCUAUUCAGCACCUGUUAUAGGAGGCCGGAAGAUCGAUGUUGAAAAGUUUUAUGGGAAAAUCAACUUCGGCAUGUGGAGGCGCGAAGUUAUGGAUGCCCUUAUUCAAAUCGAUCUCGAUGUUGUUCUGAAAAAUAAAAGACACUUGUAUGAUGAAGAAAUUUGGGAUCGUAUGAACGAGAAAGCUUAUGGUCAGAUCAGAUCUUGUUUGACCAAGGAGGCGAAAUACUUGGUGAAAGAUGAGGAGUGUGCUGUGACUUUGUGGCGUACAUUGGAGGAGAAGUACCUGCUGAAAAGUCCUGAAAAUCGUCUUCAUGCAAUGAGCCAAGUAUAUGGCUUUCGAAUGAAGCCUGGGGUGUCAAUGCACGAUCAUGUCUCAAGAUUUGAAAAGUUACUUGCUGAUUUGAAGAAUCUUGAUCAAGAUAUUAAGGAUGAAGUCAAAGUUAUGAUUCUGUUACACUCAUUACCAGAGGAAUAUAGCCAUUUUAUGACUACCUUGAUAUAUAGGAAGAGUGUGAUCGUCUUCAAAGAUGUUUACACAGCAUUGACUAACUUGGAGAUUCGGAAUAAUGAUAAAAAUUUCUGAAUGAGCAUCGUCUAAAGCUUUGGUGAGUAGAGAUUGGGCGAUGGAGAAAAAGAAAAAGCAUGGUGGAAAGAAUUCUCGAUCCAAAUCGAGAAGUAGAAAUCUAGCUCGAGAUGAGUGUGCCUUUUGUCAUGAAAAGGGUCAUUGGAGGAAAGAUUGUCCAAAGGCUCAAAAGAGAGAUGAGAAGAAACCAGCAGCAGCAAACAUGGAACGGAAAGAUGAAGACUCUGAUUAUUCACUAAGUAUUACUCCUGCAGCAUACGUGACUAGUUCGAGCGAGUGAAUACUUGAUACUGGAGCAACCUAUCAUUUGUGUCCUAUUAAGGGAUGGUUUACGGAUUUUCGUAAUUUGGAAUCCGGUGCAGUUGUGAUGGGGAAUGAUCAACCUUGUCGCACAAUUGGGAUAGGAACAAUUCGGCUCAAAAUGUUUGAUGGAAUGAUCAGAGAACUCAAAGAGGUUAGAUUUGUUCCAACUUUAAAGAAAAAUCUAAUUUCUCUGGGUGCUUUGGAGCUAAAGGCUACAAGAUUACCAUUGAAGAUGGCACAAUGAAGUUUACACAUGGGGCUAUGGUGAUUUUGCAAGAGGUUUGGCGUCACAAUCUGUACUAUUUGAAGGGAAGUACAACUGAUGAAGCAAAUAUUGUUGAGGCGCACAGUGACACCACCAAGCUAUGGCAUGUACGACUGGGACAUGCUGGUGAGAAGUCUUUGCAAACUCUGAUGAGGCGCGGACUCUUAAAAGGUACCAAAACCUGUGAGUUAAAUCUCUGUGAGCAUUGUGUAGUAGGCAAGAAAACAAGGGUCAAGUUUGGUACAGCCAAUCACGAUACUUGUUGUACAAAUUUUAAUGUACUCGCAAGCGCACGAAUCUAUUGUGGUAUAGAUCAAUGGUGACGAGUGUCGAUCCCACGAGGAGGUAGAUUUUAAUUGUGUAGAAUUAAUUUUGUAAAUGGGUGAUUGGAUUUGUGGUGGAAAUGAUUUGGAAUAUAUUAAAACUUAAAUUAAACUGGCGAGAAUAAAUUCUAAAAUUGGUAUUGAAAUAGCGAGAAUAAAUUGAAGAGAAUUCUAUUGAAAUGACGUACUUGGGUAUCUGGAUCCGUAUCAACAUGCAUCAUGGGCUAAAUAAUCCGUAUUAAUGCCAAUUAAAUCAUGAGGGGGGAAUCCACACCUCAUGAACCACGCUCUAAUCAAUAUGGUGCUAAGGGCUUAUCGUGCCAAAUAAUAAUAACCUUAUACUAGAGAGCCGGUGAAACCAAGGCGGUACUAGACAAGAUUAGUAUUAUUUGUCGACGAGAAGUCAAAACAUCCACAAAAACUAGAGGGGAGGAGAAAAUAAAUUUACCAAAUUAAGCCCAUGACACAUGUUGAGACUUCACCUUCAACCCAAGCUUGAAAGAAAAUUAGCCACUCAUAAUUGAACUAGGGGCAAAAUGGGAAUUUAUUAAAAUACAUAGAAAAUACAAGAUGGAGAGGGAAUUACAGAAAAUGGAUCCCAAAAAUGGAUUCAGAGAUAUCAAAUUAGGGGGGGAGGCCCCAUUUUUAUAGAUACAUGGAGUAAAUCAUGGCCAUCGGAUUAAAAACAGUUUGGACGCUCAGGAUUGCGCCACGUCAUCAGUCAACAGUCCACGGUUUGACCACGCGGAUGAACAGUAACACGGUUUGACCCGGAUGAACAGUAACGCGGUUUGGUUGAAAAUAAUCCUGUGUGAUGCAUGCACCGUACGCUAGAUUUUUCGUCCACUGAUAUGCUGCCACGUCACCAUCAACAGUACAUAAGAAUUUUAGUCCAACAGGAUCGUGACACCUCAUCAGUCAAUGCCACAUCAUCGGUCAAUGCCACGUCAUCGAUCCGUCUAUGUGAACAUUGUCGUGAACAGUAACGUAUACAGUACCGUACACGUGAAUAGUACCGUACAUGUGAACAGUAACAUAUACAGUACCGUAUAUGUGAAUAGUGCCGUACAUGUGAAUAGUGCAAUUUUUCCUUUUAUGCUCCUUCUAAGGUUUUCAACCGUCCUGAGUUCAAAAGUGAUGUCCGUUUUGCCGUCUGAUCUCUCUUUUAUUGUGAAAUGACUAUAAUGCCCCUAAAAUACAUAAAAUACUUAAUUAAAAUAACACACACGUAAUUAUAUCACAAGAAGGUUAAAUACAUAAAAGUAAGAGUUGUUAGUAAGACUUGAAUGCCAGAACGAGGGUAUUAAAAGACAUUUCACGGUGAGACAUACUCCGCAACAGAACGAUGUAGCUGAGCGUAUGAAUCGUACUUUACUGGAGAAGGUACGGUGUAUGUUAUCUAAUGCUGGUUUAGAUAAAAAAAUUUGGGCUGAAGAUGUGAGCUACGCAAGUCACUUGGUAAACCGGUUGCCUUCUGCUGCAAUUGGAGGUAAAACUCCUUUGGAAAUGUGGUCUAGAAAGCAUGCACAAGACUACGAUUCUCUUCGUAUAUUCGGGUGUCCAACUUAUUAUAAUGUCAAAGAUGGUAAACUGGAUCCUCGUGCUAGAAAAGCUACCUUUAUGGGAUUCAAAGGUAGAGUAAAGGGCUUCAAGCUUUGAGAUCUCGAAGAUAAAAAGUUUGUGUGUAGCAGAUAUGUCACAUUUGAUGAAGUUUCAAUGAUGAAAACUUUAAGUUCUCAGCAAGUGGAGAACAAGACCAAAGAGGUAUUACAGCGGGUGGAGUUUAAUGCAACUCCAUAUGUACUAGUUAGUUCUGCAUCAAAGAAUGGUUCAACUAUGGAGGUGACACCUAGAGUUGAAGAAGAGGUUGUUUCUUCUAAUGUCCCACAAAAUGAAGAAACAAUUGAUGAUGUAGAUAAUGAUGAUUUUAUAGCAACAAGGAGGCCAAGAAGAGAGAUAAAGAAACCUAGAUGGCUUACUAAAGAUAUGGCUGUAGCCUAUGCACUUCCAGUUAUUGAUGAUGACAUCUCCAACACUUUCGGUGAAACAUUAUGCAGCAGUGAAAGUGAUCAGUGGAAGUUAGCUGUGGAGGAAGAGAUGAAAUCUCUCCAUCAAAACCAGACUUGGGAACUUGUAAAGUUACCAAAGGGAAAAAGGGCUAUUGGCAAUAAAUGGGUCUACACCAAAAAGCAAGGAUCUUCGAAUCAAUCAACUCCUCGAUACAAGGCAAGGUUCGUGGCGAAAGGUUUUCCUUAAAAGGAAGGUAUUGACUACAAUGAAGUUUUCUCUCCAGUUGUAAAACAUACUUCCAUUCGUAUCCUACUUGCCUUAGUUGCAGAAUAUGAGUUAGAGUUGGCUCAGUUGGAUGUUAAGACUGCAUUCUUACAUGGAGAUUUGGAGGAGGAAAUCUAUAUGAUUCAGCCUUGUGGUUUUAAAGUUGCUGGCAAGGAGAAUCAUGUGUGUAGGUUGAUUAAAUCUUUGUACGGACUGAAGCAAUCGCCAAGGCAGUGGUACAAAAGAUUUGAUCAAUUUAUACAAGGGUAGAACUUCACCAGAAGUGAACACGAUCAUUGUGUUUACUUUAAAAAACUACCAUAUUAAGCUUUCAUCUAUUUGUUACUCUAUGUCGACGAUAUGUUUAUAGCUUCGACGAAUAGAGAUGAGAUCGAAAGAUUAAAGAAGCACCUGGCUUCUGAGUUCGAGAUGAAAGACUUGGAUAAUGCACAAAGAAUACUUGGGAUGAAGAUUCAUGGAGACAAUAAGAAUGGGAGCGUAUGGUUAACUCAAAAGUCUUAUUUUAAGAAAGUGCUGGAAGGAUUCGGUAUGGAUGACAAAACAAAACCGGUAUGUACACCUAUAGUUCCUCAUUUCAAAUUAAACUCUUCUUCAUGUCUUAGAUCUCGAGAGGAGCGCGAAUACAUGACUCGUGUUCUAUAUGCUAGUGCUGUGGGUAGUCUUAUGUAUGCUAUGGUAUGCACAAGACCCGAUAUAUCUCAAGCAGUGAGCAUGGUUAGUAGAUACAUGCACAAUUCGGGUAAAAAUCAAUGGCUUGCGGUAAAGUGGAUUCUCCGAUAUCUGUAUGGGACAGUUGAUGUUGGGUUAUUGUUCAAGAAGGAUUGUGGUCAACAAUGUGUUGGGUAUUGUGGUUCUGAUUUCGCUGGAGACCUUGACAAGUGAAGAUCAACAAUGGGCUACGUAUUCACAUUGAGUGGAGGUCCGGUUAGCUGGAGGUCGAUUUUACAAUCGACAAUUACUCUGUCCACUACGGAAGCAGAGUACAUGGCAACAACUGAAGCUGUAAAGGAAGCUAUCUGGUUGAAAGGCUUGUUAUGUGAUUUGGGAGUAAUCCAAGAGAACAUUGCGGUCUUUUGUGAUAAUCAAAGUGCGAUAUUCCUCGCGAAGAAUUAAACAUAUCAUGCUCAGACGAAGCACAUAGAUGUGAAAUAUCAUUAUGUGAGGGAGAUUAUCGAAGGUGGUGACGUGUUGUUGAAGAAGAUCAAUACAAAAGAUAAUCCAUCAGAUAUGUUGACGAAGGUAGUUUCUGGAGUUAAGUUCCAACAUUGCUUGAAACUAAUUCAAAUCCUUCAAUUGUGUUAAGUUAUGUCCUUCGGGAAUUUUAAAUUACGAUUAGCUUGAUCCCAAUUUUUGGGUACGUAGGCAGUCACAGAGAUGCAGCCACUUUGGGGAUGAUGGUUCAUUGAUAGUCGGCUAAGAUUUGACUAAAUCUUCACCGAGGUAGAGAAUUGUUGAAAAGUCAAAGAGUUUUGAGCCACCUGCAUUGCUUCUGUUUUUCAAAGUUGGCACUAAAUUGCAAGCUGUAAAAUAUUUGGCUUUUGACAAUCCUUCACCAAAUGAAGAAAAAUGAGAAAGGUUAGCAAAAUUUGUCAAAUUGAAAGAUAGGAGAAUUGACAAAUUGCAAAGCGGAUGGUGCAAUAGUGCAACGUUUUUUGCUAUAAACAGAGAUGCAUUCUUCAUUUGUAAAGCAUCCCAAAAAAUUUGUUAAGCUUAUAAGUUUCUAAGCUUUUAAGAGUUCUGUGAGUGUGAGCAAUUGGAGAGUGUGUGAAAGUACUGGGUGUAUUUGGGUUCUGGAAAAGUGAGAUUUCUUUACUCAAAUAACUGUUAAUAAUACAAUUAUUUUUCUGUGAUUAUUCAGUGCGCUUGUUUUCGCAUUCCGCGCAUAACACUACCUACUACUAGAAGAAGCUGUGUCCAAAACAAAUUAGAGUUCCAUUAUUAUUACAAAUUAUAAGUAAACUACACGUUUUAAAAUCGGUAGACAAUAAUAUUGCAGUUUCAAAUCGAGCAAUGCACGCGUAAUCCCUAUUACGACAGAAUAACACAAAAUUAACAAAAGGAAAGCACAUAAUUGACUACUUUGAAAGCUUUUAUUGCAUUUUCUCAUAAACCAAAACAGAAGAAAGAAAGUAUUAACAUUUUCACCUGAUUUCGAGAGCCAAAUGGUCGGAGCAAAGCAACGGAAAGAAAUUGCACCGUUUACGCCAUGAAUGAAAGUGACUUAAUUCUACAAAUAUGACACCAUACACAGUGAUUCUAUUAAUAUGACAAUUUCUUAAUGAAAAGUCAUAAAUAAAUAUCCUUAAAGAGUAUAUUUAUUGAUUCUCCAUUUUUUUAGUUUUUACCUUACCAUUACCCCCCGGUUUUUUUACCUGACCAUUACCCACCCAUGGACUAUAAUUAUUAAAUACUCGACCUUUGUCUAAAAAUUAAGCGACCUUUUAUCUCACUCUUAUGACACUUGCAUUUAUACUCGAUUAUACUUAUUCUCAAUUUUGGAGUCAGAAAUGAAAACUGAGGAACUUGGUAAUUCACAAAUGCAGGUGGAUUUGUCGUAUAUAAGUGAAUAAAUGGAAAGGAAGGGAUGUAUAUUUGGAAGAUAAGCACUUUUGCUGCAUAUAAAAACAAAAUACACGCGUUUUUAAUGAUGUGUAUGGGACUGGGCCAUUUUUCUUUAUAAUUAUAGGCCUACUUUUGUUUCAACUAAAAUUCAAGUACUUGGUUGGUGCAAAUAAGCGGAGCACGCGCCAUUUUGGUCUCUUUUUAGUAUUCUCACCUUGUGAAGAGACUCAAUUCAACUGUUUUGCUUAUACAAAUUAUCAUCCGUUAUAACCGGUUGAGAGAUGACGUGGUGGAGUUUUGACAUGUUGACGUGGCACAUUAUGGGGCCAAUUUGAGCAAGGAUCAUAUAGGACAGAUUUUGGAAAAUCUCUUUUCCUGCGACAAAAUAAUUUUAUUGUUACCCUCACUUCCCUUGUCCGGAUACUGAUUCAAAUCCAAUAUACGUACUUGGCCCAAGAUAUACCAAAUCAAAAUUACCCUCACAUUUUGUUUUUUCCUGCAAUAAUAUAGUAUUAUUUCAAAUUAUUUUUUUUUUCACCCAAAAAUUUGAUUUACCAUCAAAACAUAUAUGUUCUGUGAGAGCAAGUUCUCAUGACCUAUAGAAAUAAAUCAAAGCAAAAAUAAGUUUCGGCACCAAGGGACCAAAAUUCCUAUAGUUGAGGUAUAAAAUUAUGAAAAGGGAUAAUCGUUUUGUGGUAAAUUGUAUUAGGAAAGUCAAAUGCUUGAUAAGCCCAGAGGUCAACAUUGUGAGAUGUAGUAGCUUUUUGCUGGGUUAUUAGGUAAAAAUGAUUUCAGUUGUAUGUUCUCCAAAAUGUGUUAAGAAAAUAAGAAUUGGUUAUGAAAAUAAAAGUAGUAAAGUGCAAAUCUUAGAAAUUUCCCGAAGUGCUGGAAUUUGAAAUAACUUCAAAUGCGAUUUUGAGUCCUGAAAUUGUACAAUUUCGUAAAAGCCACACGGGCAUCAGAGUCAAAGGCAAAUGGGCAACAUUGUUCAUCUUGUUAAUAUACCAUACGCCCAAUUGAAAAAAUGUGGCCAAAAUGGCACCAAAUGAAUUUCACCUCAAAUCAUUCCUACAUCAAAAUUAUUUUUAAAAUAACUUUUUCCUGAAAAAUUUGAUCAAGUUAACCAUCAAAAUGUAAGUGUGUGGUAUCAUGUUCUUACGCUCGAAUGUAACUGAACAUUGAUGGAUUAUCUUUACUGGGAUCCCCUUUCUUUACGUAUAAAGUAGACUUUGAUUCUUCAAGAGGAACACUUUUCAAUUUUUUUCAAUUCCCACAAACCAGUCCAAAAGCUGAAGCUGUAUCCAAUUAAUGACCAUUUAGAUAUUUACUUAAGUUCGGCGAGAUGUUCGUUAUCUGUCAUAUUUGCCGGUGUAACAGCUAGCUAGACUAACAGUCAUUUACACAAACACAAUUCAUCUUCCCUUCCCUGUUUUGACUCUGUUCCAUUAGUUGACUAUCAAAGCGUAAUAACUGGAGGGCAUAAUGAAUAAAUAGCAUAUGGUACAAAUAAAAUAUUCUAAGUAUGUUACAGUUUGUUAAGCUAAGUUGUUAGACCUUCCAUUAGUUAUCAUAUAUGUAUGUAACUGGUCAAAACAAUACAUAAUUUACCAAAUCAAAAACAUAUUCUAGUUUUUCCACGAACCUGUCCAAAAGCAGAUGCGUUUAUACUAAAAGAAACCCCAACUCUCAGAUAUUUUAAGUCAUCAUAUAUGUAUGUAACUGGUCAACUGUAUGAACUUAAGCUGAAAACUUAUGCCAAGUUGCCUGCUCUUUCUUACUACUGAACUUAAAAUAGAAAGGCAUCUUUCCUUCAAUCCCUUCCCCCUAUAAGGCUCUAAAGUGAUCUUUUCUCCUGGUCAAUUGCAUGAAUUGCGGAGCAGUAAUCUUAAUUUAAUAUUUAUUGCCAAUUUUGUAAAACUCCAAACUUCUUUUCCACGGCUAUGAUAGUGAAACUCAUGGGAAGGAUCAGAAAAGUUGAAAGUUAGUGAUCUAAGAUAUGUCCAAAUUAAGAGGUAUGUAUACAAAAACUGAACAAAUCUUUCUUUCUCAAAGUCAUUAAUUAACAUUUCAGCCAAGUCCACCUUAUAAGUUAAGAUAAUUUUUUCUAGUCAUUAAUGAGCAUUUCGGUCAAGUCCACUGAAGAUAUAAGAGCAAUAACUGGAGGCAAAUAAAAAGUUGAAAAGGCUGAGUUAAAUAAUCGUAUGCUCAUCUUUCUUCACAAGUAGAUUACACAUCUUUCUUCACAACUUUUUUAACAAAUUGAAACAGAAUUAAAGUAGAGGAGGGAAAAUCAAUUGUGGUUUGUGCAUAAUGUAUAUGACUGACUAACUAACUACGAGUUUAGCUGCCUGCCACAUCAGCAUAAUAUAACACAUAAAUAAUAUCAUUCCGCGUCGAGGAUGUCGUCAAGAUCCCCCUCUUGAAAGGAUUCCACUUACCACCUAAAUUCCAAAGCAAGACUUGGUGCUGUAAGUCAAUAAAUAUUAUAUUAUUAAUUAAUUACACACCAUAUUCAACUUCUAUAAAUGGUCAUUAUAUCUCUCUCUCUUCUUGUGAUUUCAUCAUCCAGAAAAGAAAAAGAAAAUGGGUUAUAUCACUCAGCCUUAUCAACUUUUGAUUUGCCUCCAGUUAUUGCUCUUCUAUUCUCAGUGUUCAGCUGCAAUACUUUGCUCUCACGACCAAAGUUCUGCUUUACUCCAAUUUAAGCAGCUCUUUUCCUUUCAAAAAGAUUCCUCAUCCCGUUGUGAAGGAUAUCAACAAUCUCGUCCCAAGAUGAUGUCUUGGAAAGAGGACGCUGAUUGCUGCUCCUGGGAUGGAGUAACAUGUGAUUCGGCGACGGGUCACGUGAUUGGCCUCGACCUCAGUUGCAGUUGGCUUCACGGCAACAUCCCUUCCAACAGUAGCCUUUCCUUGCUUCCUCGCCUGCGAAAGCUCAACCUAGCCUUCAAUGAUUUCAAUUACUCUAAGAUUUCUUCUGGUUUUACUGAUCAAUUUCCGAGUUUGACAGUCCUUAACCUCUCUUUCAGCGAUUUCACGGGGUCAAUUCCUGCCUCACUAGGUAACAAUAUUACACAACUUGCUUAUUUGGAUCUUUCGAAUAACAGUUUUACUGGUCAGAUUCCAUCAUCUUUUUCAAAUCUUCAGCAACUUCGUCAUUUAGAUCUUUGGGAAAAUAAGUUUGUUGGUGAAAUUCCUGCCUCACUAGGUAACAAUUUUACACAACUUGCUUAUUUGGAUCUCUCAUUUAACAGUUUUACUGGUCAGAUUCCAUCAUCUUUUUCAAAUCUCCACCAGCUUCGUCAUUUAGGUCUUUCUUUCAAUAAUUUUGUUGGUAAAAUUCCUUCAUCAUUAGGUAACAAUAUUACACAACUUGCUUAUUUGGAUCUCUCACAUAACAGUUUUGGUGGUCACAUUCCAUCAUCUUUUUCAAAUCUUCAGCAGCUUCAUCAUUUAGAUCUUCAAUCCAAUAAAUUUGUUGGUAAAAUUCCAGAUAUGUUUACCAACCUAACCCACCUUAAUUUUUUAAGCUUGGCAUCAAAUGAACUGAUAGGCUCGAUUCCAAGUUCAUUCUUUGAACUUGUGAAUGUGACUGUGAUCCAUCUUUCUUCUAACAAUUUAAGCGGCACUGUUAAGCUGUACGAUUUUGCAAAGCUCAAAAAUCUUAAAUAUUUUUAUCUUUCUAAUAAUAGUUUAUCAUUGAGCACCAAAUUAACAGUCAACUCGUCUUUCCCUAAUCUUCUGGGGUUGGGUUUAUCGGCUUGCAAUAUAAGUAAGUUUCCAGACAUCUUGAGAACUCAACAUCAGUUAGAGUGGUUGGACCUUUCUAAAAACCAAAUCCGUGGUAGGAUUCCCAGUUGGAUGUACGAUAUUGGAGUACAUACUUUGGAAGGAUUAGAUCUUUCACACAACUUCCUGACAAGCAUAGAACAUCUUCCGUGGAAAAAUCUUAGAAUUCUUUACCUUCAUUCGAACUUACUUCAAGGAUCACUUCUAGAUCUACCACCUCACUUGAAUUACUUUUCAAUUUCCACCAAUAAUUUGAUUGGAGAGAUUCCUUCAUCAUUUUGUAAUUUGAGUUCCAUUCUAUAUUUUAACUUAUCCAACAAUGGCUUGAGUGGACAAAUUCCACAAUGUCUUGGAUACUCUACACUUGAAACUUUGGAUCUACGAACGAACAACUUCCAAGGUAGCAUCCCACAGACAUAUGCAAAGGGCUGCAACUUGACUUAUCUUCGACUGAGUGGCAAUCACUUGGAGGGACCAUUACCACCAUCUUUGAUUAACUGUGUCAAUUUGCAAUUUCUUGAUGUUGGCAAUAACAACUUGAGCGGCCCAAUUCCAGAAUGUCUUGGAAACUCAACACUUGAAGUCUUGGAUAUGAGAAUGAACAAGUUCAGUGGCAGCCUCCCUCAAACAUUUGCAAAAGGUUGUGUUUUGGCAAGUUUUAACCUUAAUGGCAAUCGGUUAGAAGGACCAUUGCCUCCAUCUUUGGUUAAUUGUCGGCAUUUGGAAGUUAUAAAUGUUGGGAAUAAUCAGAUUAAUGAUUCCUUUCCCCACUGGUUAGACGUUCUUCCCGAAUUGCAAGUACUUAUAUUGCGUUCUAAUAGAUUUUGUGGUCCCAUUGGUGAUACCAAAACAAGAGUUCCUUUCCCGAAGUUGCGAAUAAUUGAUCUCUCUUACAAUCGACUCACCGGUGUUUUGCCAAUAUGGUAUCUGAAUGGUUUUAAAGCCAUGAUGCACGGGGAUGACAAUAGUAUUAAAGUCAAUUAUAUGUGGUCGCUGAAUUAUUCUUACUAUGAAUCAAUAUCUCUGACUAUGAAAGGCAAUGACAUACAAAUGGAGAGGAUUUUAACCACUUUUGCAACUAUUGAUUUGUCGAGCAACAAAUUUCAAGGGGAAAUAUCAGUAGUGUUGGGAAAGCUUAAUUCACUCAAAAGUCUCAACAUUUCUCACAACAACCUGACAGGUGGCAUUCCAUCGUCGCUAAGAAAUCUGAUAGAGCUUGAAUCUCUAGACCUCUCUUCAAACAAGCUUACUGGACGUAUCCCAACACAACUGGCAAGUCUCAAUUAUCUUUCGGUGUUGAAUUUUUCGAACAACCAGCUCGAGGGACCCAUACCAAGAGGACCCCAGUUUAAUACAUUUGGAAAUGAUUCCUAUUCUGGUAACUCGGGGCUGUGUGGAUUCCCAUUAUCGAAAAGCUGCAGCAUUGAUGAGGCACCAGAGCCAACAACACCAACAGGAUUUAUCGAAGGAGACGAUGCUUCAAGCUGGUUUGAUUGGAAGCUCGCUAAGUUGGGUUAUGCAUCUGGAGUGGUGAUCGGCUUGUCCAUUGGAUACAUGGCAUUUGCGACUGGAAGGCCACAAUGGUUUGUAAGAAUGAUCGAAAGGAAGCAAUCCACGAAGUUGAGAAGGGUGAUCAGACGAGGCGGAGCAGGUAGAAGAAGUUUGUAGGUGCAUCUCUAAAGGCCCAGGUGAGUAAUUAUUAGUUUGUCUUUUGGAAUUAUUAGCUGGUUUCUACUGUUCUUUGAGUAGAUAGCAUGCUGAUAUUAUCGUAAUCUAGCAAUUGACUUACAAAAACCACCAUCCUAAUUAAUUUCAGAUUAUGUUUAUUAUCUUCAACAUCUAUAGUGAGAAAGAAAAUUUUAACUGAAUUAUUGAUGUGGUUGUUUUCUUCAGGAAUUAUAAACUCCUAGAAGCUAUCAGUGGAAGUCAAAUAAUCCUCCAAGUACUCAAAUUGUUUUUACUUUAAUUUCAAUUUCAUGAAAUUGCUUUUACUUUUAUUUCCAUUUCAUUAGAACAUGUAAUCACAGACGUAUGUUUUGAUGGUAAAAUGAUUUGAAGGAAAUUGUGUGGGGGGAACUCUACACUUAUAUCUUCAAAUUUGGGCGUAGAACGUACUAUAUCAAAGUUUGAGAGCGGAAAACAUUCUUAUUAAGUGGGUGCAUUGCCCUCUUUGAGAAAAUGUAUUAAAUGAAAUCCCACACAUCUGCUAAUGGGAUUGUACAACGUUGACGGCACUCACAUCUGAGGGUUUAAAGUAAUUUUCGUAGAUCUUUUAUUGUAAUAUAUGUAUCUAUAUUUCAAAAGGAAGAAACCACCGUCAUCCAAAUUUAAUUAAGAAAAAUCUUCACUUUUUCAUAUAUCAACUUUUUUUCGUUUUGUAGAAACAAAAAUAAUUAUGCGUAAAAUGAAACCAAACUGCCAUUAAAUUUAGAGGGGUUUUCAUAGCGAUGCCAUACCUUAACAGCAGUCCCCACGUACGGCGCGGCCAAUGAUUCCACUUAUAACAUGUUCUUAAGAUAAUUUGAUUGGGUGUAAAAAGAAAAUGGUUUGAAUAAUUGAAAAAACAUUGGUCCAAAAUCUCUAACCUUUUAUGAUCCUUGUUCAAAUGGCCCAGUACGUGCCACGUCAACAUGUGCAAACUCAUCCACGUCACCAGCCUCAGCGCUCUCGCCACGUCAUCACUCGAUGAUCAUUGGAUUAAGAAAAACAGUUGAAUUGGGUCUCGUCAGUCGUCACAGAGGCCGAGCACAAAAGACAAAGAGAAACCGAAAUGGCGCGAGCUUUGCUUCAUUUGAAUCGCACAGCCACGGCCAUAAUAAUUAUGUUGAUUGAUGUGGUUGGACUUUCGUAUGUUAUUAUUUAAAUCCCCUAAUAUGUUAAAAUUUAAAAAACUGUAAAACUUGUUUAAAGUAACAUAAAUAUAAAAAUUACUCUACUCAAAAUCUCAACCAUAAAUUAUAUAAAUAACUAAAUAUAAAUACAAAGUUAAAAACCAUGUCUCAUUCCUUUAAAAAACACACAUUGUGGAAUUGGGCUGCUCAAGUUGUUAUUCCUGAAAUUAAUAAACAUUAAACCGAUACAAUUAACUAAAUAUGGUGACAAUGGUCCUUCUAGGCGAUUGUCAUUCAGCGUAAGCAUACAAAUUGCAACCUUUUUGCAUAUGAUUGUGGGAUUCUACCACGAAGAUUGUUCAUUCUAACAUCUAAGCACCCCACUGUAAAGUUUCCAAGGCACGGCUGAAGCUAUUAUUGGACAUAGAGAUGGCCACUCGCCAAUGCGAGUAUGUUUUAGAAGGGCACGUAGCAUGGUAUGCACACAAAUUAACAAACUAGAUAGGGCUGAGAAUUUUAAGUAUGUGGUCCUUAAAAUCAUGUCCUUCUCUAAAUGCAACAAUGGAAAAUAUCAAAUAAUCGUGACUCAAUUAAUUGUAGCAAUAAUCAUGUAGGAGAUGAUAUGAGCUUAAUUUGGGUGUACAUCUUUGGUUUUAUAAGUUGAAUUUGAAUGUGUAAUAUUAUUGUUCUGAAACUCAAUAAGAUAAUUGAUUGGGUGUAAAAAGAAAAUGGAUUGAAUAAUUGAAAUAACUUAAGUCCAAAAUCUCUGACCUUACAUGAUCCUUGUUCAAAUGACCCAGUACGUGCCACGUCUACAUGUGAAAACUCAUCCACGUCACCAGCCUCAAUAUUAUCGCCACGUCAUCACUCAACAGGUUACCAGUGACGAUAAUUUGGAUAAGAAAAAUUGUUGAAUUGAGAGCCUUCACUCUUCACAGAGAAACCAAAAAAGCGCGAGCUUUGCUUCACUUGAAUAGCACAGCCAUGGCCUUAGUGGCCAGGGCUAAAGCCUACAAGUGCUACUACAGAGACAGUUCUUGAUGGAGCUCAGUUUCAAAUGAAGAACCAAAACACCCGCGUUUUGGUACUUGGAGUUACGGGUCGGGUCGUUGGAUCCACUGCUGUUUCUCUCUACAAAUUCUGCACCAACCUUCAUAUUGUAGUUGGCUCUCGAAACAGGUCAAAUCAUCAAUGUCCUUUUCUUUCUUCUGUUUGGUUUCCGAAAAAAUGCAAGAAAUAAAGGAGGGAAAUUUUUAAAGCUUUGUUAUUUUCUGUUAUUUUUAUGUUUACUAUGUUUCUUUGGUUCUUUUAAAAUUUAAAUUCAAGGUGAUGGCUAAGGGUAAACUGCAAUGCUUUUACAUGAUUCCGAAAGCACAUUUCUAAACAGCCACUCAACUACAAGCGAUUGUCAUGUCCUGCAAUUGUAGAUUAAGGCUACAUUAGGUAGUGGUAUUGUGCGGUCGAGGCUUUUUAAGGCACAUCUACUUUUAAAUGAGAGCUACUGUGAAAUCAAAGUUUUAGUUAUAAAAUAAAAGUUUAUAGUGUUUGGUAAUUUUUUUAAAUAAUAAUUUUGAUAAAAAUAGUAAACCUAACAUAGGUUAGGCAUUUGUGGAUAAAUUUGCUUUAAUUGUCAAACUGUGGCUAUACUAUUUACUAAAUAUUUUAGAGUGCCUAAACAAGCCAUUAUAAAAUUACCAAUUAUACAAAAAAUUGUAAUUCUCUCACUUUUUGGUUUUCAUAAGCAUUCGAAAGGCAAUCAUAUCUUUUUCUUUUUUUUUAUUGAUAUGCUUUGACCACGGUAUGUUAUUAUUUUAGAAUGUUGUCAAACAUGUUAGUUCUUGGAUGGAACUAUAGAGUUGUGAAUUCAAAUAGUUAUGGCUGGAAUGUUUCCUAAUUUAGAGUGUUGCUGAGAAAAUUCUGCAUACUGGCAGGGAAAAAAGUGCCACAAUGGUCUCUACACUGAGGAAGAAUUCUGCAUUUGCUGAAGUUAACGUUGACAAUGAAGGCUCAUUAUUAAUGGCUUUAAUGUUGUGUUUACUUUCUGAAGUGGGAGUAAGGAGUGUGGAUUCCUCCCACUCUAAUGUUCACUUCAACAUUUUAAGGUAGGAUGGGGAGUGGGAGUGGGACUCCAAUGUUCCGCUCCCACCUCUUCCUUUUCUACCCUCUUUUUAUUAAAUUUAAUAUAAUUAUAUUUAAUAAAUUAAUUCCACUCCCACCUCUUCCUUUUCUACCCUCUUUUUAUUAUAUUUAAUAUAAUUAUAUUUAAUAAAUUAAAAUAAAUAAUAUUAUAUUUAUUUAAAUAAUAUUAUUAUAUUUAACUAAAUAAUAAUUUGUAUUGAUUCUAAGUUAAAAUUACUUAAAAAUAAUAUUAUUAUAUUAAUAGAGAAUUAAUAAUAUUACUAUAAACUAUCUUUAUCUGAAAAUAUAAUACUAUUAUAUUUAUUUAAAAAUAAUAGUAUUAUAUUUAUUUAAUAUUAAUAAUUAAUAGUAAUAAAUAGUUUAUUCUAAGAAAAUAUUAAUUUCGUACUAUCUUAAUAGUAAAAAUGUUUUAUUUAUAUUGCCCUUAUCAAUAAUUUUUAAUUUACAUACUUAAAAUUAAAAUUAAUAAAACAAUGUGAUGUACAGAAUUAAGAAUAUUAAGAAUUAUUAUAAUUUUACAAAUAUAAUAAAAUAAAUAUUUACUCAUCAAAUAUAUAUUGUUAAUAACUUUGUAAUUAAAAACUAUAAUUCUUUAAAUAAAGGUAAAAUUAUAAUUUGAAACUAUUUACUCCCAAUUCAAGAUAAAGUAAACACAUAAAUUAGAUUCUUAUUUCCAUUUCAUACUUCCAUUCUGAUGUAAGUAAACAACAUGCUCUCACUCCUACUUUACACUCUCAAUCCUAAAAUUUCCACUUUUCAGAAUUCUUACUUCAAUCUAAAAUGUAAACACUACCUAAGAAGUGUGAUCAUUCCUCUCGUACUAGAUGUAUCUUCUGUUACUCCGCAUCAAUAAUUAUUUUUCUUCUAGGGUCGUGGUAAAGGAAUUUUUUCAGGACAGAUAUUUCGUUAUUGACAAUAUUUUAAUGAUGUUUUAGUCUAUAGUUGAAAUGCUGCAACUUUGCUUCUGCAGAUGUGGAUCUUGUGGUUCAUGCAGCAGAGCCUUUUCAAGAGGCACCGAAAUGCACUGUAUUGGAAUUUGCCAUGGAAACCAAGGUGAGGAAAGGUAAAUGUUGUGUUUGAUUCUCUCUUUUCCAAGUCCAGUUUUCUACGUUUUAUAUAUGUGAUGAUUGAAGUAUGUAUACAACUUUACUAUGUAACCGAGAUGUCAUCUUAUGUGUUCUUUUUGUGUCUCCUAACAGACAGCAUACAUUGAUGUUUGUGACGAUACCAGCAACUCUCAGCCCGCAAAGUCCUUCGAGGUUAAAGCAAUAACUGCAAACAUUCCAGCCGUAACUUCUGAAGGAAUCUAUCCAGGAGUAAGCAAUGGUGAUUUUAUGAACAUUCUUGUCCUGCAAUCUGCACUUCUACUGCAGAAAAUUAAAUAUAUGAUGUGAAGUGAAGAGUAUGGAUGGAUAGAGCACAAAUUCUGCAAUUGAAACAUGUAAAGCCUACAAAUUCUUGCUUUAGAGCUAAAACAUCAUUGUUGGUGAACCCAUAGGCCUGGCUCCAAAGCUCUUAUAUAUUAUGGACAGGAUCCAGCGUGCUUGUGUUCAUAUACAUGAUUUUUGCCACCGGAAGACCUCAGUGUUUUGUAAAGAUGAUUGAACGGAAGCAAUCUAAGAAGGUCACGAGGAGGGUGCAUCCACUGCUCCAAGCUAUUUGUAGGUUGCACGCUGAUUUUGAUAUAUUCUGAACUACUAUUUGAACUGCAUAAUAAUGUGACGUGUUUUUUGUACAGGAAUUUUAGACUCAUGGAAGGUAGCAUUGGAAGUGAAUCAAUCCUCCUGGUGCCAAAUUUGCCUUGCUUUAUUUCCAUAUCUUUAUUGGUAAUUAAAUUUAUAAAAUAUUUGAGGGAAAAAAUGAUUCGAAAAAUUAUUGAUGUGGGAAAUGGCGUGGGCUGACUUUGAUUUAGUGCAUCUCUGGGCUAUGAAAUGUUGAAUUUGGGCGUACUUGGAAGCCUGCAACAAGAUGAACAACAUUCACUGUCAUUUAGGAAAUUACCCAUGAGACUAUUGACAAAUUUCAAUGUUUCUGGACUAAAUAUCGCAUUUCAAGUUACUUAAUUUCGAGCACUUUAGGAAUCUUCUAUGAUUUUAUUUUUAUUUUUAUUUUAUAAGAAGUUCAUUUGUUACUUCAGUGUUAUAUCUUUUUCUUACUCUAAUUUCCAGUAUUUUUCUAAUAAUGGUUGGAAUCUGCUGUGUUCAUAGAUUAGGCAUUAACAGGCUAUAAAACCUCAAGGCUAAACAAUUUUUAUCAAUUAAACAUAUUAUUCGGAAACUUUAUUUCUUCUUUUCGUCUCACUUUAGAAAUAUUUAUAAGCCCAACGAAUUUGCCCGUUUAACAAAUUGUUCUUUGUAUGCGCCAUGGGGAAAAUCAAAUAAUAUUUAUAGGCUAACUUCAAUGCCUUCUUGCAUAUAAUUGUAAGAUUUGGGCAUUUAAUAUGUCAUUUGAAGUACGCAAUGAGAUGGAUAAAAAUCUUUUCCUUCUCGUGAUGUAUGCGAGACUUUUUGCCAAAUUCCAAUGCCUUCUUGCAUUAAAAGUGGGACACAUUAUUUUGUAUUAAAACGAAUUUGCCAGUUUAACACAUUGUACUAAUCAAAUAACUUUAUUUGAUUCGCUAUUCGAUCAUAAGGGAUGUAGGUGUUAUAACAUAUAUAUGGAUACAGUCUAUUCCUCUACCUUAUAUAAAACAAUAAUAACACCAACUGGAGUCUAGGCGGCUGCCACAUCACCAUGUACGACAGACAACUAACAUUUUUCUUAUCUAUAUAUCGUUUGAGCUUUAAUUUGGACUGGUUCAUGGAAAUUGAAUAAUCAAAGUCUACUAAAGACGUCAAGAAAGGAAACGAGUAAAAUACAAACAUAGUCUAUCAAUGUUUAAUGCUUAAUGUAACGUUACGUGUUGGCUGUAUUAAUAGAAAUUCUCCGCAUCUGCCAAUAGGCUCGUAGCCCCUUGACAACACUCAUGCUCUCAAAUCUUGAGAGCAAUUAAUUCGUGGGACUCACUUUUUUCUGUCAGUAUAAUUAGAUAUGGGUAGAUUUUUUCCACUAAUAUAAAUAGAGCAUAUAUCCCUAACAAAUUUACGAAAUUAUCCAUCUGACUUUUAGGAAAUUAUACCAUUUCAGGACCCAAAAUUGCAUUUGAAUUUAUUUUAAAUUACAGCGCUGAGGACCAACAAAGUGUUGGCUCCACUGGCAAUGGAGUCCCCUUAAGUGGCUUGACUGGGUUUGCUCCCCAGUUCGAGUCGCAGGGAAGUCGCCUUUGUUGGGAGAACAUGUGCCUCCCGGUUCGAGCGGGGACUUCUAGUCUGGGUUGUGGUACGGGCUUAAAGGUGUCUCCCAUAGUUGGGGCCCUCCCCAGGAUACCUCGUGAUUAUAUCAAAAAAAAAAUUACAGCGCUGAGGAAACUUCUAAGAUUUGUACUUUUAUUUUCAUAACAAAUUGUUAAGCAACUUCCGUUUGUUGCGUUUUUAAUUAAUUUCAAUUUAAUCCUUAAUCUUCUCUGAAUUUCUUUUCUUUUUUUUCAGCUUAGGAGAGCAUAUUAACGCCUACAUAAAAGAAGCUAUAUACCACUGUAAAUAGAGUACUAUUAGUACAAAAUUAAUUCAAACUAGUGAAAAAGAUCACAAAUUUAUAAAGCCUUACUGUGGAAUGCUCAAUGUUGACUUAGGAAAAGGGUUUAAGAUCUAUAUUGAGAAUUGAUCAAGCAAUUUCAGCAUAGAGAUUACACACAUAUAUAGUAAACAAUUAAGAGUAAAUGGAAGGUUGAAUUUUACAAAACUAGCGACAAAUGCACCAAUAAACUAGACUUGGUGCUCUGACUCUAAAGGUGUUCUAUUUAAUUAGAUUCCCCUGUAGUGGUGUGAUUAAAAGAGAUGGAUAGAAAAGGUUAUUUUAACUUAAGAGGUGGACUUGACUAAAGUGUUCAUUAAUGACAUGACGUUGAGAAAGAAAGACUUAUUCUCUACAUACCUCUUAAUUUGGGCAAUCCUACAUCAGUAACUUUCAACUUUUUUUUAUUCUUCCCAUGGGUUUCAUUAUCAUAAUUGUGGAAAAAAAGUUGUUGUUUGGAGUUUUGCAAAAUUAGCCAUAAGUUCAUGCAUCAACUAGAUUCCAAAACAAUAUCAUCAGGCUCAGUAUAACAAAGGACUUGGUGCAUACUCUAAGUCCAAAUGAAUUAUAAUUAAUUAGAUUAUUUCAUCCUCAAUUUUAAACGUUAGUAUUGAUCAAUCUUAAAAGUAGAUUACCCAUAUUAACUUGCAGUAAACUAAUUAAGAAGUAAAUGGAUGGUCGAACAACCUGCUUAACAAAUCGAAACAGAGGAGGGAAAAAUAUGAGUCUAGCUGGCUGUUACAUCUCUUUUUACAUACAUAAAUAAAUAUCAAAAUUAUUAUUAAUUGGAUGCAGCUUCAGCUUUGGUGCUGGUUUGUGAAAAUUGGAAAAACUGGAAAAUUGAUAGCUCUUUCUCCUUUUGAAGAAUCAAAGUCUACUUUAAAUAAUAAUCCCCAUCAAUAUUUAAUGCUUGUUAUUGACUUUAAACCAGCGGCCGCUUUCAGAAAGAAAGACUUCAAUCGAAAAGUAAAUAGAUUCCCUCCUUUACUUCCACUUCAUGAGUUACAACUAACCAUUUCACUUCUAUAUAUGGUAAUUUCUCUUCUUGGGAUUUCAUCAGGAGAAAAAAAGGAAAAAAAGAAAAGAAAAGAAAAGAAAAUGGGAUAAUAUCACUCAGCCUUAUCAACUUUUGAUUUGCCUGCAGUUAUUGUUCUUGUAUUAACGAGGCUAUGUAUCAUUCAAUUAACUAAACACAUUUUGGUGAACAUACAACUGAAAUCAUUUUCACACAAUAACGUAGCAAAAAGCUACUACAUAUCACAAUGUUGACCACUGGGCUAAUCAAGCAUUUACCUUUCCUAAUACAAUUUAUCACAAAACGAUUAUCCCUUUUCAUAUUUUAAGUUCAGUAGUAAGAAAACAGUGUCCGUUUCAUAUUUUCAGUUAUUGCUCAAUCCCUUUACAAAAAAGUAUGUACAUUUACAAGGGAUAGAAGAUUUUGGUUUGACUUUGAUAUGACCAUAAAUACUAUUGAAAUUACAAGCUUUAGAAGUUCACAAAAUAAAUAUUGUAAAUUUAAGGGGGCUAAAUCAUAAGCUUUACAAAUAAGUGGAUUCAAUUUUAGUUUGUACCUUUAUCAGUUAAUCUAAUUUUCCAAUUUUCAAACCAAAAUUUAGUUUUUAAUUUUUUGAUUAAAUUUCUUUAGAAAAUACUCAACUAAAUACUAUUUAUAGUUAAAUAUUAGUUUGAAUGAACACAUUCAUAGAUAAUUGUGUAAGCAAUUUAUUUGGUUAAUUAAUGGUUGUAAUCUUUAAAAAUGAGAAUUACUAAUUUUAAAAAAUUCCAAUGGUUACUGUAUUAAAAGUAUGUUUGGAACAUAGCAUUGCAUAGUAUUAUAAUACUAUUCAUAUUAAUUUAUCGCUAACCUAUGUUUGGUAAUUUUAGAAGCCACAUUGUGGUGCAUGUGCACCAGAAUGUGCCAACUGUUGCCUCAAUUGAGAUGUUGAACAUAUUCUAAUUAUCAUUUAAUAAUAAAUAAAAUAAAAUAGAAGUUAAAUUAUAAUGUUUUUAUUUAAUAACACAAUAUUACAUUAUAUUUAUACAUUAGUAAUUAAUAUAAAAUAAUAAUUUAAUAACUAUUUUAAUAUAAUUAUUGGUAAAGUAAUAAUAAAUCUAAAUAAUACUAAUUUAAUAUUAGUACAAAAUUAACAAAGUACAAUUUAACGCUAAAUAUUAUACAAUAUUAUUAUAAUACAAUUCUAAUUCAAUAUCUCAUAAAGUGCAUUAAAAGACAUGAUACGGUAUAAGUGAAGAGUAAUGGAUUUUAGUUUGCAUUAACGUAUGCCCAUUACUAUAAACCAAUGGCCCAACACUUGGCAUGUCAAAGACAAAAACUAUCCAUACUGGCGCCACAUCAUCACUCAUUGUAAACUGAAAAGAAAAUUUUUGAUAAGAAAACAGUUGAAUAAUUGAAUUUCGAGUCUUUGGUGGACAUUAUCCUUUUUAUAGUAAAUAUAUCUUUGAGUUAAACAGUUACUAAAACAUUGGGGCUAAUUUUUCAUUUAACUACAAAAUUACUUUUAUUGGAACCCAUAAAACAAUUUUUAAGAGGUUAAUUAGUUAUGUCACAUCUUCAACUAUUGUCAAAUUAUUAUUCGAGUUCAUCAUUUAAGUGGUAAAUGCGUUACUUAAAACAUUUCAAAUGAUAUAUUAAACAAAUAUUUUGAGGAACAAGGCUCAUUAUGUCUCCUCUCAUUAGUUGUAUUUUUAAUUUCUUUUUAAAAAAUUCUCUCAUAUUCAAUUAAAAAAAAUCAGCCACUCAAAAAAAAAAAAAAAUACUUAGCUUCGCGGCUGAAUGGGGCUAAAUUAUGUAUUGUUUGACUAGCAAAACUCUUACCACAUCGGCUGCCCACGUCAUAUGUGCCCACUAAGUUUAUUAUGGUGAAGUCCAUGUCAACAUGUCAAAACUCGGCCACGUCAUCAACUACGUCAUCUCUCAACUAGUUAUAACGGAUGAUAACUUGGAUGAGCAAAACAAUUGAAUUGAGUCUCUUCACAAAAGUAGGACCAUAAUUAUAACUAAUUUAUAAAAUUUAUAUUACUUUAUUUGCAAUAUCGUUUUUAAUUAUGUCUAUAUUAGUAUGAAUCUUAAACUCAAGUUUUGGAUUAAUAGAAUCUAGUAUUAUUAAAGUCCUUUGGGAUAGACUAAUAAUAACUUAAUAUUAAAAAUAAUUUUCAUUAUUUAUGUUACCUUAUUAAUUAUACUUCUUGUUUUAUUUUAUUCCUAUCAGAAGCUAUUUAUUUAUUAUUUUUAUUUUAUUACUAUAUUUAUAUUUAUUUAGGUUAUUAUAAUCAAAGGUUAUAAUAGUUAUUUAUAAGGAGGGUCUAUGUGACCACCUAAGCAAACCUUAGGGCCGUGGUUACGGGGGUGGUCCUUUUUCCCUAAGCAAUAAUGUAUGAAAUGACCUUGAAUGUACUUAAAUCAUAUGCAACCUAUUUACUAUCUCUCUUUGAGAGUUUUUUUUUUUAUUGAAUAUUAGAUAUUGAGAGACUUAAUCAGAUGCGAUGAGCAACAUGUCACCUAAUUAUAGACUGGUGUGUUAAAAGCUUGGUCAAUUAUCAAGUAACACGUGGUAUCACGCACAAUAACAUACACGAUGAUGCACAUCUGAUCAUUCUUUUUGGAUAUCAAUUGAUCUAAGCCUACAAGUUCAACGUAUAGAGUACACGUAUUUACAGUAGAAUACAAAGUGUGUCAACUUGCUUAAUAAACUAAAACAUAAUCAAAAUAGAGGAGGGAAAAUGAACAGUGUGUCUAUGUAUGUGUAAUUGGAGUUUGGAUCUUACGGACUUAGUCGACUAACUUUCAAAUAACUUCAUUUGAUUCGCCAUUGGAUGAUAAAGGAGGUAUGUGUUAUAACAUGUAUAACUUCAGAUUUCGAAUUUCAACCCCAUUCCUAUGGAUGUGGAGAAAUUUGAAUAGUCAUAAAAUUAUAAAUGGAUGUGGAGAAAAUUGUAGUGAAGUAAUUAAGAAGUAAAUGGAAGGUCUAACAGCUUGCUAAGAAGCUGAAAUAGAAUCAAAACAGAGAAGGGAAAAUGAAUUUUGUCUGUGUAAAGUGUCCGUUUAAUGUCAGUUUGAACCAUGAGUUUCAUAGCCGUGGAAAAGAAAUUGAAGUAGUUUGGAAUUUUACUAAAUUGACCACAAAUUCAUGCACCUACUAGAUUCCAAAACCAUAUCGUGAGGCUCCCAGUAUAACAAGACUUGGUGCAUGCUCUAAGCCUAAAUGAAUUACAAUUAAUUAAGAUACUCCUCCUCAAAAGAUAGUAUUGAUGAAGCUUACAGUUAGAUUACACAUAUUAAUUUGUAGUCCACUAAUGGAAGGUCUAACAACUUAGCUUAACAAACUGUAACAGAGUCAAAACAGGGGAGGGAAGAUGAAUUGUGUUUGUGUAAAUGACUGUUAGUCUAGCUAGCUGUUACACCGGCAAAUAUGACAGAUAACGAACAUCUCGCCGAACUUAAGUAAAUAUCUAAAUGGUUAUUAAUUGGAUACAGCUUCAGCUUUUGGACUGGUUUGUGGAAAUUGAAAAAAUUUGAAAAGUGUUCCUCUUGAAGAAUCAAAGUCUACUUUAUACGUAAAGAAAGGGGAUCCCAGUAAAGAUAAUCCAUCAAUGUUCAGUGGAAUAAUUAAAAGUGAUUUUUUAAUUAUUCCACUGCCCAACAUGAGAUUCCAAAGCAAGACUUGGUUCCCUAAGUCAAUAAGUAUCGAGGGGUCCACACGCAUUUCCGCGAGGCAUUAAAUAUAUUUUAAUUAUAAUUAUAAUAAAUAAAAUAUAAAAUAAGUUAUAUUAUAAUAUUACACAAAUAGAUUACACAUAUUAUUCCUCCUCAUCUUUCUUAACAAGUAGAUUACACAUAUAUAUUAUCAAGAAGUAAAUGGAAGGCCGAACAACUUUUUUAACAAACUGAAACAGAAUUAAUGCAGAGGAGGGAAAAUCAAUUGUGCUUUGUGCAUAAUGUAUAUGACUGACUAACUAACUAAAUUAAUGGUGUUGGAUUAAUAGAUGGGAAGACGUUCAAGAAGCCACGUUGUCCGUACGAGAAGGAGCGUUUAGAUGCCGAGUUGAGGCUGGUGGGAAGUUUCGGGCUGCGGUGCAAGAGGGAGCUGUGGAGGGUUCAGUAUGCAUUGAGUCGGAUUCGCAACGCGGCGAGGGAUCUUCUCACUCUGGACGAGAAGGACCCUCGCCGCAUCUUCGAAGGCCAGGCCCUCCUUCGCAGGAUGUUUAGGUACGGCCUUUUGGAGGCGACUCAGCAUAAAUAACACAUAACUAAUAUCAUUCCGCGUCGAGCACGUCGUCAAGAUCUCCCUCUUGAAAGGAUUCCACUUACCACCUAAAUUCCAAAGCAAGAAGACUUGGUGCUGUAAGCCAAUAAAUAUUAUAUUAUUAAUUAAUUACACACCAUAUUCAACUUCUAUAAAUAGUCAUUAUAUCUCUCUCUCUUCUUGUGAUUUCAUCAUCCAGAAAAGAAAAAGAAAAAGAAAAUGGGUUAUAUCACUCAGCCUUAUCAACUUUUUAUUUGCCUCCAGUUAUUCCUCUUCUAUUCUCAGUGUUCAGCAAUACUUUGCUCUCACCACCAAAGUUCUGCUUUACUCCAAUUUAAGCAGCUCUUUUCCUUUGAAAAAGAUUGUUCAUCCGGUUGUGAUAUAUUUCAACAAAUAUCUCGUCCAAAGAUGAUGUCUUGGAAAGAGGACGCUGAUUGCUGCUCCUGGGAUGGAGUAACAUGUGAUUCGGUGACGGGUCACGUGAUUGGCCUCGACCUCAGUUGCAGUUGGCUUCACGGCAACAUCCCUUCCAACAGUAGCCUUUCCUUGCUUCCUCGCCUGCGAAAGCUCAACCUAGCCUUCAAUGAUUUCAAUUUCUCUAAAAUUUCUUCUGGUUUUACUAUUCAAUUUCCAAGUUUGACACUCCUUAACCUCUCUUUCAGCAAUUUCACGGGGCCAAUUCCUGCAUCACUAAGUAACAAUAUUACACAGCUUGCUUAUUUGGAUCUCUCAUCUAACAGUUUUAGUGGUCACAUUCCAUCAUCUUUUUCAAAUCUGCAGCAGCUUCGUCAUUUAGAUCUUCGGGGCAAUAACUUUGUUGGUGAAAUUCCUGCGUCAUUAGGUAACAAUAUCACACAGCUUGCUUAUUUGGAUCUAUCAUUUAACAGUUUUAGCGGUCAGCUUCCAUCGUCUUUUUCAAAUCUUCAGCAGCUUCGUCAUUUAGAUCUUCAGGACAAUAACUUUGUUGGUGAAAUUCUUGUGUCAUUAGGUAACAAUAUUACACAGCUUGCUUAUUUGGAUCUAUCAUUUAACAGUUUUAGUGGUCACAUUCCAUCAUCUUUUUCAAAUCUUCAGCAGCUUCGUGAUUUAGGUCUUGGGGGCAAUAAAUUUGUUGGUCAAAUUCCGGAUAUGUUUACCAACCUAACCCAACUUUCUUCUUUAAACUUGGCAGAUAAUCAACUGAUUGGCUCGAUUCCAAGUUCAAUCUUUGAACUUGUUAAUUUGACUGAGAUCUAUCUUUCUUUUAACAAUUUCAGUGGCAGCGUUGAGCUUUACGAUUUUGCAAAGUUCAAAAAUCUUAAAUAUCUUAUUCUUUCUAAUAUUAGUUUAUCAGUUAGCACCAAAUUAACAGUCAACUCGUCUUUCCCUAAUCUUUGGGUGUUGGGUUUAUCGGCUUGCAAUAUAAGUGAGUUUCCAGACAUCCUGAAAACUCAACAUCAGUUAGACUGGUUGGACCUUUCUGAAAACCAAAUCCGUGGUAGGAUUCCCAGUUGGAUGUGGGAUAUAGGAGUACAUACUUUGUUUCGCCUAGAUCUUUCACGAAACUUCCUGACAAGCAUAGACCAUCUUCCGUGGAAAAAUCUCGAAUUUCUUACCCUUGAUUCGAACCUACUUCAAGGAUCACUUCCAGAUCUACCACCUCACAUGGUACAGCUUUCAAUUUCCAACAAUAGUUUGACCGGAGAGAUUCCUUCAUCAUUUUGUAAUUUGAGUUCCAUUCAAUAUCUUUACUUAUUCAACAAUAGCUUGAGUGGACAAAUUCCACAGUGUCUUGGAAACUCUACACUUGAAACUUUAGAUCUCGGAAUGAACAACUUCCAAGGUAGCAUCCCACAGACAUAUGCAAAGGGCUGCAACUUGACUUAUCUUCGGCUGAGUGGCAAUCACUUGGAGGGACCAUUACCGCCAUCUUUGAUUAACUGUGUCAAUUUGCAAGUUCUUGAUGUUGGGAAUAACAACUUGAGCGGCCCAAUUCCAGAAUGUCUUGGAAACUCAACACGUUUGUCAUUUCUUGAUGUUGGGAAUAACAACUUGAGCGGCCCAAUUCCAGAAUGUCUUGGAAACUCAACAAGUUUGUCUUUUCUUGAUGUUGGGAAUAACAGCUUGAGCGGCCCAAUUCCGGAAUAUCUUGGAAACUCAACACUUGAAGUCUUGGAUAUGAGAAUGAACAAGUUCAGCGGCAGCCUCCCUCAAACAUUUGGAAAAAGUUGUGUUUUGGUAAGUCUUAAACUUAAUGGAAAUCGGUUGGAAGGACCAUUGCCUCCAUCUUUGGUUAAUUGUCGACAUUUAGAAGUUAUAGAUGUUGGGAACAAUCAGAUUAAUGAGACCUUUCCCCACUGGUUAGACGUUCUUCCCGAAUUGCAUGUACUUACAUUGCGUUCUAAUAGAUUUCGCGGUCCCAUUGGUGAUACCGAAACAAGAGUUCCUUUCCCCAAGUUGCGAAUAAUUGAUCUCUCUUACAAUCGAUUCACCGGUAUUUUGCCAAUAUGGUAUCUGAAUGGUUUUAAAGCCAUGAUGCACGGGGAUGUCAAUAGUAUUGAAGUCAAUUAUAUGAGGUCGUUGAAUUAUUCUUACUAUGAAUCAAUAUCUCUGACUAUGAAAGGCAAUGACAUACAAAUGGAGAGGAUUUUAACCACUUUUGCAACUAUUGAUUUGUCGAGCAACAGAUUUCAAGGGGAAAUAUCAGAAGUGUUGGGAAAGCUUAAUUCACUCAAAAGUCUUAACAUUUCUCACAACAACCUGACAGGUGGUAUUCCAUCGUCGCUAAGAAAUCUAACAGAGCUUGAAUCUCUAGACCUCUCUUCAAACAAGCUUGCUGGACGUAUCCCAACACAACUGGCGAGUCUCAAUUAUCUUUCGGUGUUGAAUCUUUCGAACAACCAGCUCGAGGGACCCAUACCAGGAGGACCCCAAUUUAAUACAUUUGGAAUUGAUUCCUAUUCUGGUAACUUGGGGCUGUGUGGAUUCCCAUUAUCAAAAAGCUGCAGGAUUGAUGAGGCACCAGAACCAACAACACCAACAGGAUUUAUCGAAGGAGACGACGCUUCAAGCUGGUUUGAUUGGAAGCUCGCUAUGUUGGGUUACGCAUCUGGAGUGGUGAUCGGCUUGUCCAUCGGAUACAUGGCAUUUGUGACUGGAAGGCCACAAUGGUUUGUAAGAAUGAUCGAAAGGAAGCAAUCCAGGAAGCUGAGAAGGGUGAUCAGUCGAGGCAGAGCUGGUAGAAGAAGUUUGUUGGUGCAUCUCUAAAGGCCCAGGUGAGUAAUUAUUAGUUUGUCUUUUGGAAUUAUAAGCUGGUUUCUACUGUUCUUUAAGUAGAUAGCAUGCUGAUAUUAUCGUAAUCUAACAGUUGACUUGCAAAAAUCACAAUCCUAAUUAAUUUCAAGUUAUGCUUAUUAUCAACAUCUAUAGUGAGAAACAAAAUGAGGAUAAUGUAUAAGAAAGAAAAUUUUAACUGAAUUAUUGAUGCGAUUGUUUUUACUUUUAUUGCCAUUUCAUUAGAACAUGUAAUCACGGACGUAUGUUUUGAUGGUAAAAUGAUUUGAAGUAAUAUUGUUGCAGGAAAUUGUGCGGGGGUAACUUUGGUUUGUAAUCAUGUACUUCAAAUUUGGGCGUAGAACAUGUUAUUUCAAAGUUUGUGAGCAGACAACGUUGUUUGCCUUUGGCUCAGUGAUAUCAAUUUAAAAACUCAGAGCUUAAUUAAUAACUCUAUUAAGUGUGUGCAUUGCCCUUCUUGGAUUGACAGCACUCAUCCCACACAUCUUCCCAUGCAAGGAUUUCCACUCAUCAAUUAGCAAAAAUUGAAAAACAUUAUAAUUAAAUGUGUGUGUGUACGUAUAUGAUUCAGCAGAGUACUCCUAGUCUUAAGUUGAACAUCAAUAAUUAAUUGAAAAACAUUAUAAGUAGAUGAGAUUACAAAUAUGAUCAAUGUUUAAUAAAAUCCACCAUCAAAAAAUGAAAAAGUCCUAAUUAAUGACUUUCAUUUUUUGAUCCUUCCAAUGAGUGCACAUAUAGCCGUGGAAAAGAAGCUAAAGUAUAUAGUCUGCAAUUUUACAAAACUGGCGACAAAUCAAUGCACCAACUAGACUCCAAAACAAGAUGACGAGUUACAUUUAGUAACAAGACUUGGUGCUGUAAGUCUAAAAGUAUUAUAUUUAUUAUUACUAUUUUUUUUAAAAGUGUUGUAUUUAAUUAGAUUCCCCUGUUUUGGUGUGAGUUAAGGAGAUGGCUACGAUAAGUUUUUUAUUCUCGUAAGGGGGACUUGAAUAAAGUGCUCAUUAUUAAUGGCUUUGAGAAAGAAAGACUUGUUCUAUAUAUCCCUCUUAAUUUGAACAAUCUUUCUUCAGCAACUUCCAACCUUUUUUUAUGCUUGCCAUGGGUUUCGUAGCUGUGGAAAAGAAGUUAAAGUAGUUUGGAAUUUUAUUAAAUUGGCCACAAAUUCAUGCAACUUUCAACCUUUUUUAUGGAUUCCAUUGGUUUCAUAGCAUGGAAAAGACGACAGACAACUAACAUUUCUCUUAUCUAUAUAUCGUAAGUGUUAUAACAUAUAUAUGGAUACCGUUUAUUCCUGUAACUUGUAUAAAACAAUAAUAACAACAACUGGAAUCUAGGCGGCUGCCACAUCACCAUGUAUGACAGACAGCCACAUCACCAUAUAUCAUUUGACCUUUAAUUUGGACUGGUUAGUGGAAAUUAGAAAAACUCGAAUAAUCAAAGUCUACUAAAGACGACAAGAAAGGAAACGAGUAAAAUACAAACAUAGUCUAUCAAUGCUUAUGCUUAAUGUGACGUUGCGUCUUGGCUGUAUUAAUAGAAAUCCUCCUCAUCUGCCAAUAGGCUCGCACCCUGUUGACAGCACUCAUGCUCUCAAAUCUUGAGAGCAAUUAAUUCGUGGGACUCACUUUUUUAUAUCCAUAUAAAUAGAGCAUAUAUCCCUCAAAAAUUUAUGAAAUUAUCCAUCCGACUUUUAAAUUAUACCAUCUCAGAGCUGAUGAGUGACAAGAUGAACAACGUUACUCAUUGCCUUUGAAUAUCCAUCCGACUUUUAGGAAAUUAUACCAUUUCAAGACCCAAAAUUGCAUUUGAAUUUAUUUUAAAUUACAGCCCUGAGGAAACUUCUAAGAUUUGUACUUUUAUUUUCAUAACAAAAUCCUAAGCUACUUCCGUUUGUUGCGUUUUUAAUUAAUUUCAGUUUACACCUUAAUCUUCUCUUAAUUUCUUUUCUUUUUUUUCAAACUCGCCAAUUGCGUUGCAAUGAUGCAAUCAACCCAAUAAGCUUGUUUGACCAGAGGUCUAAAGAUUCAAGUAAUGUUAGAUUUUCCAACAAUAAUGGAGCGCCACCUAUCAAGUUGUUGUGAGACAUUUGAGUGAAUUAAACUUUCCCACUAUUUACGGAAUUUCCCCUUGAAAUUGAUUGCUCAACAAAUGAAUUGACAUGAAAAUGGUUAGAAUCAUCUGUAUUUGUUGGUCUAUUCCUUCCAUGAUCAAACUUAUCAAUUCAUAGUAGGAGUUGAAAUCUUUAAGCCUCAUAAAUUUUGCUUAAUGAUCAACACAAUUGUUAUCUCCAUAUAUCAGGCUUUAAAAUUAUCAAGAUACUGAAUUGGCAAAACACGAGUCAGUUGAUUGUGAGAGCGAUCAAUUAUUUACAGCUUUGAAAUAGGAACUCUUGUUUGGGUAUGACCAAUGGGACUGCAAAUCAGUUAGAUCGUAAUAUAAUUACUUGCAAUUUAGGAAGAAUUUCUAACCAAUGAGAAGAGGUAUCAUUAACAUGAUUGUUCACAAUAUCAAAAAUUUCCAAAUGCUGAUAGUUAACCAAAGAUUGAGGCAAUAGUCCUUCCAACUGAUUGCUAUUAAGGUUAAAACUUAGGAAGUCACAGCUUUUUGCAAACAUUUGAGAAAUGCUGCAAAGAGUUGUAAUUUGAGAAAUCUUUAACCUUAAUGACAAUCAAUUAGAAGGAUUAUUACCUCUCUCUUUGGUUAACUGUUGGCAUUUGGAAGUUUUUGAUAAUAAAAAUGAUCAUGUUAAUAAUAUCUUUCUUUAUUGGUUAGAAAUUAUUCAUAAAUUGUAAGUGCUUAUAUUACGAUCUAACCAAUUUCGUGAUCCCAUUGGUCAUAUUAAAACAAGAGUUCCCUUCCCCAAGUUGGGAAUAAUUGAUCUCUCUCAGAAUUAACUCACUGGUGUUUUGCCAACUCAGUAUCUUGAAAAUUCUAAAGUCAUAAUGCGUGGGGAUAACAAUAAUGUUGAUUUCAACUCUUACUAUGAAUUAAUAAUUUUGACCAUAGAAGGAACCGACCAACAAAUGGAGAGGAUUCUAAUCAUUUUCAUGCCAAUUGAUUUGUCGAACAAUCAAUUUCGAGGAAAAUUUUAGAAGUGGUGAGAUAAAUUAAUUCACUUAAAUGUCUUAACAUUUUUCACAACAAGCUGACAAGUUGCAUUCCAUCAUUGUUGGGAAAUCUGUCAGAGCUUGAACGUUUUGACUUCUUCUCAAACAAGCUUAUUGGGCUGAUUCCAAUGCGAUUGGCGAGUCUGAAAUUUCUUUUCUUGCUAAAUUUUUUGUACAGCCAGCUUGAGGGACAUAAACCUCAAGGACCUCAAUUAACUACAUUUUCAAACGAUUUUUAUACUGUAAACUUGAGGUUGUGUGGUUUUCAUUAUCACAAAGCUAACAUUGAGACAUUAGAAUUGUUACUAACAAGAUUGGAUAAAAGAGAUAGUAAUUCGAGCUGGUUUGAUUGGAAGUUCGCUAAGAUGACCAAUGAACCUGGUGGCCUAUGGCAUGACACAUGUACAACACAUGGCAUAAUACAGGCAGAGUUUCAGUAGGGCACCAGAACGACAUGUGUCCGUACAACACGGUAUGAGCACAUUUUGAUAGGGCAUGUGGCACGACAUUACAUGGCACGUACGCGGGUUGAGCUAGGCUGGAUUAAUAAUUUUAGGUACAUGUGCUUAACAAGCACAAUACGAUUAGAGAUAGUAUAAAACACAACACAUGAAAAGGUCCGCAAUAAGAACGUUUAUCUGUUGGGCUAGCAUACGGCUUGCAGACCAUCAAUAACAUGUGGGCCAAUACAUAUUUUAGUAUUUUUUUUUUAUGAAAGUAAAAUUGAAAUUUUAUGAUUUUACAAAUAAUUUAAAUUUGAAUCUUUUUAUCUAUUUCAUUAGCAUAGUUUUUUAAAAAUUCAUUUAAUUCUUAGUUUUAAAAAAAUACUCUAAUUGUUUUACAUUUAUAAUUUACUAAAUGAAUAGAUGAUCAUGAUUUUAAAAAAUAAAAUUAUAAAUAUCAUGAUUUCAUAAAUGUAUGCAGUAAUGUGAUUAUUGAUACGAAAAUAUAGAUCAGCAAUAAGAGUUGAAAAAAAAUUAUUUACUUAGGGAACAAGUUGAGAGAGUUUGAUAUACUCAUAAUUGCCAUUAUUGAGAGUGAAAAGCUUGAUAAUCGGAAUUUUUUAAAACAAUAAGCCAUCAGGAUUCGCUUGGGGGUGUUAUCGUUGUAGACCCUCCGAUACUUAAGUUAAAGAUUAAAAAUAACAUGAUAAUAAAUAAAUAAUAAGAGAAAAAAGAGAAUAAGAGAAUAAAUAUUGUCAUACAAUAUACAUAUUUCGCAUGUAUCUUUAUAUGUAUACACACACACAGAGACACACACCUUUGAGUGAUGAUCUCUUUAUAUAAGAGUGCUAAUAAUAAAAAGUGUUUAAAUUUUAAAUUAUAAAUACCAUGUAAAUAUUGAAUUAAAAAAUAAAAUUAUAAAUACCAUGUAAUAGCAUUGCAGUUUCGUUGGCCAUCGCCUUGAAUUUAAAUUUUAAAAGAACCAAAGAAACAUAGUAAAUGUAAAAAUAACAUAAAAUAACAAAGCUUGAAGAAGUUUACUUCUUUACUUCUUGCAUUUUCAAACUCUACUAUUUUAGGGCUCAAAAUCACUUUCUAUUCUGCAUUUUAUAAAACUAGAAAUUAAAAAUACAAAAUUCUAUGGGAAUGUCGUGUGAUGCGUGGACACUGGGUAGAUAUUCACUGUUUAUAUCUCAGUGCCUUUUUCCUCACCCCUUAUGAGUAAGCUUUGAAUUAGGUACCCAAUUUGUCCAAGAGUUAGCGAGCCAAUGAUCACUCAUUCACUCUAAUUAGAUAUUUAGUGGAUGAAAAUUGAUUGGACGUAAAAGAAAAUGCAGAUGAAUAAUCGAAAUAACUUUCAAGUCCAAAAAAGCUUUGACUUACUUGAUGAUGUCUUGUUAUGAUCACCAAAUGGCUCAGUCUGUGCCGCGUCAACAUGUGAAAACUCAUCCACGUCACCAGCCUCAGCGCUCUCGCCACGUCAUCACUCAAGCGGUUGUAACUGAUGAUAAUUUGGAUAAGAAAAACAGUUGAAUUGGGUCUCUUUUCAACGGGAGAGCACCAAAGACAGAGAAACCAAAAUGGCGCGAGCUUUGCUUCGUUUGAAUAGCACGGCCACGGUCAUAAUGGCCAGUGCUACAAGUGCUACUAAAGAGACAGUUCUUGACGGAGCUCACUUUCAAAUGAAGAACCGAAAUGCCCGCGUUUUGGUACUUGGAGGUACGGGUCGGGUCGGUGCAUCCACUGCAGUUGCUCUCUCGAAGCUCUACCCCGACCUUCAGAUUGUAGUUGGCUCUCGAAACAGGUUAAAUAAUUAAUACCCUUUUCUUUCUUCUGUUUGGUUACCAAAAAAAGCAAGAAAUAAAGGAGGGAAAAUUUUCAAGCUUUGUUAUUUUUUAAUUUUUUUUGCGUUUACUAUGUUUCUUUGGUUAUUUUAAAAUUUAAAAUUCAAGGUGAUGGCUACUGGUAAACUGCAAUGCUUUUACAUGGUUCUGAAAGCACAUUUCUAAACAGUCACUCAACGACAAGUGAUUAUCAUGUCCCACAGUUGUAGAUUAGGGCUCCAAUUGGUAGUGAUGUUGUGCGGUCGUGGCUUGUUAAGACACAUCUACUCUUAAAUGAGAGCUGCUGUGAAACGAGAGCUCUAGUUAUGAAAUAAAAGUUCAUAGUGUCUGGUAAAUGCUACCUUAAAAUAAUCAUUUUGACAAAAAUAGUAAAGCUAAUAUAGGUCAGGCAAUUGUGGGUAAAAUCGUCAUAAUUUUCAAACUGUGAUUGUGAGUGUUUACCAAAUACUUUAAAGUUGUGAUUAGAUGGUAAUAAAAAAAGAGAACCUAAACAGUCCAUAAUAAUAUUGCCAAUGAGGCAAAAAUUGUAAUUCUCUCUCUUUUUGGUUUUCCUAAACAUUUGAAAGGCUGUUUUUGUUGAUUGAUAUGCUUUGACUGUGGUAUGUUAAUAUUUAGAAUGCUGUCAAACAUGCUAGUUCUUGGAUGGAACUAUGGGGACAUGGAGUUGUAAAUUCAAGUAGUUAUGGCUGGAAUAUUUCCUAAUUUACAGUGUUGCUGAGAAAAUUUUGCAUACCGCCAGGGAAAAAGGUGCUGCAAUGGUCUCUACAUUGGGGAAGAAUUCUGAAUUUGCUGAAGUUAACAUUUACAAUGAAGGCUCAUUAUUAAUGGCUUUAAGAGGUGAGAUCAUUCCUCACUGACUAGAUGUAUCUUCUAUUGUUCCACAUCAAUAAUUCUUUUUCUUCUAGAGUCGAAGUAAAGGGAUUUUUUUUUUAUUUUGCAGCGGAUAUUUCGUUAUUGACAAUAUUUUGAUGAUAUUUUAGUCUGUAUGUUAAAUGCUGUAACUUUGCUUCGUCAGAUGUGGAUCUUGUGGUUCAUGCAGCAGGACCUUUUCAACAGGCACCGAAAUGCACUGUAUUGGAAGCUGCCAUAGAGACCAAGGUGAGGAAAGGUAAAUGUUGUGUUUGAAUAUCUCUUUUCCAAGUCCAGUUUUCUAUGUUUUGUAUAUGUGAUAAUUGAAGCAUGUAUACAACUUUACUAUGUACCCAAGAUGUAAACUUAUGUGUUCUUUUUUGUGUCUCCUAACAGACAGCAUACAUUGAUGUUUGUGAUGAUACCAUCUACUCCCAGCGUGCAAAAUCCUUCAAGGACAGAGCAAUAGCUGCAAACAUUCCAGCCAUAACCACUGGAGGAAUCUAUCCAGGAGUGAGCAAUGGUGCUUUUAUGAACAUGAACAUUCUUGUCCUGCUAUCCGCACUUCUAGCACUGUAAAUGAUACGAUUAAGUGAAGAAUAAGGAUAGAGUACUAAUUCUUUAAUUGAAACAUGUGCAGACUACCAAUUCUUGCUUUAGAGCUAAAACUUAAUUGUUGGUAAACUCAUCGACCUGGCUCCAAAGUUCUUAUAUAUGGGUGCACAUAUUGGUUUGACAGAUAGCUUUAGUGACUUUAUAUCAUUAACUUGAGUAUUGCAACUAAGAUAAAGCUCAAAGCUUUCUUUGACAAAGUCUUCAAAAUCUUGAGCUACUUGCACGACAUAAUGAUUUGAAGAAAUAAUAAUGUUGAUGUAGGAAAUGGUGUGGGCAACUUUUAUUUGUUUGUCUUGGGCCAGUAUGUUGGAUUUGGAAAUAUUGGAAGCUUGCAACGAUACAAGAAUCAUUCACCGCCUGCAGACAGCUAUGAUCCAUAUAUGCGAUUUUUGCCAUGUUUAUUUUUCAUAAGAAAUUCAAAUGCUACUUCAGAUUCUAUUAAUAAAUCCCGAAUUCUUGUACAUCCAAAUUUCAUUGUUUCAUGAUUUAUCAUAAUCCAAUAAAGUCUUGAAUGCUUGUACCAAUUCAAAGGUUAGUUGUGGAUCAACAAAAAGAAAUAAAAUGUAUGGGGCUGGACACAUGUCCUAUAUAUAUAUACCAGUUAAUUUUUUUGCCAAGAUAUCUCCACUGUUGGUUAUCUGCUUGAGUCUGAAGCAAUUGUCAACAUUAUAUUGUCUCCAAUAAAUACCUUGAUUGCAUAAAUCAAGCACUUGAUUACUAGCGUAAUCUUGGGGCUAGCUGUAUACUUAUUGUAAAAUACCCAAAUUAUUGGGAUUGAUUAUUCUACUUACCUUGUACAGAAUUAUUUUACAACUAUAAGAACUGGUAUGUCUCAACAAAUUGGGAGAACCUUUUUUCCAAAAAUUAUUUGUCUCUUUUGUUCUCUUUUAUUUGAUAUGGUAUCAGAGCUAUGCAUGUAUAAGAGAAAAUCUUGAAAUUUCUUAUAACAUCAUAGCAAGUUGUUGUGUUGUUCGCGGAUAGAGAUAUCAACUUUCAUUCGUGGAAAUUGAGAUCUUAUUGUUGCAAUCUUGAUUGAGAGUUUGAAUCGUGUCGGUGGGACAUCUUGGGUAAGUGAACAUUUUCUUUAUUCUAGUGUUUAAAAUGUCACAAUCAGAAACCUUGGGUAUCAAAUUAGAUGGGAAAAACUAUUUCUCUUGGGAAUUUCAAUUUCGCAUGUUUGUGAAAGGAAAAGACUUGUGGGGUUAUGUUGAUGGGUCUGAUUCUAGGCCACAAGAAGGAACUGAUAGUGUGAAAAUAAAGGAAUGGGAUUCAAAUAAUGCUAAAAUAAUUAGUUGGAUUUUGAGCUCUGUUGAUGCUCGUAUUGUUCUUAGUUUGAGGCCUUUUCGUUGUUCUAAGGAUAUGUGGAAUUAUUUAAAAAAAAUUUACAAUCAAGAAAACUCUGCUAGAUGUUUUCAACUUGAAUUAGAGCUGUCUGAAUAUAGUCAAGGGAACUUGUCAAUACAAGAUUAUUAUUCUGGUUUUUUAAAUCUAUGGGCUGAAUACCAAGAAUUGGUUUAUGCUACUGUUUCACAAGAGGGGCUGUCUACUUUGCAACAAGUGCAUGAAGUGUCUAAACGAGAUCAGUUUCUUAUGAAAUUAAGGCGUGAUUUUGAACCUAUUCGUGCCAAUCUAAUGUCCAGAAUUCCUUCUCCAUCUUUGGAUAUAUGUCUUGCUGAACUUCUUCGUGAAGAACAACGAUGUAUAACUCAAUCUGUUCUUGAAAUAAAGAAUAAUCAGGUAUCUAAUCCAAUGGAGGUGGCAUUUGCAUCGCAAGCACAUGCAAGGGACAUGAGCAAAGUGCAAUGCUAUAGUUGCAAAGAAUUUGGACAUAUAGCCAAACAAUGCAAAAAGAAAUUUUGUAACUAUUGCAAGAAACCUGGACAUGUGAUUGAUGAAUGUCGACGACGGCCUCAAAAUAAAAAUCCUCAAGCCUUGCAAACUACUAGCUCAAAUUCACAUUCAGAACCUAGUUCCACAAGCCUUACUCCUGAAGUGGUACAACAGAUGAUUUUUUCAGCAUUAUCAGCUCUUGGUGUUUCAGGUAAAAAUGCUUCUUCAUCUCAUUGUUACAUUGAUUCUGGUGCUUCCAACCAUAUGACACCUUCAUCCACAUCUCUUGUCAAUGUGAAACCAUCCUUGGGAAAUUUAGAAAUUCAAACAGCAAAUGGAGAAAGUGUUCCUGUUAAAUCAAUUGGUGAUAUUCCACAUACUUUGCCUUUAACUAAUGUAUUUCAUGUGCCUUGUUUAACUUCGAGUCUUAUUUCUGUUGGGCAAUUGGUUGAAGAUAAUUGUACAGUUUUUUUUUCAAAAUCUGGUUGUAUUGUACAGGAUCAAGAAACGGGGAAAGUGAUCGGGAAGGGACCUAAAUGUGGAAGACUGUUUACUCUAAGCUUGCCUGGCUAUCUCAAGAAUAAAGCCUUGUUCUCUUCACAUUAUUCUACUUUCAUUUCUCUUUUUCAAUUGUGGCAUAAACGUUUGGGUCAUCCAAAUACCAAAACUUUGUUAUCGUUGAUAAAGAGUCGAUUGAUUUCUAAUAAAGAUUUUGUUAAUUCUUCAGAUGUGGUAUUUAAUUGUGAUAGCUGUAAACUUGGUAAAAGUAAAACACUGCCUUUUCCAGUACAUCAAAAUAAUGUAAAAAGUUGUUUUGAUUUGAUUCAUACAGAUGUUUGGGGACCAUCUCCUUUUCCUUCUCAUUCUCGUAAGAAAUAUUUUGUUUCCUUCAUUGAUGACUAUAGCCGUCACACAUGGAUUUAUUUUUUACAUAAUAAAUCUGAUGUAUUUGAUGCCUUUAAACGUUUUCUUGCAUAUACAAAAAAUCAAUUUUCCACUUCUAUCAAAAUCUUAAGAUCUGAUUCUGGAGGGGAAUACAUGUCUAAUGAUUUUCAAAAUUUUCUUCAAAAUGAAGGAAUAAUAUCUCAAAAAACUUGCCCAGACACUCCUCAGCAAAAUGGAAUAGCUGAAAGAAAAAAUCGACAUCUUUUGGAUGUUACUCGUGCUUUGCUUCUUGAUGCAUCUGUACCUUCUCAUUUUUGGGUGGAAGCCUUGUCUACAGCUGCAAACUUGAUUAAUUGUAUGCCAUCAUUUAACCUUUAUAAUGAGUCUCCAUAUUUCCGUUUGCAUAAUAAACAUCCUGAUUAUACUCAAUUACGUGUUUUUGGCUGUCUUUGUUAUUGUCAUCUUCCUGCAUCAGAUAGAAAUAAAUUGACUGCACAAUCUGCAAGAUGUGCAUUUCUUGGGUACGCAUCUGAUCGCAAAGGUUUCCUUUGUUAUGAUCCCAAAGCUCGUCGUACUCGCAUAUCUCGGAAUGUUAUUUUUGUUGAAAAUAUUUAUUUUUUUCAAAAUACCCAUGUCACUACUUCUUUAUCUCCAUGUUCUAAUCUUCAUGACUUUGAUAGUGAUAUUCCUAACAAGGCAAGGUUUAAUCUUGGGAUAGAAAGUGAGCAACGAGACAAAACUAACAGUGAAGAAACAGAGGGUCCUCAGCGAGAAUCUUCCUUAUCUCUUGAUCCAAGCCCUGAAACACAUGAUCCAAGUCUUGAAACACAUGAGUCAAACACAAUAUCCGCUGCACCUCCAUUACGAAGAUCUAGUAGACAAAUCAAACCACCUGACCGCUUGUCUCUUGUGGCCACAUUGUCACCUAUGAGUAUUCCAAACUCUUAUUCCCAAGCCAAACAAUAUUCACAUUGGCAGGUUGCAAUGGAUGAAGAGCUAGAAGCGUUAAGAAGAAAUCAUACAUGGGAUAUUGUCUCUUGUCCCGCUGGUUGUACACCAAUCGGGUGCAAAUGGGUUUACUCUAUCAAACAAAAAGCUGAUGGUUCUUUGGAUCGUUAUAAAGCUCGUUUGGUUGCUCUUGGGAAUUGGCAAGAAUAUGGUAUAAACUAUCAUGAGACUUUUGCUCCAGUGGCCAAAAUGACCACAGUUCGCAUUUUGUUAGCGAUUGCGGGUUCACAAGCAUGGCCUCUUUUUCAAAUGGAUGUAAAAAAUGCAUUCUUGCAUGGAGAUCUACAAGAAGAAGUCUACAUGAAGCUUCCGCCUGGAGUAAGCUCUAAUUCAAAAGCUCAAGUAUGUCGUCUACGACGUUCUCUUUAUGGGCUUAAACAAGCACCACGUUCAUGGUUUACAAAGUUUGGUCAAAUACUGCAUCAGUUGGGUUUUCACCAGAGCUCUAAUGAUCCUUCUAUGUUUAUUCGACGUUCAGCUGCUAGUAUCAUUAUUCUUCUUGUUUAUGUAGAUGAUAUAAUUAUUACGGGGACUGACACAUUUGGUAUCCAGCAAUUUAAGGAGUCUUUGCAUUCAUAUUUUCAAAUGAAAGAUCUUGGCAAUCUCACUUAUUUUCUUGGCCUUGAGGUAUAUCAUUCAAGUGAAGGCAUCUACGUCCAUCAGCAUAAAUACACAAAAGAUUUAAUUGCUUUGGCAAGACUUGAAGAUUCAACGGUCAUAAACACUCCACUUGAGAUCAAUGUUAAAUAUUCGAAAGAUGAUGGUGACUUGCUUUCUGAUCCUACACUAUAUCGGAAACUAGUUGGGAGUUUGAUUUAUUUGACGAUUACCCGACCAGACAUCUCUUAUGCAGUGAACUUAAUGAGCCAAUUUAUGCAUGAGCCUCGACAUUUACAUCUUUCAGCAGUUAAAAGAAUAAUCCGUUAUUUGCUUGGGACUCCUAAUCGUGGACUAUUUUACAAGGCUAGCUCCCCUCUUGUUCUCAAAGCUUAUAGUGAUGCUGAUUGGGCUGGGUGUUCAGACUCUCGUCAAUCAACUACAGGUUGGUGUAUGUAUCUUGGUGACAGUCUUGUCUCUUGGAAAUGCAAAAAACAAGAGAGGGUGUCUAAAUCCUCUACUGAAGCCGAGUAUAGAGCUAUGUCGGGUGCUUGUUCUGAAAUCGUAUGGCUACGACGACUUGUAUCUGAAUUGGGUUUUCCUCAAGCGUCUCCAACGCUAUUGCAUGCUGAUAACAAGAGUGCCAUACAAAUUGCUGAAAAUCCUGUAUUUCAUGAAAGAACUAAACAUAUUGAGGUUGACUGCCACUAUAUUCGAGAUGCUUAUGCUGAUGGUACCAUUCAAUUACCUCAUGUGUCCACAACAUUUCAAAUUGCAGAUAUAUUUACAAAGUCCCUGACCAAGAUACGGCAUCAGUUCUUGGUUGGCAAAUUGAAGCUUGUUGAUUCACCAGCAUCAAUUUGAGGGAGGCUGUCAACAUUAUAUUGUCUCCAAUAAAUACCUUGAUUGCAUAAAUCAAGCACUUGAUUACUAGCGUAAUCUUGGGGCUAGCUGUAUACUUAUUGUAAAAUACCCAAAUUAUUGGGAUUGAUUAUUCUACUUACCUUGUACAGAAUUAUUUUACAACUAUAAGAACUGGUAUGUCUCAACAAAUUGGGAGAACCUUUUUUCCAAAAAUUAUUUGUCUCUUUUGUUCUCUUUUAUUUGAUAGCAAUAACAGAAAAAAAAUAGAAAAGAAAACAAUGACUAAUAUGACUAGUUAUUAUUAAAUUAGUCGUUAAAUAGUUAUUUAUUCUUAUUACGAUAAUUGAGGCAAUAAAUUGCACAUUCUUGUUUAAUUUUGAGUUCUUCAUUGAUAACGUUCAAAUUUUUAUUUUUUAUUUGAUUUUUUUUCCUAAUUUUAGGGGGGAGAAAAGGUAAAGAAUGAGAGAUUAUUUAAUAAAUUAAAUUUAGAGCACAAGCACAGAAGCAUUAAGCUCCUGCUAAACUGUUGUUCGACUUGCAAGUUUUUGGAUCAAAUAAUAAAGUUUGUGCCUUGAGAAGUUAGCUCAUGGCUGGAAUGUUAUUUCUAAUCUAGAGCUAGCGUCCUGAGACAACAGAAGUUAACAUUAACAAUAGAAGACUCAAUUGGUAGACAUUAUUCUUUUACACUAAAUACACAAUUGAGUUCACAGCUAUUCAAAAAAUGGGGCAGUUUUUUAUUUAAUUACAAAAUUACCCUUAUUGAAACCCAUAUAAGAGUAUUUAUAUUAAUUAGUUAUAUUGCUUCUUCAACUAUCAUCAAAUUCUUAUUCGAGUUCAUCAUUUAAGGAAUAAAUGUGUACUAAAUAAUCUCAAAUGAUGUACUAAGCAAAUAUUUUGAGAAAUAAGACUCAUUAUGGCUCCUUUCAUUAGUUGUAUCUUUAAUUUCUUAUUAAUGAAAUUCUCUCGCAUUGCCCAAAAAAAUAUUGUUAGCGUCACCAUUGAAAGGGGCCAAAUUAUGUAUUGUCUGACUAGUGAAACUCUUAUCAUAUCUGCUAAUACGUAUCAGGAAAAUUAUAUUGUUGCAGGAAAAUAGAUUUUCCAAAAAUCUGUCCUUUGGCCGACCGAUCCUAUAUGAUCCUUGUUCAAAUUGGCCCCGUGUGUGGCACGUCAACAUGUCAAAACUCGGCCACGUCAUCAACUUCGCAAAAUUCUCGCCACAUCAUCACUGAACUGGUUACGACGGAUGAUAAUUUGGACAAGCAAAACAGUUGAUAAUUACAAAGAGGGAACACUAAAGGCAGACCAAAGUGGCGCGAGCUUCGCUUAUUUGUACCAAGUAAAUGAAUUUUAGCUGAAAAAAAAGUAGGCCCAUAAUUAUAAAGCAAUGGCCCAGUACUAUACACGUCAUUACAAAAAAAAAAAAAAAAUCGAAACAGAGCUCAAUUUCAAACGAAGAUCCAAAACGCCAGCAUUUUGGUGCAGCCGUUGCUCAGAGUUUUUUCUUUUUAUAUGCCGAAGAAGUGCUUAUUUUCCAAAUAUAUAUCCCUUCUUUCCAUUUAUUCACUUAUAUACGACAAAUUCACCUGCAUAAAGAUUGAAAUACUCUCAUUUGUGAAUUACAAGUUGCAAAUUUUCUAUUUCAAGAUGAAGUUCAUUUACCUGUUCUUUACCAUCUUCAAAAUUUUCCUCUCAUUUUUAUUUCACUUUCUCAACUUCAAAAUUUACCUGCAUAAAGAUUUCUGAUUUCGAAUUAGAAUUGUGAUUCUUCACUUUCUGAUCCUUCCUAUGAGUUUCAUGGCUGCGGAAAAUGUAGAAGUACUAGUUUGAGAUUUUAUAAAUUGUUCAAAAAACCUCUGUCCAAUAGAUUAUAAGGAUAAGCAACAAGACUUGGUGCUCAAAAGUCUAAAAGUAUUAUAAAGACUUGGUAACUCUCUUAUUCACCUGCAUGGCAUAUCUGUUCUUGUGCCUUCAAUAAGAAAAAAGAUAGUAUGGAUUAUUUAACUCAGCCUUUUCAACUUUUGAUUUGCCUCCAGUUAUUGCUCUUAUAUCUUCAGUGGACUUGACUGAAAUGCUCAUUAAUGACUAGAAAAAAUUAUCUUAACUUAUAAGGUGGACUUGACUGAAAUGCUAAUUAAUGACUUUGAGAAAGAAAGACUUGUCAAGUUUUUCUAUACAUACCUCUUAAUUUGGACAUAUCUUAGGUCACUAACUUUCAACUUUUCUGAUCCUUCCCAUGAGUUUCACUAUCAUAGCCGUGGAAAAGAAGUUUGGAGUUUUACAAAAUUGGGAAAAAAUAUUAAUUAAGAUUACUGCUCCGCAAUUCAUGCAAUUGACCAGGAGAAAAGAUCACUUUAGAGCCUUAUAGGGGGAAGGGAUUGAAGGAAAGAUGCCUUUCUAUUUUAAGUUCAGUAGUAAGAAAGAGCAGGCAACUUGGCAUAAGUUUUCAGCUUAAGUUCAUACAGUUGACCAGUUACAUACAUAUAUGAUGACUUAAAAUAUCUGAGAGUUCGGGUUUCUUUUAGUAUAAACGCAUCUGCUUUUGGACAGGUUCGUGGAAAAACUAGAAUAUGUUUUUGAUUUGGUAAAUUAUGUAUUGUUUUGACCAGUUACAUACAUAUAUGAUAACUAAUGGAAGGUCUAACAACUUAGCUUAACAAACUGUAACAGAAUCAAAACAGGGGAGGGAAGAUGAAUUGUGUUUGUGUAAAUGACUGUUAGUCUAGUUAGCUGUUACGCCGGCAAAUAUGAUAACGAACAUCUCGCCGAACUUAAGUAAAUAUCUAAAUGGUUAUUAAUUGGAUACAGCUUCAGCUUUUGGACUGGUUUAUGGAAAUUGAAAAAAUUUGACAAGUGUUCCUCUUGAAGAAUCAAAGUCUACUUUAUACGUGAAGAAAGGGGAUCCCAGUAAAGAUAAUCCAUCAAUGUUCAGUUACAUUCGAGCGUGUUGACUACUUUUAGGAUGAAAGACUUCUAUUGUCCCAAGGAGUUUUACGAGGUCCAUACACAGAGCUGCAAACAGCGUAAGUUACACUCCCCUUAUGCAACAUUCAAAUGAAAUCCAUACAAUCAUGCAAGUCAAAUCAAUACAUACUGAAUAGCUUACCUCAGAAUCUUCACCUGCUGACGCGAGAAUGUUUAGAACCUUUGAGGAUGCAAGGCCAGUUACACUCCCCUUAUGAACAAAUUCAGUGGCAGCCUUCCUCAAACAUUUGCAAAAAGUUGUGUCUUGACAAGUCUUAACCUCAAUGGUAAUUGGUUGGAAGGACCGAUGCCUCCAUCUUUGGUUAACUAUCGGCAUUAUAAGCUGGUUUAUGUAUUGUUCAUGGAGUAGAUAACCAGCUGAUAUGUUUCAUAUUCUAACAGUUGAUAUACAAAAAUCCCAAUUCAAAUUAUGUUUAUAAUCAGCGUCUAUAGUCUAUAGAGAGAAAGAAAAUGAGGGUCAUACAUAAGAAAUCAAUGAUAGGACGUGUUCUCUUGAUCAGGAAUUUUAGACUUUUGGAAGCUAGUAGUGGAAGUCAAAUAAUCUCCAGGUACCAAAAUAUGUUUUGCUUUCAUUUCCAUUGCAUAAGAACAUGAUAUCACACACUUAUAUUUUGAUGGUUAACUUGAUCAAAAUUUUCAGGAAAAAGUUAUUUAAAAAUAAUUUUGAUGUAGGAAUGAUUUGGGGUGAAAUUCAUUUGGUGCCAUUUAGGCCACAUUUUUUCAAUUGGGCGUAUGGUAUAUACUUUUUCAAAGCUGGUGACAAGAUGAACAAUGUUGCCCAUUUGCCUUUGAGUCUGAUGCCCGUGGGGCUUUUACGAAAUUGUACAAUUUCAGGACUCAAAAUCCCAUUUGAAGUUAUUUCAAAUUCCAGCACUUCGGGAAAUUUCUAAGAUUUGUACUUUACUACUUUUAUUUUCAUAACCAAUUCUUAUUUUCUUAGCACUUUUUGGAGAACAUACAACUGAAAUCAUUUUUACCUAAUAACCUAGCAAAAAGCUACUACAUAUCACAAUGUUGACCUCUGGGCUAAUCAAGCAUUUGACUUUCCUAAUACAAUUUAUCACAAAACGAUUAUCCCUUUUCAUAUUUUAAGUUCAAUAAUAAGAAAGAGGAGGCACCUUCCAAAUGUAUGCACCUUUUUUAGUUUUAUCCCACAAAACUUUAUCACAAAACAAUGGCCUUUUCAUAUUUUGAGUUAUUGCUCAAUCCCUUUACAAAAAAUUAUGCACAUUUACUAGGGAUAGAAAAUUGAAAAGAAAAUUUUCGAUAAGAAAACAGCUGAAUAAUCGAAUUUCGAGUCUUUGGUGGACGUUAUUCUUUUAUACAAAAUAUAUCUUUGAGUUAAACAAUUAUUAAAACAUUGGGGCUAGUUUUUCAUUUAACUACAAAAUUACUUUUUUUGAAACCCAUAAAACCAUUUUUAAGUGGUAAAUUAGUUCUAUCACGUCUUCAACUAUUGCCAAAUUCUUAUUUGAGUUCACCAUUUUACUAGUAAAUGCGUUAUCUAAAUAAUUUCAAAUGAUGUAUUAAAUAAAUAUUUUGAGGAACAAGACUCAUUAUGUCUCCUCUCAUUAGUUGUAUUUUUAAUUUCUUUUUAAAAGAUUCUCUCAUAAUCAAUUAAAAAAAUUCAGCCACCCAAAAAAAAAAAAAGUAUUUAGCUUCGCGGCGGAAUGGGGGCUAAAUUGUGUAUUGUUUAACUGGUGAAACUCUUACCACAUCGACUAAUAUGCUGCUUUUGCUAGUGGCAGUGGUGGCAACAGAGCUUGCUCAUAUUGGUAGAAGUGAAAGCAAAGGAGAGACAGAGAGACUAAUUAAGGUUUAUUAUGGUGAAGUCCUGGGUCAGUCGCUUUUGCUGAAAUGAUUGCAAGUAAUCUCCCACUAUGACUGCCAUUUUUAUCUUAUUUAAGUUUCGGUGAAGCCCAUUCACAUAAAAUAAUUGGCAGGAAGUGUUAAGGAGAAAAGAUCGUCCUAAUUCAAUGUCUGGGGGUGCUGCAAUCACUUUUUAUUACUAAAUAUUUUUAAAUUGGAAUAAUGUAUUAACAGAAUAAAAAAUUUCAUAAUCUAACAAUUGAUUUACAACAACCCGAGUCCUGAUUAAAUUCAAAUAAUAAUUAUAAUCAACAUCUAUAGGAAAAUUGAAAACGAGAAUCAUAUGUAAAAAGAAAUCAUUUCGUAUGCCCAUUACCAUAUUAUAUUUGUACAUUAGAAAUUAAUAUAAAAUAAUAAUUUAAUAAUUAAUUUAAUAUAAUUAAUAAUAAAGCAGUAAUAAAUUUAAACAAUAUUAAUACAAAAUUAAUAAAGUAUAAUCUAACAUUAAAUACUAUACAAUAUUAUUAUAAUAAAAUACUAAUUCAAUACCACAUAAAGUAAUAUACUUGCAUUAUUUGGAACUGGCAUAAAGUAAAAUUAAUAAAGUAUAUCAACGCACAUGGAAAAUGCGACUUUUGAAGAAUGCAGUAAAUGGAAGGUUAAAUAGACUUCGUGCAUGCUGUAAAUUUAAAUGAAUCAUAAUUAAUUUCAAAAGGUAGUAAAUGGAAGGCCGAACAACUUUUUUAACAAACUGAAACAGAAUUAAAUCAAUUGUGCUUUGUGCAUAAUGUAUAUGACUGACUAACUAACUAACUACGAGUUUAGCUGCCUGCCACAUCAGCAUUAUAUAACACAUAACUAAUAUCAUUCCGCGUCGAGCAUGUCGUCAAGAUCCCCCUCUUGAAAGGAUUCCACUUACCACCUAAAUUCCAAAGCAAGAAGACUUGGUGCUGUAAGUCAAUAAAUAUUAUAUUAUUAAUUAAUUACACACCAUAUUCAACUUCUAUAAAUAGUCAUUAUAUCUCUCUCUCUUCUUGUGAUUUCAUCAUCCAGAAAAGAAAAAGAAAAAGAAAAAGAAAAUGGGUUAUAUCACUCAGCCUUAUCAACUUUUUAUUUGCCUCCAGUUAUUGCUCUUCUAUUCUCAGUGUUCAGCAAUACUUUGCUCUCACCACCAAAGUUCUGCUUUACUCCAAUUUAAGCACCUCUUUUCCUUUGAAAAACAUUCUUCAUGGUUUUGUGAAACAUUUCAACUACAAAUAUCUCGUCCAAAGAUGAUGUCUUGGAAAGAGGACUCUGAUUGCUGCUCCUGGGAUGGAGUAGCAUGUGAUUCGGCGACGGGUCACGUGAUUGGCCUCGACCUCAGUUGCAGUUGGCUUCACGGCAACAUCCCUUCCAACAGUAGCCUUUCCUUGCUUCCUCGCCUGCGAAAGCUCAACCUGGCUUUCAAUGAUUUCAAUGGCUCUAAGAUUUCUUCUGGUUUUACUAAUCAAUUUCCGAGCUUGACACUCCUUAACCUCUCUUGGAGCAAUUUC
RNAcentral lists this long non-coding RNA (101600 nucleotides) under Citrus maxima (pomelo). RNAcentral describes it as "long non-coding RNA (CMAX_LNC000512)". The stretch from base 18996 to 19102 matches the Rfam family "Plant small nucleolar RNA R71". The record is from RNAcentral. Lineage: Eukaryota; Viridiplantae; Streptophyta; Magnoliopsida; Sapindales; Rutaceae.